CUCUCUCCCACGUUGUUGUUGUUCUUUCCUGAACAAAACGUCCUGCUGUUGUUCUUCACUUGUUACUAUUAGAGUGUGUAAUUUCUUUGAACAUUUAGAGUGGAGACUUGAUAGAUUGUAAUCUAUUUUACACUGUUUCAAUAUAUAUGAAUCGCCCGUUAGUUAUUUGUCUGUUACAUUCAGGUUACUAGUUGUGAAUCUUGUUUUGUAAUUGUUCAUUGUGAAGUCAGAUGUGUGAACAUGCUUAAUUCUUAGUCCCUGUGAUAGCUCCAGUACAUGUGUUUUUUAUGUUGUCUCAAUUUCUAGUAUAUAUAUAUAUGUAGUGCUCGUGAUGUGCUCUUUCCUUGUAUCUCAAAUAUGCUUCUGUCCCCAUUCUUAAAUGUUUGCUAGUGUAUUUGUUUUCUCAUUUGUUAGUCGAUCUAUCCAUUGUGUGUAGUAAUGAAAAUCCUAAAAACAUUGACUGGCAAGUUAUUCUUCGCCCUGUCUUGUUAUUUGCUUGUGUUGUUAAGAGGUGGGUGAUCUUGUCCUACUUUGAGUGGGAAAACUUGUUUUAUUUUCUUUUGUAUUGCAUUACCAAAAACCUUUUCGUCUGAUCUAGCUUUAGCUGAGCACGACUAUUGUCGCCUAGUCCCUGUGGAGAAUUCGACAUCCGUAGAUUGGGCUUAAAAAACCCCGCUAUACUUACAGUUGAUCAUUUGGCGCCGUUGCUGGGGACUUGCGUCAAGCGAUUGUGUUAGGCUAUAGACUAGGUUUAGUUUAUUUCAUCGUUUAAUUCACUCUGUAUUUCUUUUUCAGUGUUUCUUUUUUUCCUUGGUGUUGCUUCGGCUUAUGAGGAUACUAAUCUUCUGACUAGUGUUUGAUGUUUAUGAGCGUGUGUAGGAAAUCAUUAAUCUUUGCAGGUUGUUCUAUAGUUACACUCGGUUAAGAUGGCAUUGCUUCAUGAUCUUUGGAUGCCCAAAAGUCAAUGCUAUAUCACAGGACCAGUUUGGCCAACUAUUGAGGCAGAGAACUUCGAGCAGAAACCUAGUCUUAUUGCUUUGGUUCAACAAUGUCAGUUUGGAGGACAGCCUACCGAGGAUCCCUAUGAGCACUUACACCGAGUCAUGGAGUAUUCAGAUACAGUCAAGUACCAUGGAGUUCCUCAAGAUGCAAUCAUGUGCAGGUUGUUUACAUUCUCUCUCUAUGAUGAUGCUCGUGCUUGGUACCGAUCCUUGCCAUCAAGGUCAUACAGUUGGAUUGAGAUAUCACAAGCAUUCUUGGAUAAAUAUUUCCCACUACACAAGCAGUCCAUGAUUCGAGAUGAUAUCUUCAACUUUGUUCAGCAUGAAGGCGAGAGUUUGUAUGAUGCUUGGGAGAGGUACGAAGCCUUGUUCAGGAGAUGUCCUAAUCAUGGGCUCGAGAGAUGGUUAGAGCUGCAGAUAUUCUAUAGAGCGUUGACUUCGGACACUCGCGGUUACAUUGAUAUGGCAACGGGUGGAGCUAUUACAAACAAGACACUUGAUGAUGCUUUUCUGCUAAUUGAGAGCAUAGCUUUCCACCAACUUCAGUGGUACAAUAAGAAGCCCACAUCUAAUUCAUUGGUUUGCUUGCAACAAAUCACUUCAUCUCAGCAAGAAUCUCUUACACAAAAGCUGGAACAAGUUUCUCCGUGUGACAAGAUUGAGCUUUCAUGGAUUAUCUUUGAUGAUGAUGACACCAUCCUAGUUGACACACACACUUCAGAUCAUAUGGAUACUAGCAUUCUAGAUUCAGUUUUACAUUGUGAUGAUUCUUCUGUGGAUGAACCAGAGCUACAGUUAGUUACUUUGGAUAUUGAGGAGACACCUUUAGUUGAUAUUGAUCAUGUGCUGCUAGAGCCAGAUAUGGAAAAGUUCGCCUUCGAUGAUGUUAGCCGCAUUGAUUCCUCAACACCUGAGCCUGAGAUGGAGAGCUUCAUCGUUGAUUAUGGUGAGGUGGAUUCAGAUGUCAAGGAGCCAAGCUCCACUAUUUCACUUGUUGCCACGAGUCUGGUGGAAAUUUCUACUACCACACCUCACUUGGUAUCUUCAAUUGAGGUAGUCCUGAAGCUUCUUCCUAACUAUCUCAGGUAUGAUCGCUACUUUCUCAAAAAGAUAUGCCAUAUCAUGAAUACUGCCUAUGCACCAAGCGAUUUGUUGAUGAUAUCUAUUUAUCAUAUGCUCAAUAGAUAUGCUUAUGUGAUAGGAUACUCUAUUGAUGACUUAGAGGGCAUUUUCCCUAUCACUUGUAUUGGCUUGUUUGUUGAGUUUUCUUUCAGGUUUACGCUUGUAUACCAUUCAUUGCAAGCUGACCAAGUUCGAGAUGACAUCCCAUGGGAUCCUGGUGGAUUCAUAGCAUGGUGAUAAGGAGCAGCAAUGGGCACACGCGAAGAAGAGUGACGAUGGAGCAGGCAUGAGGAUAGAUAAGCAAAAAGAGAAGAGCUGCAGUUUAGAGGGUGUCGAGCGAGUGCCACAUCAAAGCCCGGUGAGCUGUUUCAUGACCCCAAUCUUAAUAUAUCAUCCAUUGAUACAUGAUGAAAUCAUUUGAUAUUUGGGUUGCUUGAGCCAUUUCUUAAAUGUUGUGCCAUUGAAUUUUACCUUUGACAUAUGGUGCUUGAUGUGAAUAUGUGAACUGAUUUCUGAAUGCCUUGUAAACUAGUGAUCUAUACAAUGAUUGCUUUGCUGAAACUAGUGAGAACUAUUAGUUUUGAGUGCUCAAAUCCCUAGUGCACAAGUAAACUUAAUCAUUUUCUGCAUUUACCUUGAUACACCUAGAUCACUAUGUUUAGAUGAUGUAUUUGUGCCAAGUAUGUACCCAUUCAGAGCAAUCACUUUACUACUAUGGACUAGCAUGCUAUGUUCCCUGGAUCGGUAGCAUGUGAACCAGAUAUGGUUGAGUGAUGAUUCUUGUUUUUGUUCAAAAAAAAUUUAUAUCUUAUAAUGAAUAAUAGUCUGACUACCUACAGUAGCAUGUCAUGUUCCCUGGAUCGGUGGCAUGUGAAAUCGGGUUAGCUUGGGCAGUAAUUAAUAAUAAAAAUGUAAUUGUUGAACCAGGUGUAUACCAUGUUCUCUGGAUCGGUGGUAUGUUCCUUUGGGGAGACAAACUAAAAAAACUAAUAAUUGGUCGAGCCAGGUGUAUACCAUGUUCUCGGGAUCGGUGGUAUGUUCCUUUGGUGAGACUGAUAAAAUAUUAUCAUUACUUCCUGCAAAUUCAAUAAGUGGUUCAACAACAAUGUUUUGUUCCUGGUAAUAAGUGAUCUGAUCACAAGUUUAAGUUCUUUUUGUUUUGUGGAUCAUGCUCUCUUUAGGAACCUUUUGGCACAAUCAGCAUUUGAACUUGCUAAUCUUCUUUUAUCAUUGUAAAAGUUUAAAAUGGUCAAGUCUGCUAGUAUCCUACUGCUUUGUAGCACUCUAACCAUUAAUUUUCACUAACUAAGUCUCAAACAUGCACUAUUUAGAGAUCUACUUCACUUGACAUUCUGUAGCCAGUUCACUAUUCACUAUCUAGUUCUUGUCAUAUUCCUUUGCUUGAGGACAAGCAAAGAUUUAAGUGUGGGGGAACUUGAUAAGCACAUUUCAUAUAUAUAAUUUGGGCAUACAAAUAUACCAUUUAUUGAGUUCUUACCAUCAAUUAUUGCUAAGAAAUACUAAAUAUUUGAAUGGUAAUCAUAUAAGAGCAUGUUGACUAGUGAAUUGUUUCUUUUGCAGAAAAGUGCGCAAAGGCACUAUAAUUGUCAAGACGUUCUACUAUGUGGCUAACAAGACGAGAGAAGGGCAUGAAAGAAGUGAAGAAAGGGACCUGAGCAUGGAGGAAAGAAUAAACCGAGGGCCAAAACUAAAGAAAGAAGGGAUCUACUUGAGGCAAAAGUAUAGAAGGAUAAGGGCAAAAUCAGAAAAUUGGCAGCUGAGAGAAGGGGAACAAAAUCCCUAGCGCAACCAAUUUUUUGGAUCGGGCCUAGCACACACCUCUCUCCCUCACCCCUCCUUCUCCACCACCGGCCGCCGCCGCGGCCAGGCCGGCGUGGCGGCGCGCCACCGCGCCAACAGCACCCCCCACCACUAGCCGUUGCUCCACCACUUCACCAUCGCCAUCCAUCCAUCCAUCACCCAGCGCCACCACUGCACCAUCCACCAUCAGCGCCGCCACCUGAACCCCGAACCACCAGCAACCCACGCCGGCGCCAUCCACCACUUCCACUCCUCCCUUUCUCUCUUGCUGCUCCUCCCUCUUGCUUCGCCCCUGUUCCUUCUCUUCUUCCCCAGGCCUCUGCUGCUGCAUCUUCCUUCUUCUCCAAGCCCCACUGCUGCUCUUCUUGCGAUCUCCUCUGCUGCCCCUCGUCCCUACUGUUGCUGCUCUUCCCUUCUCUCAACCUCACGCUGCUGCUCCAACUCCAACAGCUGCUGCUCCUCUCCAAUCCCCCAAGAUGCUGCUCCUCUCUCUCUCCCACGUUGUUGUUGUUCUUUCCUGAACAAAACGUCCUGCUGUUGUUCUUCACUUGUUACUAUUAGAGUGUGUAAUUUCUAUGAACAUUUAGAGUGGAGACUUGAUAGAUUGUAAUCUAUUUUACACUGUUUCAAUAUAUAUGAAUCGCCUGUUAGUUAUUUGUCUGUUACAUUCAGGUUACUAGUUGUGAAUCUUGUAUUGUAAUUGUUCAUUGUGAAGUCAGAUGUGUGAACAUGCUUAAUUCUUAGUCCCUGUGAUAGCUCCAGAACAUGUGUUUUUUUAUGUUGUCUAUAUAUAUAUGUAGUGAUCGUGAUGUGCUCUUUCCUUGUAUCUCAAAUAUGCUUCUGUCCCCAAUCUUAAAUGUUUGCUAGUGUAUUUGUUUUCUCAUUUGUUAGUCGAUCAAUCCAUUGUGUGUAGUAAUGAAAAUCCUAAAAACACUGACUUGCAAGUUAUUCUUCGCCAUAUCUUGUUAUUUGCUUGUGUUGUUAAGAGGUAGGUGAUCUUGUCCUACUUUGAGUGGGAAAACUUGUUUUAUUUUCUUUUGUAUUGCAUUACCAAAAACCUUUUUGUCUAAUCUAGAUUUAGCUGAGCACGACUAUCGUCGCCUAGUCCCUGUGGAGAAUUCAACAUCCGUAGUUUGGGCGUAAAAAACCGAGCUAUACUUACAGUUGAUCAGUGCCGCACUCCUCUAAAUUGGUUUCAGACUGGAGAUAGUCAUAUCUUCGGAACGGAUCUCAUGCUGGAAGUUGAGAAACAAGUUAGGGAAAUCCGAGAUAGGCUGCAAUUGGCCAAAUCUCGACAGAAGAGUUAUUAUGAUGCCAAACAUCGGCAGGUCAGUUUUGAACUCGGAGAACACGUAUACCUCUGAGUCACUCCUAUGAAAGGAGUCAAGAGAUUUCAGACUCGUGGAAAGCUGGCACCCAGAUUCAUUGGUCCAUUCCCGAUUAUGUCUCGAGUGGGAACGGUUGCAUAUCAACUGGAACUACCCCCGGAAUUGGCAGACAUACACAACGUGUUCCAUGUUUCACAAUUGAGAUGAUGCAUAUCCCUGCCUAAGAAAAGAACUACAACGGCUUGGAUAGAAUUGGAAAAAGAUUUAACUUAUGAACAAAGACCGUUCAAAAUUUUGGAUCAGAUGGAAAGGGUCGCUCGCAGUAAAGCCAGAAAAUUUUACAAGGUUCAGUGGGAGCAUCACACAGAGUCAGAAGCAACUUGGGAGCAGGAAGAAUUCCUUAGGGAUCAGUAUCCAGAAUGGUUUUCCCAAGCAACCGAAUCUCGAGAACGAGAUUCAUUCUAAUUGGGGGAGGUUUGUGACAGCCUGGGUUUUGCCCUCUCUUAUUUGCUUGAUUUUUCAUUUGAAUUUUUUUGAAACUUGGAGUUUCUGAAUCUUUUCAUAUGGACUUAAACACUUGGGCAUCCAUGGCUUUCACCCAAGUGCUUCACUUCCCUCCUAAACCAUCAUUUCACUUCUGACCCACCCCAAAAAUAAUCUUUGGAAUAUUUUUCUUAAAAGAAAAAUAUUCUUUUUCUCUCAAAAACCCUAAGCCAGAUCUGAUUGCUUCAAAGCAACCCCAAUUUUUAUGGCUCAGAAAAAUCUGAGAUAAUUCACAAAUAUUCUGUGAACCCUAGUGCACCUUCCCGAGCAAAAAUAUUUCAUCACUUUUUAAAAUAUUUUUGCUACAGAAAAUCUUUUCUAUUCUGGACAAAAAUGAUGGUUUCUACAGCAACUACCAUUUUACUUGCUCCAUUUGACCUGAACUUUCUUGUGCAUCUUUACCUUAGUAACUUAUCACUAGCCUCCAAAGCACAGCUUCAAACUCCAAGCCAUUUGACCACAGUAACUUCACAAAGUUACUAACCAGAAACUUACUUGGCGUGUGAAAACUUCUCUACUGCACCUGGAUCCAAACCAAAUCGUGGUAACAAUCAAAACUACCAUGAACAACAUGCCAGACAUUGAGUUUAUGCUUAGAUCGACCUGAUGUCAUAGUUCACUCGGUGACCGCGUUCGUCCAGGCGUGCUGGCAUGCAGCUGACGCGCUCUGCGACACGCCCGAGCCUCUGUUGCUCGCGUGCUUGCUUCCCCGCCUGCCUAACCAUGCCAAACCUCACCACCAUCAUCGUCUCAACGUUCUUAACUCCUCCCUGGCGCUCACCGAAGCCGGAGCUCGCCGCAGCGAGCAGGGGCAAGGUCCGGCCAGCACAACAGUGCGGAGCGCACUGUGCUCGUCGCCAUCCUCUUGAUCCUGUGCUCGUCUUCGCCCGCCCAUAGUGGUCGCGUGACCUCCGUCGCCUUCUCCCCCUCUCAUUGACAUCGCUCAUCGCCGGGCGCUGUGGACAGGUGUCCACCGGCAGAGCUCGAAUCACCCUCGCCGCUCGCCUAUAUAUAGAGCCCUCCCCAGCCUCCUCGAGCACCAUCCAGCACUCACACACACCCCACGAUCGAGUAGGAAGCCGGAGCCCGGCCGGGCAGUCCUUAGGCCGCCGUCCCCGAGCUCGAGCUCGCCAGCGAUCCCCUUUGGUCGCCGCAGUAUCUCCAGCCGCUCCCAGGCCUGGGCGACCCCUCCAGGGCCUCCGCCUCUCUCUGGUGAGGCCAUCUCACCCGCUUGGAGCCCCUGGAGUGGCCUCUACUCGCCGUCUUCCUCAACUCCGAUGACCUCCACGUUCUGCCUCCGCUUGCGAGGUUAAUUCCGAUGCCGUCCGACCAGCCCUAGCUACGCUACUGUUAUGGGCAGGUGCGCCUCAACCCCCUCUUGCCAUCCCUCCCUCUCGUUUGGGCCAAGGAGCCCUCGUCACCGGCGAGAGCUCCGACGAAGCCACGUCCCCCUCUGUUUCCUUCUCCCUCUUCCCCCACCUGACUAGCGGGGCCCGCUAGUCAGCCACUCUGUAUGCGCGCGAAACGGUACGAGUAGUGGCGCCCCUGGGCUUUACGCCUUCGACGUCACCCCCAGUCUAUUUCUUUUAUUCAAAUUCAUUUGAAUUUACAAAACACUUCAAACAGUUAUAACUCUUCAACCAUAAGUCCAAAUGAAUUGAUUCUUUUUGCAUUGUAUUCUUUGAUUAGAAAUCUAACAGCUCACCAAAGAUGAGAUUUUUCUGAGCUGACUGGAAUUUCUGGUGAUUUUCAGAAAUGUUCUUGAUACUUUCUUUUUGUGUUUAAAUUCUUUUCAGAAGGUGAAGCUUGUCUUGAGGAUCACCAGGAGGUUUGUGAACCUCGUCUGCACUAAGGCAAGCCACAGCAACAUUUUCAUGGCGCCAUUUCAAUAUUUGUGAUUUUCUUACUUGAAUGAAAUGAUUAAUCCAUGCAUUUAAAUAAUUAUGGAGUUAUUUAUAUUCUGUUAAAUAUUGGUUAGUUGUUAUGCUUGAUUUACAGAAUGGUUGAAACUAGUUUAGUGGAUAAAGGAAGUUAAGAUUUAUUUGAGGUGAUGAUAGACAUAAUUUUGUUAUGCAUGUUAGCAAUUAUUUUAAAGCUAUGUUUUUGCCUUAAGAGAUUGAUAAAAAUUUAUUAGAAAAUAAUCUGUUAAAUACUUGUUUAAUCAUAUUACUUGUCUUAGAGAAUGUUUCAACCCAACUUAGUGAGAAAGAAAGUAAGAGUUGUUGAUAGUGAAAUCUUUUUGACAAGCAUAUGAGAAAUUUAUCAGAGUUACUUUUUUGCGUAAGAAAUUAAUAAAACUUGUUGCAAAAUAUUUUGGGUUAAGUUGUGAGUCAUUCGAGCAAGUAGAGUAAUUUGAGUUGUUGACGUUAUGCUUGUUGAGUAUAAGGAUGACAUCGGUCAUUUUUAUCAUUAUAUGAUGCAUGUGUUGUUUUGCAUUUCAUGGCAUGCUAUGACACCGGUCAUUUUUAGUUUAAAGUUAAACCUUAAUAUAACUAAACUUGAAUAUACCAUUGACUGGGUCAUGGUGCCGCUGAAUCGAGUUUCUUUCCAGUGCAACCACAUUUGCCUUUGUGGGAAGGCCUUGAUUCGGUCCAUUGACACGGCCUCUGGUCGGUGCCUCCAUCUAGGGAAGGUUAUGUUGUGCUUGCCCUGGCCCGGUAAGCAGACAUAAUCUUGUGUGCUCGUUGAUGAGAUUAUGGUACCGAGUCCCCAAGUGGGAGUGUUUUGACCACGACGGUGGUUGGGGUGUCUUUGGUAGACACGGGGCCACCCAGGACCAGCCUGUUGGGGAUUUGGGUCGGAGUGGCCGGGAGAGUGCUGUGGCAAUGGAGGGGUCUUGUCGGAAUGCCGUUGGUCCACCCGAAUGGGAGUGCGAGGCCAUGGGUUCCGUGGUGUGGGUACAGUGUGCUACCUCUGCAGAGUGUGUAAUCUAUCGAUAGCCGAGUCCACGGUCAUGGACACCUCGUAGUAGGUCCCACCAUGAGUAAACGUUUAAUAAAAAUUGGACACUAAGUUGUGAACUUUGCAUUGUUGAUGGAUGGCAGAAAGGCCAUCGAGGCAUUUGGGACCAAAUGAUGGUCGUGGUUGUGAUCGCCGUAAGGAUCACGAGUUGUUCUUGAGAAAGACCACUUUGGUGGUGUGUUUGUGAUCCAGAGAUGAUCACGAUUGGUAAGCUGUCCCGAGGGACGUUCAAGCAUGACCACAGCAUGUUGACAUACAGUGUUGCAUUUUUAAUAAUUGGUUAAAUAUCAUGAUAUUGUUUGUCAUUACGAUUAUGCCUGUUGUGAGCUUGCAAGUACAUUCAAUGUACUCACUUGGCGUGUCAUGCCAGAUUUCAGGAAAGUAUCGUUGGAGAGGAGCGCUGUUUGAGUCUAGAUCGUGUCCACAUCAGUGUCCCUGUGAUAUGGAGCUUCCACCAUGACGUUAUUCCUCUGCCACGUAGUUGUUCGGAUCGAGGCCCCUUUAUGUUUACUAAAUAAUGUACAUAUUGUUCAGCCGCACCGAGUGUGCCGCUUGGCCUCGACAGAUGUUAUAAUGUAACUAUGUUCCGCUAGCAUCAAUAAAGCGGUUGUUAUUCUGUACCAAGAUGUUGUGUGUUGCCAGAAGACAUGGUCUCUAGGCUGACAAUGCAUGGUAAACCGGUCGCUCUGAGUCGGGGUGCCACACGCCAUGACUGCCCUAAGACGGGCAAAGGCAUGGCAAGUAGAUCUUGAUCUAGAGGACUUAGCGAAUGGCUGCGCCAGUGUGAUAGAAGACGGGUCUCCCUUCAGCGCUGAUGAUUUUACACAAAUAGCAAGGGAAAUGCGUCCAGUAGCAAGCAAGCUGGCCGAAGAAACAGAUCUAUCCAAAUACCAGGCGGCUUAUGAUGCCGAGAACAAGAAGGUGAAAGCGCCGGUUCAUCAAGAAGUGAAUCUUAUCCCGCUGACUUGUAAGCAUACCUUUGCUUCUGAUAUUGAUCCAUCAAGUCUUAUAGACGAUGAGGCUGUGUUUAGAGCUUUGACCGUUAUCAACUCAGCUAUGCAUGACUUCCAGCCAAUGGAUAAUCAAGGAGAUGAAGACAAAGACGCGCAGGAUGACCCGGAGGCUUUGACCCGCCAAGACUAGAAGUCUUAAUUCAUGAGCUGGUUUUUGUGUAUCUCAAAAACACCUUAUUGUUUUGCAGCCAUAUGAUUCCUUGUAAUAGGCUAGUUUGAACAAUCCUGGUCUGUCACGCCAUUGUGCGUGUUUAUUUGCAUAACAUUGCCGAUACAUUAUUCAAAAACCCGCCACUUAUGCUUAUAAUAUCAUCAACUUUGCAAAGCAUGCUUAUCAUUUUUUCCUGCGCAUAAGCAGAUAACAAGUGCCCUGACAGUUUACCCUAGGGCAGGUCACAAUACCCCAUAUAAAAACCACUAAUGACUAAAUAGUCCAUAACCAGGGCCGAUUUAUCAAAAACUCAUACAAUCACAACAAAAAAAUAUCAUACAUGUGAUAUUUGUUCACACUGUCGGCUUAUCAUGCGUCAUGCAAUAAGGGUCACAACCCAAAGAUUGAGAGCACAAUGCCCUGUUCAAUUUAUUCAUACCGCCGGCUUACAAUGCCAUAUGCAGCAAGGAGUAACAUCCCAAAUCUUAGAGACAGUACUCCAAGCACAUAAUCAUAACACACUGGCGACUUAAGGUCCAAAUCCAGGUCCGGUUAAUAAAACGCUGGAUAGAUUCAUAUAUGAACCAUAAGGCAACAUGGCCCUAACCAGUUUUUCAACCAUGUAUCAACAAGGUCCAAAAGAUGAACCUCAAAAACUGUUCAAACCAAACAUAAACCAGAAAACAAGGGAUUCAUAGGCUGCCAAGCCUCAAUGUCAAGUGCUAUUCAAGGGUCACAUAGCCGCUGAGUUAAACCUUAAUUCAAACCCGUAGGUCGGACCUCACAUGACCAAUCGCCGUUUUAACUUUGACAAAUUCAGCAUCUUUAUAAGAUUGAUUUUCAAGAGUACGUCGAGUCAUUCCAGGAUUACCUAGUCGGAGUGGCAGGCAAACAAAGGCAGGAUAACCUGGAUUUUUGGUGAAUACACCUGGCGUCCAAGCCUAUUACAAGGGACAACAAAGCCCUGUUCAUUAAUGAGGAGCCCCCAAGUAAUAUUUCAUUCCAGGUGUAUAAGCUGGAUUAAUAGGGUAGUCAUAGCUAUGCUCAAUGAGUAGGAAGCCCCCAAGUAUUUUGUAAUUAUGGCGUACAAGCCGGAUCAAGAGGGUAGUCAUAGCUACGCUCAAUAAGCAGGAAGCCCCCAAGUGAUCGUAUGAAGGGACAAUAAAGACUCAUAUUCUCAGAAAUGAAACGACGGAGGCCCUGAAUUAUCAGGGAUGCCGGCUUUAUUAUAUUCAUCGUAAUAUAUACAUGGACAAAGUAUGUACAUCACAAGAGCUGGUGGCUCAGGUGUAAUAAGGCCGAAUAUGAGCAAUAUUCCAUGGCUGGUGGGUCUCCUCCUCCGACGUGCGUGAGUCCUUGUGGUCUCGAACAUCGACAAGGUAGUAUGACCCGUUGUUCAGAUUUUUUUCCUGACCACAAAGGGCCCUUCCCAAUGCGAGGAUAGCUUGUGCAUGUCAGUUUGAUCCUGGAUGAGCCGGAGCACCAAAUCUCCUUCUUGAAAGGUCUUGGUUUUAACCCGGAGACUAUGAUAACGACGCAGAUCUUGCUAGUACAUCGCCGAAUGAGCCGCCACAUGGUCACGCUCCUCAUCCAACAGGUCAAGAGCACCUUGAGGUGCUUUUUCAUUAUCAGUUUCAACAUAAUCCGCCACAUGGGGCGAAUCCGUGAUGGAUGUCACUUGGGAGAACCGUCUCUACUCCGUAAACCAUGAAGAAAGGCAUGUAACUCGUAGAUCCAUUGGGGGUAGUAUUGAUACUCAAUAACACUAAGGGUAAUUCCUCCACACUACAACCCUGCGUCCUCUGCAAAGGGACCAUAAGCCGGGGCUUGAUGCCUCUCAAAAUUUCUUGAUUGGUUCUUUCAGCUUGGCCAUUGGACUGGGGGUGAGCCACUGAUGAUACAUCAAGACGAACAUGCCCACAUUGCCAGAAUUCUUUCAUAGCACCCUUGGACAGAUUAGUGCCAUUAUCAGUUAUAAUGUUGUGAGGAAAGCCAAACCAGAAAAUCGCCUUUUUGAUGAACUGAACCGUUGUUGCCGCGUCACACUUACUGACCGGCUCUUCUUCAACCCACUUAGUGAAUUUGUCAACUACCACCUAAAGGUGGGUCUUUUUUAUCUUUGGACCUUUUGAAAGGUCUAGCCAUAUCCAGCCCCCAAACUGCAAAUGGCCAAGUGAUUGGAAUCAUCCUCAAUUCUUGAGCCGACACAUGGGCUCAUUUUGAAAAUUUCUUGCAACCAUCACAUUUACUGACCAAAUCCUCUGCAUCAGCAUGAGCUGUUAGCCAAUAAAACCCAUGACGGAAAUCCUUGGCUGUGAGGGACUUUGAGCCGGCAUGAUGACCACAAUCUCCUUCUUGAAUCUCUUGUAGAAUCUCACGGCCUUCCUCAGGAGAAACACAAUGUUGAAACACCCCUGUGACACUGCAAUGCUGCAAUUCUCCACUGACAAUAGUCAUUGACUUAGACCACCGGGUUAUCUGCCUAGCCAAAGUUUCAUCUUCAGGUAGCUCACCUCGGGACAUAUAAGUCAAAUAUGGAACUGUCCGAUCAGGAAUAACAUGAAGAGCCGCCACCAAUUGCGCCUCCGGGUCAGGAAUAGUAAGAUCCUCCUCCGUAGGCAAUUUGACUGAAGGGUUAUGCAGAAUAUCAAGGAAAAAAUUAGGUGGUACCGGCUUACGCUGGACCCUAGCCGGCUCAAAGCAUCAGCCGCCUCAUUUUUCCUGCGAUCAACAUGUUCCACUUGAUAGCCUUUGAAAUUACCAGCAAUAGCAUCAACCUCCUGGUGGUAAGCCGCCAUGAGUUGGUCUUUUGAAUCCCAAGUGCAUGAGACUUGCUGGGCCACCAAAUCUGAGUCGCCAAAGCACCUCACCUGGCUUAGAUUCACAUUCUUAGCCAUCCGAAGACCAUGGAGCAAGGCUUCAUACUCAGCUGCAUUGUUAGUACAAGGGAACAUCAACCUUAAAACAUAACAAAAUUUAUCACCUCGUGGGGAAGUGAAAACAACUCCAGCCCCGAGCCUUCCAACUGCCUGGAUCCAUCAAAGUGAAUAGACCAAUAUGUGCUAUCCGGCUUCUCUUCGGGCAUCUGCAACUCUUUCCAAUCAUUGAUGAAAUCCACAAGUGCUUGAGACUUGAUGGUUGUGCGAGGCAUAUAUUUCAAACCAUGGGGUCCAAGCUCAAUGGCCCACUUGGCUACCUGACCUGCGGCCUCUCUGUUCUGAAUAAUAUCCCCUAAAGGAGCAGAACUAACCACAGUGAUGGGAUGACCAAGGAAAUAUUGCUUGAGCUUUCGACUAGCCAUGAACACCCCAUAUACCAGCUUCUACCAAUGCGGAUACCUCUGUGUGGAUUGAAUGAGCACCUCACUGAUAUAAUAAUCCGGCCGCUGAACCAGAUGUUCCUUUCCUGCUUCCUUUCAUUCCACCACAAUUGCUACACUAACAGCUCGGCCAUUGGCAGCCACAUAUAACAACAAGGGCUCCUUAACAAUAGGAGCGGCAAGGAUCGAUGGCUCAGAUAACUAUUUCUUCAGGGCUUUAAACGCCUGAUCAGUAACAUCACUCCAUACAAAGUGAUAUGUUUUCUUCAUCAUCUGGUACAGAGUGAUAGCUCUUUCUCCCAACCAGCUUAUGAACCGGCUUAAGGCCGCAAUACGACCCGCCAGACGCUGAACAACAUUAAUGCAUGCCGGUUUAGCCAAAGAAGUAAUAGCCUUGAUUUUCUCCGAGUUAGCUUCAAUGCCUCAUUCAGAAACCAAAAAACCCCAAGAGCUUGCCAGCUGGCACACCAAAAACACACUUGGCCGGGUUAAGCAUCAUCUUGUAGACCCGGAGAUUGUCAAAGAUCUCUUUCAAAUCAUCUAUCAAGGUUUCCUUCAACCUGGAUUUCACAACAAUAUCAUCCACAUAAGCAUGAACAUUACGUCCAAUCUGACCAUGAAGGCAAUUUUGAACACACAGCUGGUAAGUCGCCUGGGCACUCUUGAGCCCAAAAGGCAUAGACACAUAGCAGAAGGCUCCAAAGGGAGUGAUGAAGGCUGUCUUCUCCUGGUCCUUAACUGCCAUCUUGAUCUGAUGAUACCCAAAACAAGCAUCCAAAAAACUCAAACGCUCACAACCCGCCAUAGCAUCAAUAAUCUUAUCAAUAUGAGGGAGAGCGAAAGGAUCAACCGGACAAGCUUUAUUAAGGUCUGUGUAAUCCACACACAUGCGCCAAGUACCAAUUUUGUUAAGCACCAGCACCGGGUUAGCCAACCAUUCAUGAUUAAAAAAUUCAACAAUGAACCCAUCUGCCAAGAGCCAGGCCACUUCUUCACCGAUGGCCUUACGUCUCUCCUCAUUAAAGCGACAAAGGAAUUGCUUGACUGACUUAAACUUUGGAUCAAUAUUGAGAGUGUGCUCAGCGAGUUCCCUCGGUACACCUGGCAUGUCUGAAGGCUUUUGAUAACCCACAAGUAUAGGGGAUCAAUUGUAGCCUCUUUCGAUAAGUAAGAGUGCCAAACCCAACGAGGAGCUAAAGGUAGAACAAAUAUUCCUUCAAGUUCUAUCGACCACCGAUACAACUCUAUGGACGCUUAACGUUCGCUUUACCUAGACCAAGUAUGAAACUAGAAGUACUUUGUAGAUGUAAUAGGAUAGGUUUGCAAGAACCUAAAGAGCAUGUAAAUAAAAACUAGGGGCUGUUUUAGGUAAAGAAGCAAUAAAGUUAGUAUAGCGGGUGUGGAAAAGUGGUGGUAGGAGUUGCGAAAUUGUCCCUAAGCAAUUGACUACUUUACUAGACCGAUAGCAAGAUUUAUGUGGGACAGGCCACUGCUAGCAUGCCAUCACUGACUUGGAAUUCUAUGCACUUAUGAUUGGAACUAUUAGCAAGCAUCCGCAACUACUAAUGUUCAUUAAGGUAAAACACAACCAUAGCAUUAAGAUAUAUUGGUCCCCCUUCAAUCCCAUAUGCAUCAAUUUCUAUGCUAGGUUGAAGCUUCUGUCACUCUUGCCCUCCAAUACAGAGUCCUAUCAACACACAACUAACCCUAUGGUGUGAUCCACGCGCGUGCUCAUAUGAUGAGCACCAAAGGACAACAACAUAACCACAAACAAAUUAAACCAAUCAUAGCAAUUCACCAAUUACUGAUAGGACAACGAACAUCUACUCAGACAUCAUAGGAUGGCAACACAUCAUUGGAUAAUAAUAUGAAGCAUAAAGCACCAUGUUCAAGUAGAGGGUACAGCGGGUUGCGGGAGAGUGGAUCCUUGUAGAUAGAUGGGGGAAGGUGAUGAAGAUGUUGGUGAAGAUGACAGAGGUGUUGGUGUAGAUCGUCGUCACACGAUGAUGGCCCCGGCGGUGUUCUGGCGCCACCGGGAGAGAGGGGGAGAGGGGCCCCCUUCUUCUUCUUCCUUGACCUUCUCCCUAGAUGGGAAAAGGGUUUCCCCUCUGGUCCAUGGCUUCCAUGGCGGUGGAGGGGCGAGAGCCCCUCCGAGAUUGGAUCUGUCUCUCUGUCUCUCUCUAUUUCUGCGUUUCAGAUUCUCGCCUUUCAUCGUUUCUUUUAUUCCCGGAGAUCCGUAACUCCGAUUGGGCUGAAAUUUUAACACAAUUUGUAUCGGAUAUUGGCUUUCUUGCGGCGAAAGAAGGGUACCAACCACCUUACGGGUUGGCCAUAAGGGUUAGGGGCGCGCCCCCCUGCCUCGUGGGCCCCUCAAGCAUCGUCUCGCGUUGAUUUCACUUCCCAAAAUUCACAUAUAUUCUAGAAAAAAUCUCCGUCAAUUUUUAUCCCGUUUGGACUUCGUUUGAUAUGGAUUUUCUGCGAAACAAAAAACAUGCAAUAAACAGGAACUGGCACUGGGCACUGGAUCAAUAUGUUAGUCCCAAAAAUAGUAUAAAAAGUUGCCAAAAGUAUAUGAAAGUUGUAUAAUAUUGGCAUGGAACAAUAAAAAAUUAUAGAUACGACGGAGACAUAUCAGCUUUCAUGCAAAGAUGUACCGGUUCUCAUGGAUGAACUCGAUGAGCGCGCUUCCCUAUUUUGAAACCAGAUUAGCACUGAUACUGAACUGCUUGGAUGAAUCGCGAGGGGCAAAAUCAACCAACUUAGUGUCAUCUACCGAUUUAAACUUCAACAGAGGGUCAUGCUCUAUGGUUGGUUUCUUCAAAGGUAUCAUAUCUACCUGGUCAAGAUUAUCUUUGUAAAACUUCAAUUCUUUCGUUGCACAAACGGACUCAGCAUAAGCAACAUCGCCCUCUUCACACUCCAAGGCUAUCUUCCGGUUCCCAUGCACUGUGAUGGUACCCUUAUAACCCGGCAUCUUAAGGUGCAGAUAAACAUAACAAGGCCUUGCAUGAACUUAGCAUAAGCCGGCCUCCCAAACAAAGCGUGAUAAGGGCUCUUAAUUUUAACCACCUCAAAGGUCUACGUCUCAACUCUAGAAUCAUGAUCAUCACCGAAAGCCACUUCCAAAGCUAUAUUGCACACUGGAUAUGCCGACUUACCAGGCACCACACCAUGAAAAACAGUGUUAGAUAGCUUAAGAUCCUUGUCAGUCAAACUCAUACGACGGAAAGUUUCAUAGUAAAGGAUAUUGAUGCUGCUGCCUCCAUCCAUGAGCACCUUAGUGAACUUGUAACCUCCAACCUGAGGUGCAACCACUAAAGCCAAGUGACCCGGAUUGUCUACCCGGGGCGGGUGAUCCUCACGGCUCCAAAGAAUAGGAUGUUCAGACCAUGGCAAGUAACGGGGAAUCACCGGCUCAACUGCGUUCACCGCCCUUCUAUGAAUAUUCUGGUCUUGUUUACAUAAACUCGUGGUGAACACAUGAUACUGUCCACUAUUCAACUCCUUUGGAUUACUCUGAUAACCAGAUUGCCGCUGCUGAUUCCCUUGACCAGACUACUGAUUAAAACCACAUUGAUUGCCUUGGCCCUGGAAACCAGAGUUUGAACCACCACCACCAAAGCCAUGCCCGUGAGAGCCAGAUCCUAAACCGCCAUUUGGGCCAUGUUUGUCUAUAAAAAAUUGGAAUUCCUAUACUCCCUCAUGAUGAUGCAAUCCUUCCACAGAUGAUUGGUCGGCUUCUCUUGCGUACCAUGCUUUGGACAAGGUUGAUUCAUCAUCGCCUGAAUAUUAAAUUUUGGCCCUCCAAGCCGGGGCGGCUUUCCCUUGCGACGCUGAUUAUUAUUCUUCAUAUUGGUGCUAGCCACAAAAUCUAAAUUACCAUCAGCCUUGUGCUUACCGUUGCCACUUUGACCCGCUAUAUUAUGCUGCUGCCCCUUCGUAUUGCCGCUCUUAUAUCCCUUACCCGCCUUCUCUUCAUCAGAGUCGGGGUCUUUUGUACUAUCAGAGUUGGCAUAUUUGACGAGAGCCGCCAUGAGCUCCCCCAUGUCAUUGCAAUGGCGUUUAAGCCGCCCCAGUUUCUGCUUAAGGGGAAGGAAGCGACAAUUUUUCUCCAACACUAGGACUAUUGAACCGACAUUGAUAGUGUCCGAUGAGUGUAUAACAGCUGAGACCCGGCGCACCCAAUUGGUUGUUGACUCACCCUCACCUUGGACACAAGAAUCCAAAUCCAGGAUCGACAUAGGCUGCUUGCAUGUGUCUUUAAAAUUUUGGAUGAAACGAGUUUUCAACUCCGCCCAUGAUCUAAUGGAGUUAGCGGGCAACCCUUUCAACCAAGUAUGAGCCGGCCCAUCCAACAUCAUGGUGAAAUACUUAGCACAUGCAGCAUCUCCAUGGCCAUGACAUAGCUCUCAAUCCAAGCCUCGGGGGGCUGAUCUGCCGUGUAAUUAGGCACCUUACGAGGACUAAGGGAGUCUUGGAUUAUGGGGUCCCCGGGUGUCCGGGCUAUGUGACAUGGGCCAUACUGAUGGGUCGUGAAGAUACAAGAUAGAAGGCCUUCCCCCGUGUCCGGAUGGGACUCUCCUUUGCGUGGAUGGCAAGCCUAGCAUUCAGAUGUAUUAUUUCCUUUCUCUGUAAACCGACUCCGUACAACCCUAGACCCCUCCAGUGUCUAUAUAAACCAGAGUGUUUAGUCCAUAGAGGCUAAGAAAAAUCACAUAGGCUAGACAUCUAGGGUUUAGCCAUUACAAUCUCGUGGUAGAUCAACUCUUGUAACCCCUAUACUCAUCAUAGUCAAUCAAGCAGGAAGUAGGGUAUUACCUCCAUCACGAGGGCCCGAACCUGGCUAAACACCGUGUCCCCUUGUCUCAUGUUACCUUCGAUCCUCAGACACACAGUUCGGGAUCCCCUACCCGAUAUAGGCCAGUUUUGACACCGACAUUGGUGCUUUCAUUAAGAGUUCCACUGUAUCGUCAACAGAAGGUUCGAUGGCUCGUUCCAUCAUCCACAAUGAUGCCGUUUUCAGGGAAGCUUUCCUCCCCGGCCAGAUUUUUGUGUUCGGCGGCUUCGUUCUGCAUGCCAACUCAAUUGGCCACGUUGAACAGAUUGAUAGCUAUGCCCCCGGCCAUUAGAUCAGUUUCAGGAACCUAAAUUAUAUUUCUGAUAUCCGAGGAGACUUGACAGGGUUCGCGGCCCCGACCACCACUCUGGCCUUAGAUCUGGAGCAAACCGCCAAGUUCGAAGAUGGGAGUUUGGAGCCCACCGGACUCUCCACUGCAAACUGCACUAUCGAAGAUCUGGAGGCGAUUGUGUCCACGGAGAACUCAGAAUCAGAUCGGGUUCGUCCUAUCACUGAAAGGCCGGACUCGCCCCCGAACUCCAUAUCCGAACUCUCGAAGUCCGUGCCAAGCAAGCAUGGCCAGGAGGCCUUCGCCCCGAUCGGCCUCGCGGAAUCUCGUUUCCCCGUCCAAUCCUCGCCCUUAAACGAGGCUCUAGAGUUAAUGCGGUCCCUCGCUAUUACUAAGGAAUCACCUCCGAAAUAUGCCCAGCCCGGAUCAGGGGCUGGGAGCAGGGAAUUUUAUGUCCCACCCGCCACCCACUUCAUAGCCACCGUCGAGGACUUAACUGACAUGCUGGAUUACACCUCCGAAGACAUCGACGGCGUGGACGACGAUGCCAAGGACGAACAAGGCCAAGACCCAUCGUUUACCGGACGAUGGACGGCCACCUCCAGAUACGACGUGUAAAUGGUGGAUACAGCCAAAGAGGAUGAUGGCGAAGGCAGGAAGGAUCCAUUUGAGGACAAACCUGAUGAGGCUCCACCGAAGUGUCGAUGCCAGCAACACCGCUCAAAAUCACGUCGUGGUCAGGACAGGAAUAUCGGCACUGGAGACGAUAACACUCUGGAGGGUUCCGAAGACCCAGAAGCCCCCAUCGAGCCCACAUCCGAACAGGACAAUGUGUAGGAGGGGCAAGUUGACCCCGAUGAUCCGGUCGGGAACGAGGACUCGGAGGAUAGAAACUAUCUUCCGCUCUCCGAAGACGAUGUCAGCCUCGGCAACGAAGAUUUCGUCAUGCUGGAGGAACACCUCGAGUAGGAGCGCUUCAAGCGCCAACUAAUCACCACUACAAGAAGCCUAAAAAUCAGCAGCAAUGGCUCCAAGCUGAACAGGAUACGCUCGACGACAGAUGGACACAGGUCCUAGUUGCCGAAGAAUAUGGCCUACAACGCCCAACAAAGAGCUAUCCGAAGCGUCGGCUACUGCCACAAUUCAACAACGAGGCCUUUGAGCCAAUACCGUCAAAACAUGACCGCGCUGAUGAACCAAACCGGCCACCGCGUGGGCUAGAUAAAGCGGCCACCUACGCCGAACACCAACCUGCACCACCUUGCCAUAAGGGCAGAGAGACAAAGGCUCCAGGAUACACCUACGACCUAUGACAAGACCUGAGUAAUAGAGCAGGACAAACAAGAUCAAUCUAUGGAUCAAGGGGGUGCGCCCCAAUGCGAGAAGACGACCAUCAAGCUUGGCCUGACAGGCAUAACCUCACCAGGGACGAAAAUCGCAUACAGAUGUCAUCCGAACUCCGUCGCGACAUUGCCCGAUACAGAGGCGCUACACCCCCUUAUGCUUUACCAAGGAGGUAAUGCAGUACCAGUUCCCAGAAGGGUUUAAACCCGUAAACAUUGAAUCAUACGACGGCAUGACAGAUCCCGUGGUACGGAUUGAAGAUUUCUUUCUCCAUAUCCUCAUGGCCCGCAGUGGCGAUCUCCAUGCCAUCAAAUACCUUCCCUUGAAACUGAAAGGACCAGCAUGGCGCUGGCUAAACAGCUUCCUAGAGAACUCAAUUGGUAGCUGGGAAGACCUGGAGGACGCCUUUAGAGAAAACUUCCAAGGUACCUAUGUCCGGGCUCCGGAUGCCGAUGACCUCAGUUACAUAGUCCAGCAACCCAGAAAGUCAGCCCGAAAACUCUGGACCAGGUUCUUAAUUAAAAAGAACCAAAUUGUUGAUUGUCCGGAUGCCGAAGCCCUCGUGGACUUUAAACACAGUGUCCGUGACGAGUGGCUUGCCUGACACCUCGGCCAAGAAAAAAUGAAGUCCAUGGUAGCUCUCACCACACUUAUGACCCGCUAUUGCAUGGGAGAAUAUAGCUAACUAGCUCGUAGAAGCAAUAGCACCGGCGACCCUGGCACCUCUGAAGCCAGAGAUGGCAACGGCAGGCCACGGCAAAACAAACACAAGCGUCGAAGCAACAAUGAAGAUACCGAAGACACGGCGGUCAAUGACGGAUUCAAUGGCUCUAAACCCGGUCAGCGAAAGAAGCCAUUCAAAGGAAACAAAGAUGGUUCAUCCAACUUGGACAGAAUACUAGAUCGGCCUUGCCAGAUCCAUGGCACCCCAGACAAGCCUGCCAAUCAUACCAACAAAAAUUGUUGGGUCUUCAAAAAGGCCGGUAAGAUAAAUACCGAACAUAAGGGGAAAGGGCUGCCUAGCGAGUAUGAUGAUGAGCCUCGCCCAACGAACACAGGGGGCAAAAGAAAUCCCCCCCCCCCCCGAGAUAAAAACAGUGAAUAUGAUCUAUGUCACUCAUAUCCCCAAGCGGGAGCGCAAGCGCGCACUAAGGGACGUUUACGCCAUAUAGCCAGUCGCCCCAAAAUUCAACCCAUCACUACUAGGGAAAACCCUAGUAGUAGCACGGGUUUUGAGGCUAUCAGCAGCGCGAGCAGCCACGCUACCAAUAAGGCGCUACAGCUAACUGUUAGUAGUAGUGUUGCCUGUACCCGUGCUACUACUAUUGACUAUAUCAGCAGCGCUUUUCCGGAAAACGCUACUAUUAGUUAGCUGUAGCGAUUUCCUAGCCCCGCGCUAGUGCUAUAUCUUUCAUCAUUUCCAUCAUGUUUCAGCUUCAAUAAACUGCAAUUUCCAAAUACUAGGUACUACUAGAUAUCAAUUUCAUAAAGCAUUAUAGGUACUAGGUAGUAUUCCCUCGAUUCCAAAUUACUCGUCGUGGUUUUAGUUCAAAUUUGAACUAAAACCACGACGAGUAAUUUGGAAUGGAGGGAGUACUAGAUAACAAUUUCAUAUAUACUCAACAUGCAUCCUCAAGCAGUACUAGGUGAUAUCAACGACGAUCAUCAUAUGUACUUCUACAUGAUAUCGACGACAAUCAUCAUAUGUAGUUCUAGAUGAUAUAGCCACACACACAUAUGUAGUUCUAGAUGAUAUCGACGACAAUCAUCAUCCUCAAGCCUAGGCGGUGGGUGUUCCUGAUAGUAAUUAGGAUGGCCUGUCCAACACCAAGAUUCUUGCCAACGAGGAAUCUCUUCCACCCAACCGAGUUUAAGUGUGUGCGACCGUCUGUGUCCAUGCAGUAAGUACAAGUGGUGACGGAUCCCCUUGCGGCAAGGCGAAGUCCAGCUGAGCCUUCUUCAUCAGGCUCGAUACCACAACUCACAGAUAGGUUCUUUGGCAAUUUCUGAAUAAGAAAAACAAAUCAAUUAAUAAAUGGCCUCGCAGAUACUCUUGCAAAUAUAUUUCUAUUAAUUCUAGAUUUCUACACUAUCAAAAGACACAGUAGUACGCAUUUGUACUAAUUAAUAAUGAAUUCUACUAAUAAGUAUAUAUGGAUUAUCUACACUAUUAAUAGUUCCUUGGAUUCUACACUAAUAAGCAUGUGAUCAGACUCUACACUAAAGCAUAUCAUCGACUAGAUUCCACAAAGCAUACCAUUGGACUCUACACUAAGCAUAUCGUCAGAUUCACUAAGCAUAUCAUCUGAUAAUUUGCAUUUGUAAGUAUAAAAAUAAAGCAUAUAUAUAUCAUCAAAUUACUACAGUCAGUAUAACAUACCAUUUCAUGCCGAUCGACCAUGGUACUUGUUAGGCGGGUCACGAAUGGCACCCCGACAAAGUCAUCACGUGGCGGAAUUAUGUCCCAUAGGUUGCACACCUCCUCCUCGCUCAGCCUCAUUCUUUGAGCUACGAUGGCUUCAUGAAGUGGGUUCUCAUCAUCUUCAUAGAGUGGGUCCUCAUUAUCUUCAUCAUCUUCAUCAUCUUCGUCAUCUUCAUCAUCUUCGUCAUCAUCAUCAUCAUCUUCCACCAGGUUGAGAUAAAUGAUAGCCAGCUUGGGUCUUUCUGCUCUAAAGGAGAAGCUGAUCAACUCACCACCAGUAAGGCGCAUGUGGGCGAGGAAACGGGCCCAUCCAUCUACUCCAAUCUGUGACAUAUUGCGUCCUUUCUCGACCUCCAUAGUGUACGGCCCCCAGGAGCCUCAAAUGUCACGGUGUCUCCUGUCCUCACAUUGCAUGGGACGAUCUGUGUAAAAAAAGCAAAAUGACACAAUGCAGUAAUGCCAACACUAAAAAUAAAAUAGUUGUUACAUUUCAUCUAAUUUCUUACCGCCGCAUGACGAAAACUUGGCUGGAAGUAGAUGCCAAACAACUUGCCAGUUGCAAGGCUGUUGGCGCACCUUGACUUGCACAGUCGACUUAGUGGUGGUGGUGGCGCCAUUUUCCUAAAGCAAUAUGAGCAAAGGAUUAACGAUCCACUUCAUAGGAAAGAAAAAUAGUAGCAUGUCAUAUUUUUGGUUCUUCCGCGAGAAGCAAUUUUAUGGACAAUUAUAAUCCUAAGAUCUAGUAACAUAUUAGAUGACAAGGUACCACCUACCAAAGCAUUUCGGUGGCACCUAUUGCCAAAAAAACUUUUCACAAAUAUCUACCAAAUAAGGGUACCACCUACCAAGACAUUUCAUAUAAUUUGGCACCUACAUUUUGCCAAAAAAUAACUUAUUACAAAAAAACAAAAGCAUCUACCUAUCCAUGUACAGAAAAAAUAACAAUAAAAUGGUGCAUACUAAAUCAACUAAAUCAACUAGCCUACUAAAUCCACUAGCAUACUAAAUCAACUAAAUCAACUAGCCUACUAAAUCUACUAAAUCAACUAGCCUACUAAAUCAACUAAAUCAAAAUGUUCUAAAUCAACUAAAUCAAAAUGUUCUAAAUCAACUAAAUCAACUAGCCUACUAAAUCAACUAAAUCAUAUGAACUAAAUCAAAAUGUUGCAUAGGAACUAGCCUACUAAAUCAAAAUGUAGCAGGGAGGAGGUAGAAGGAGGGGCGACUCGAGGAGGGAGAAGAGAGUAGGACGGAGGAGGAAUGCGGAGUGAGGAGGGGCCGGCUGGCGGCGAGUCGAGGGACGACGGAGGAGGAGGGCGGUACCGAGUCCAGCGAGGAGGAGGAGUUGACGGCGGCACAGAGGGAAGAGGGGUAGGCGACGGCGGCUGGCGGGGGCGACGGCGGCCGGCGGGGGAGGACCGGCGCUCGGGGAGGGGGGGUUGAGGGGGAGUGAGUGUGAGUGUGAGUGUGGAUCGAAUAUAGGAGAGCGUGGGGGUGGGAGAUAGCUAGUUUUAGCAGUAGCGCUCUAAAGGCAGAGGCGCUACUGCUAAACUACCUAGCAGUAAUGCGGUCCGAAUUAAUGCACUGCUGCUAGAACUAGCUUCGCGGUGGGGUCGUGGGAAUUAUAGCAGUAGCGCGGCUUAGAGGAGGCGCGCUACUGCUACAUUUAUUUCAACAGCGAGUACUACCGGAGCGCGCUACUGCUACAUUGCAGUAGCGCCUUAUUUUAAAACUUGCUACUGGUAAGAUCCUGUGUAUAAGCUUUUCCCUAGUGGUGCAUGGUCAGCCUGCCCGAUCACUUUUGACCGCAGAGACCAUCCGACCAGUAUCCGUCAUGGGGGUUCGGCAGCAUUGGUCCUCGACCCUAUCAUCGAUGGAUUCCACCUCACAUGAGUCCUCAUGGAUGGCGCCAGUAGUCUUAACCUGCUUUAUCAAGACACUGUCCGUAAAAUGGGUAUUGAUCCCUCAAGGAUCAAGCCCACCAAAACCACCUUAAAGGUGUAAUACCCGGUGUAGAGACCUGCUGCACAGGGUCAAUAACACUGGAGGUAGUCUUCGGCUCACUAGAUAAGUUCCGAAACGAAGAUUUAAUCUUCGACAUCGUCCCCUUCCGCAGUGGUUACCAUGCACUGCUUGGACGAACCAGUUUCACCCGUUUCAAUGAAGUCCCGCACUACGCAUAUCUGAAGCUCAAGAUGCCAGGACCAUGCGGCGGUGUUACAGUCAAUAGAAACAUGGAGAGGUCCAAUGUACUGAGGAGGAUACUGCGGCCCUCGCAGCUGAAGUACAGGGUGGCCUUAUCAAGCCGAAUACUACAUCGGUAGUCAAGCCCCCGGACACUGUCAAAAGAGUCCGGUCCACCUUGCAGAAUGACAGUCUAGCUCAUACAGAGCUAGAUUAGAAAUUCGGCCACCGUCAAAACCCCAACCUGAUCGCGGCAUGCGUACCGCGCGUACAUAACUACGCACUAAAAAUACCAUGGGUAAGGACGGAGGCACACUGAAAACAAAGUCCACAAUAUGGGUCGACCCUAUUCGGACCUUCAUCUUCUUCCUUUUUCCUUCUUUUCAUUUUUCAGGUUCUUUACAACCCAAAUCACUUUUUGAUGGUACUAAGGGCCCUUUUUCAGGCCCCUUAUGUAUCCCCGAUCGACUCAUCCUCUCAAAGGAUCCUACACCAAGGUGAAAAGCGGCGCAGAUGUGCGGUAGAGUGUCCAAAUGAUCUUCAAGACCACCUUUUCCUUUUUUAGGACCUGUGUAGAGCUUUCCCUUGUUCUCAAAUUCUUGGCAUGUAAAAUAUCCUUGAUAAAUAUGGCAUUCUCUGUAAGAGCAUGUUUGAUGUUCCAAUCAGAAUAUAGCGGAAACAGUUUUGUCCUACCUUAUUCGGUAUUGUUCUGUUCCAUAAUUUGUAUUCCAUCUGCACGACUGAUUGACAUAUACACAUUGGCAUCAAUUGCCACGAGCUUUAUUCGGCCAUAAAUAUUCAAAAACAAAAAGUCCAAACGCUUUCAUAGUACACUUUGGUGUCCCGAAUACCGCAUUAUAUGCAUCGGCUCUGAAUCAUGUCUUUGGUCAAUAGUUGGGUUGCCCGGCUCCUGUGGUUACCACCUUAUGUUCCGCUCGUUCGGCUAAGGUAGUAAAGGGAAAACUACUGCAAUUGUGUUUCUGGCUCGUCCGGUCAAACACCUCAGUGGAGAAAGCCGAAUACUGACUGUCAUGAUAUGGCGAGAGCUGGUUAGCGGUUUGGUGACUUAUUAAAAUCUUUCAUGAUUUUUUUUGUAUUAUACGAAGGACUGGCCUCCACCUGGUCAGGUGUCUAAAGCACCCAAGUUUGGAUAGCCGAACAACAACAGGGGCUAAGCCUAUAAUCCCAUUGUCAAAGUCCUAUGGCUCAGUGAAAGUGGUAAAGUCGCAUAAUCUGAUUGCCUAGUUCGCUGCACGAUCACCUCCUUUACGAACCAAGACGUUGGAACAAGUGUGGUCAUGUGCUACUCCGAACACCCCCAUAGUAUCUACGUGGGGGCUGAAGCCCACGACUGGCAAACUUUCAGAUACAAAAAAUGGCCGCACUGGAGGAACAUAUUUUAGAUAAAAGCACAAGUACAUUACAAAGGACUUGUUUCAUAACAAAAAGUCUGGGUAGCCCAGAUACAUUCAUUCAAACAUAAUAUCCUUCAAGCAUCAACACUCUAUCAAACGGGCACCCUCUAAGACGUCCUCGAAGUACCGCCUCGGCUUGCGGUAGUCCUUGCCUUCGGGCGGACCCUCGACUACCACGACGGCGGCCUUCAUCUUCGCCCAGUGCAUCUUGACAUGGGCAAAGGCCAUCCGCGUGCCCUCUAUCCAUGCUGAGCACUUUACAACAUCAACUCGGGGCAAGGAGUCGCCGAGCCGCUUGACCAGGCCAAAAGUAGCUGCUAGGAAUGGGUCCGGCUGGCCAUAGACGGACUAUGAUGUCCUUGAUGGCCAAACCAGAAAUCCUAUGCAGCUCCUCCAGCUGCAUCAUCUGGUUGUUUAGCAGCGUUGGCCGCUCCGGCGCUAGGUACUGCAACAAGAAGAGCUUCUCCAUUGCGUUCCCUUCUUAGGCCCGGAAAUACUGUGCGGCGUCGGUAGCACUCCUUGGGAGAUCCGCAAAGGCGUCUGGAGCACUCCAUAGUCGAUUUAGCAAAGCAUAUCUUCGACCGCCAAAUAUACUCUAUUAAAGAACAGGCUUACCAGCCGCUAUCUAUCCAGCUUGCUUGACCUCCUCGUGGGUCGCCCAAGACUCGGUCUGCGCCUCCUUUGCCUCUUGAAGAGCCUUGGUGAGUUCGGCUGCCUGGGCCUUAUUACUCUCCUCCAAGGCCUCGCACUUGUUGGCGGCAUCCUGGAGCGCCUGAUCCACUUUAGUCACCCGCUCCUGAUACUUAUGGCGGGUGACUUGCUCGGCCUCUAAAUCUGCAGCUGCUUUGUCAGCGGCUACUUGGCUCACGCGUGCCUGCUCCUUGGCUUGGGCAAGGGUGCUCUUCGGAUCCUCGACCUUAGUCACCCUAUCUGUACACAUGAUCAAAAGCACAGGAGAUUAGACGCCGUAUUGACAUAUUCCUUUAAGUAUGUCAAUAUUUUUUUCCAACCAUACCUUGCGUUUCCUCAAACCGCUUGUUGGUGCGGACGAGUUCUGCAUCAGCCCGCUCCAACUUCUUCUUAAGUUCAGACACUUCGGUGGCCUGGGCGGUUGCCGCUAACAGUGAAGCCUACUUAUCAAAAUAGACAAGUAUAUUAUCUCCUGUGAAUAACUAUUUGAUCCUCUGUUCGUCCCUUCUUUGUAAAAGCCGAACAGAGUCUCAGGGGCUACUAUCUAUGCACGGGCAUAUUUUUUGCAUAUAUAAAGCAGCUAAGAAUACUACAUCACAUACCUCGAAGCCUGUUAAUAGACUGGUGAAGGCUUCUUCAGUCCGCUUUUGGCGGAUUGAACCUUCUCAACCACCGUACACAUCAGGGUAUGAUGAUCCUCCACGACGGAAGCACAUCGAAGUGCUUCCAUCAAAAUGUCUGGCGCCUCCGGAUUGAUGGAGGUCGCCAGUGGAGUCGGCACUCCCCCUCCUUCGAAGGGGGUUGCUCAUUCGAUUCUGGAGUUGUAUGGGUCUUCGGAGUGGUAUUCGGCUAGAGACCGGACUGGUCCAGCCCCCCGUCGUCAGUCUCCAUGGGGUUGUACCCCCCAUGUUCUUGGCAGCUGAGGCAUUACCCUCUGGCGCCAUCUUGGCGGCCUUCCGCACUUCUCCCUGGCCCGGAGAAGUCCUUUGGGAUAACACCUCGAUGUCAUCCGUGGCAUGUGGCAGAGAAGCUCGCGGAGGUGUCUCGCUCUCCACCAUCUCCGGCGCCAGAGAGUUCCCCAAAGAUGAUGAUUGUUGGGGGAGACCUCAAGCUGGACUGCAGCAUGAAACUUAAAGGUGUUAAAACUACUAAAAUCAUGAAAGCCGGAUAUGUAUACGGUAUUUUUGGGAACUUAUGAUGCGUCCAGGGACUUCGAGCUGGGGCGCCACUCGGGGAUGGCUUCGGUGUCCGAGUCCGAAUCAUCAGAAUGGGAGAUCUUCCCCUUCUUUGAUGCCUCCGCCUCUAAGUCCACGGAAACCAUCCUUUUCUUCUCCCCCCUUAAGGGGAGAGUUGCUCUCCUCCUCUUCCACUUCGUCUUCAUCUCCCUCGUGGGAGGAGGGAGCUUCGGUAUCUCCAGACACAGUGUCCGAAGUACCUUUAUGGCAAAGGCCACUUUUGGCCUCCUUGCCCUUCUUCUUAGCCUUCUUCUCCGACGCCUGGUACAGUGCCGGGACCAGCACCCUCGUUAGCAGAGGAAUGGCUAGGUCUUCAGGUAGUAGAGCCGGACAUCGGAUCCGCUCCGCCUUCUUUGUCCAGCCCCGAGGGAAGAAUGGAAGGCUCGGCAUACCCCUUGGAUUUACAAGUUGAAGUUAUGUUCAGAAAUCACAAAAUUUACUGGAGUGGUCGGAUGAGCGCAGUCGGGGCCGAUGUCUUCGGUCGUCUCUGGCCACGACUUCGGGGCCUUGAAAAUCAGCUUCCAGAUCUCUUCGUGCGUCGUGCCGAAGAAUCGCUGCAGGGUCCGAGGGCCAGCCGGAUUGAACUCCCACAUGUGGAGAGGCCGGCACUGGUAGGGGAAAAUCUGGCGAAAAAGCAUCGCCUGGAUCACAUCAGCAAGACUGGUGUUCUUCUCCAUCAUAUUCUUGAUGUGCUUCUUUAGCAUCGUCACCUUGUCGGACGAUGCCCAACCGAGGCCCUUGUUAAUUCACGAUGCAAUCCACAAUGUAGGUCUAGAUUUAAAAUCAAGAGUGGCGGCCCAUGUGGUGCUACGAGAUUCCGUGAUGUAGAACCACUCUUGUUGCCAUCCCUUCACGGUCUCCACAAAGGCCCCCUUGGGCCAGGUGACGUUGGGGACCUUGCUCACCAUGGUGCCGCCACAGUCCACAUGUUGCCCCUACCACUUUCGGCUUCACGUUGAAGACCUUAAGCCAUAGGACGAAGUGGGGGAUGCAGAGGAGUGCCUCGCACACGACGAUGAAUGCCGAAAUGUGGAGAAAGGAAUUUGGGGCUAGAUCAUGGAAAUCUAGCCCAUAAUAGAACAUGAGGCCGCGGACGAAAGGGUGGAGGGGAAACCCUAGUCCGUGGAGAAAGUGGGGGAUAAACACCACCCUCUCAUUGGGAUCCGGAGUAGGUAUGAUCUUCUUUUUGGCAGGGAGCCAAUGCACGAUGUUCGCGGCCAAGUACCCCGCUUCCCGGAGUUCCUAGACGUUCCUCUCUGUGAUGGAGGAAGCCAUCCACUUGCCCUACGAGCUGGAUCCAGACAUGGCUGGAGUGUUUGGUGGCGAGAGAAAAGAUUGAAACUUGGGCGCUGGAGCUCGAGGAUGGAAGGGAUGAGGAAGAAGAAGGCGUGAGGUAAAAAGACGGGUCCUUAUCCUCUUAUAAAGGCAAUGAAUAUCAAGCACCCCCUCACAAGCCUUAAAAAUCGCCUAUUCCCAAUGGGUCAUGCGAAUGGCACGGUUGGAUUACCCAAACCCUUAUUGAUGAGAAUCCUGCAAUGAGGGGACACGAUCUCUGCUUUGACAAGACGUAUCAAUGGAGGCCGCACCUCGAAACGCGAAGCGGGAGGCCAAAAGAUGAUUCAAAAUAAUAAUAGGGCCAGACAUAACAUCUCGCCGAAAAAGCUGUCAGUGGACAUAACUUAUUUUUUUAAGUAUUUUGCCCUUGUGGUUGGGGUUGUAACUAUUAUACAGAGCCGGAUUCAGUUCUCUUGUUCAGAAGACUGCUUUGGUGUAUUCGGAGGAGGAACUCGCCUUGCAAUGCUGAAGACAAUCUACGCGCCGGACACAUCGUCAUUGAAGCCUGGUUCAGGGGCUACUGAGGGAGUCCUAGAUUAUGGGGUCCCCGGGCGUCCGAGCUAUGUGACAUGGGUCGGACUGAUGGGUCGUGAAGAUACAAGAUAGAAGGCCUUCCCCCGUGUCCGGAUGGGACUCUCCUUCCCCCGCCUCCCGACAAGCCCUGUCCUGAUCCACCAAAGUCUAGGCUUCGACACCACCGCGCGCCAGGUCAUGCCUAUAAGGCUGGUUAUGGUGUUGCUCACUGCUUGAAACUAUCAGGGAGUCAAUAUGUAUACCAUAACUCUGGCUUGGGCGAGGGGUUGAAUGAAUCCGUUCACGACUAUAUGAAUAAGCCGCCUGCUGGACAAAGCUGUCUGAAGGAGUUCUUUGGCCCUCCUCGUCUCUAUCAUAGCUGGAGACUCACCUUCAACUGGGAGAGCCGCCAAACGUGACGCCGCAGCAAUCAUAUUAUCCAAAGGGUUAGAAUAAUGACCCGACGGUGUAGGAACAUGUUGAGGCGGAGUCAUAUCCAAAUUAGAUGGAUCCACAGUAUGCGGCUGAACCGGUGCUCCAGUCACGGGCGCCUCAACCGCCCGUUCACCGCAGGCAGGUCACUGGUCCCCGCCCCCGGCAUGUUUAAAAGGUUUCUCGCAUCGUACUCUAGAGGUAAGCGACUCUGGUGUCUCCUUAUCAUGAUGGCAUUUGAAGCGUUUUGAUCCAAGGUAAGCCGGAAAGACUCUACCUGAAUCCGUUGUGCCCGAACAUCGAAAGCAGCUCGCUCCGUGGCCAUCCUAGCAUUCUUAGCCGCCAACUCUUCCUUGGCUUGAGUUAUCUCAUCUCAUAACUUCACAACAUCCAUCUUAUGUUGUUCUAGAAUGUCAGGGUCUCCUCCACCCUGAUACGCCUCCAAUGUAUCUAUAAUUUUUUAUUGUUCCAUGUUGUCAUAUUAUCAAUCUUGGAUGUUUUAUAAUCAUUCUAUAGUCAUUUUAUAUCAUAUUUUGGUACUAACCUAUUGACAUAGUGCCAAGUUCCAGUUCCUGUUUUUUCUGUGUUUUUCACAUCGCAGAAAAUCAAUAUCAGACAGAGUCCAAAUGCCAUGAAACUUUAUGGAGAUUUUUUAUGGACUAGAAGGAACAUGUUGGGCCCUGUAUGCACCUGGGGGAGUCCCGAGGAGGGUACAACCCACCAGGGCACGCUAGGAGGCCCAAGCGCGCCCUGGUGGCAUGGAACAAUCAAAAAUUAUAGAUACGACGGAGACGUAUCAGCAUCCCCAAGCUUAAUUCAUGCUCGUCCUCGAGUAGGUAAAUGAUAAAAAAGAUAAUUUUUGAUGUGGAAUGCUACCUAGCAUAAUCUUGAGCACAUAUCUAAUCAUGGCAUGAAUAUUAAGAUACGAGUGAUUCAAAGCAAUAGUCUAUCAUUUGACAUAAAAACAAUAAUACUUCAACCCUACUAAUAAACCAAUCAUGUCUUUUCAAAAUAACAUGGCCAAAGAAAGUUAUCCCUACAAAAUCAUAUGGUUUGGCUAUGCUCCAUCUUCACCACACAAAAUAUUCACAUCAUGCACAACCCCGAUGACAAGCCAAGCAAUUGUUUCGUACUUUUGAUGUUCUCAAACCUUUUCAACGUUCACGCAAUACAUGAGCGUGAGCCAUGGACAUAGCACUAUAGGUGGAACAGAAUAUGAUGGUGGAGAAUACAAAAAGGAGGAGAUAGUCUCACAUCAACUAGGCGUAUCAAUGGGCUAUGGAGAAGCCCAUCAAUAGAUAUCAAUGUGAGUGAGUAGGGAUUGCCAUGCAACGGAUGCACUAGAGCUAUAAGUGUGUGAAAGCUCAAACAGAAAACUAAGUUGGUGUGCAUCCAACUUGUUUGCUCAUGAAGGCCUCGGGCAUUUGAGGAAGCCCAUCAUCGGAAUAUACAAGCCAAGUUCUAUAAUGAAAAUUCCCACUAGUAUAUGAAAGUGAUAGCUCAAGAGACUCUCUUUAUAUGGAGAACAUGGUGCUACUCUGAAGCACAAGUGUGGUAAAAGGAUAGUAACAUUACCCCUUCUCUCUUUUUCUCUCAUUUUUUUGUUUUUUUGUUUUUUUUGUUUUUUUGGUGGGCUUCUUUGGCCUCUUUUUUUUAUUUGGGCUUCUUUGGCCUCUUUUAUUUUUAAAGUCUGGAGUCUCAUUCCAACUUGUGGGGGAAUCAUAGUCUCCAUCAUCCUUUCCUCACUGGGGCAAUGCUAUAAUAAUGAUGAUCAUCACACUUUUAUUUACUUACAACUCAAUAUUACAACUCGAUACUAGAACAAAGAUAUGGGGGAAUCAUAGUGUACCGGGAUGUGCAAUGAUCUAGCAUAGCAAUGACAUAAAAAACGUACAAGCCAUGAAAACAUCAUGCUAGCUAUCUUACGAUCAUGCAAAGCAAUAUGACAAUGAAUGCUCAAGGCAUGUAUAUGAUGAUGAUGGAAGUUGUAUGGCAACAUAUCUCAGAAUGGCUAUGGAAAUGCCAUGAUAGGUAGGUAUGGUGUCUGUUUUGAGGAAGGUAUAUGGUGGGUUUAAGGUACCGGCGAAAGUUGCGUGAUACUAGAGAGGCUAGCAAUGAUGGAAGGGUGAGAGUGCGUAUAAUCCAUGGACUCAACAUUAGUCAUAAACAACUCACAUUCUUAUUGCAAAAGUCUAUUAGUCAUCGAAACAAAGUACUACGCGCAUGCUCCUAGGGGGAUAGAUUGGUAGGAAAUACCAUCGCUCGUCCCCGACCACCACUCAUAAGGAAGACAAUCAAUAAAUAAAUCAUGCUUCGACACAUAACGGUUCACCGUACGUGCAUGCUACGGGAAUCACAAACCUCAACACAAGUAUUUCUACUAAUCCACAACUACCUACUAGCAUGACUCUAAUACCACCAUCGUUAUAUCGCAAAACUAUUGCAAGGAAUCAAACAUAUCAUAUUCAGUGAUCUACAAGUUUUAUGUAGGAUUUUAUGACUAACCAUGUGAAUGACCAGUUCUUGUCAUCUCUCUAAAUAGAUAUAAGUGAAGCAAGAGAGUUUAAUUCUUUCUACAAAAGAUAUGACCAUGCUCUAACAAAUAUAAGUGAAGCAAAAGAGCAUUCUAUAAAUGGCUGUUUUCUAUGUAAAGGGAAACAGGCAAUCCAAACUUCAAAUGAAAUAAGUGAAGCACAUGAAGCAUUCUAUAAAGCCAUACUCAAAAGAUAUAAGUGAAGUGCAUAGAGCAUUCUAUAAAUCAAUGAAGGACUAUCUCAUACCAGCAUGGUGCAUAAAAUAAAGAUGAAAACUAAAUGCAAAAGACGCUCCAAGAUUGCACAUAUCGCAUGAACGAAACGAAUCCGAAAACAUACCGAUACUUGUUGAAGAAAGAGGGGAUGCCUUCCGGGGCAUCCCCAAGCUUAGACGCUUGAGUCUCCUUGAAUAUUUACUUGGUCUGCCUCAGGCAUCCCCAAGCUCUACCUCUUGCCUCUCUUCCUUCUUCUCACAUCGAGACCUUCUCGAUCAUCGAACACUUCAUCCACACAAAACUUCAAGAGAAAACUCGGUAAGAUCCGUUAGUAUAAUAAAGCAAAUCACUACUCUAAGUACUGUUGGAAACCAACUCAUAUUUUGUUUUUGCAUUGUGUCUACUGUAAUAUAACUUCUUCAUGGCUUAAUCCAUUGAUAUGAAUCGAUAGUUUCAUCAAAACAAGCAAACUAUGCAUCAAAAACAGAAUCUGUCUAAAACAGAACAAUCUGUAAUAAUAUGAACAUUUUACCAUACUUAUGAUACUUGAAAAUUCUACAAAAAUUAGGAAAAAUAAAAAAUUCACAUAGAAAGACAUUUCAAAAAGAAUCAGAACUAUUUAAUGUUCCAGUAAAAAAAUGUAAAAUCGUGCACUACAGCCAAAGUUUCUGUCCUGCACCGCACAAACUGACAAGCAUUGUAAACAUCCUAAAGGCAAACCUUGGAACGUUAUUUUUAUAAUACAAUGGAAUUGUACGAGGGGAUAAUUAUUUUUGUUGAAAAGUUUCUGUAAUCAAGAUUCACAAAGUUUCCGUGAGCAUGAACAAAGUUCAAGGCUAGCUCCCACUUCAACAAUGAUUGUGUCUCUCACUUUCGCUUUUCUUUUUGAAAAAGUUUUGGGUUCCCCUCUUUAUUUUAUUUUGUUUUUAAACUAUAUAAAGGCACUCAACAGAAAUAAAUGACUCUCUAAAACUUCCGGGUUGUCUCCCUGGCAGUGCUUUCUUUAAAGCCAUUAAGCUAGGCAUAUAGUGCUCAAUUAGUGAAUCCACCCGGAUCCCAAGGUAUAUCAAAGCCAAUUUUAAUUGCAAUGAUUUGUAAUUUAGUAGUGAGCACAAAGCAACAUAUAUCAUGUAAUGACGAAGUCUAACUCUCUUCCUAUGCAUCGGCAUGUCAUAAAAGAACAAUUCAUGCACACAUAGUAAAGGCCAAUGCAUAGUAUAAACAGUUUCUUGCAAUUUUAUCAUGUGGGAAACAUAGAGAGGUGGAGAUAUAAUUCCUCUGUCAUAAUAAUUGCAAGUAGGAUCAGCAAGCACAUGCAUAUUAUAUUCAUCAAAAUCAUCAUGUGCAACGGUAUAAGGCAACCCAUCAAUAUAAUCCUUAAUAAGGGUAAACUUAUCCGAUAUAGUGUAGUUGGGAGAAUUCAAAAAGAUAAUAGGACUAUCAUGCGUGGGUGCAAUAGCAACAAUUUCAUGUUUAACAUAAGGAACUAUAGCAAGUUCAUCUCCAUAAGCAUAAUUCAUAUCAGCAUCUUGGCCACAAGCAUAGCAAGCAUCAUCAAAAAGGGAUAUUUCAAAAGAAUCAACGGGAUCAUAGCAAUUAUCAUAGCAUUCAUCCUUCGGUAAGCAUGAAGGGGAAUUAAACAAUGUAUGAGUUGAAGAGUUACUCUCAUUAGAAGGUGGGAACGGGUGAUCAAUCUGCUCUUCCUCCUUUUGUUCUUCGCUCUCCUCCUCAUCUUUUUCAUCCAAUGAGCUCACAGUUUCAUCAACUUCUUCUUCCAUAGAUUCCUGCAAAAUAUUAGUCUCUUCUUGGACAGUGGAGACUUUCUCAAUAAGCGCAUUAAUAUAGGAAUUAUAUUCAUAAUUAUCAUAGAAAUAUUUUAGGAUAGCUAAAUUUUUAGGCCUAUAAACAUCAUCAUCAAAAGCUUCAUACUUUUCAAACAAAGAUUCAAUUUCAUAAGCACCCUUAAAAGCAACAAAUUCUUCUAUUUGUUCCACAUCAUAGUAAUCAUAUAUACCAUUAGCAUAAGAAGCUAAGGUUUCAUUAUCAUUAAAUUUGCAUGAAAAGGGAAGGUGUGGAGCCUUCAUCCUAGAGCAACAAGUGUAAUCAUAACUCAAGCAUACUUGCCGAGCAUACCACUUCAAUAUAUAAAUUUGAUCCCAUAAUAGUUUCCCUUUUUGUGUCAAGCGAUAAUCCCUAAAGUAUUCAUGUUGAUCCAACGUUACUCCCAUUACCACAUUGAAUGGGGUUUUCUCAGGAUUAUCAAAGUAGUACAUAAUUUCUAUCACAUAAUGAGUAUCGAGGGUUUUAGGAGGUUCCUCAUCUCCAUGAGUAGCAAGUACACCUAAUUUUUUGGUAUUUCGUGUUCCAUAUCCAUAACUAAAGAUAGAGAACAACUAAGAACAGCAAAUAAAAAUUACUUAGUGAUAAAGCAAACAAGCACACACGAGAAUAUUCACCCCACGCUAUUACUCCCUAGCAAUGGCGCCAAAAAAGGUCUUGAUAACCCACAAGUAUAGGGGAUCGCAACAAUUUUCGAUAAGUAAGAGUGUCGAACCCAAUGAGGAGCUAAAGGUAGAACAAAUAUUCCCUCAAGUUCUAUCGACCACCGAUACAACUCUACGCAUGCUUGAUGUUCGCUUUACCUAGAACAAGUAUGAAACUAGAAGUACUUUCUAGGUGUUGUUGGAUAGGUUUGCAAGAUAACAAAGAGCGCGUAAAUAAAAGCUAAGGGAUGUUGUAAGUAAAGAAGCAAUAAAGUAAAUAUAGCGAGUGUGGAAAAGUGGUGGUAGGAGUUGCGAAAUUGUCCCUAAGCAAUUGACUACUUUACUAGACCGAUAGCAAGUAUUAUGUGGGAGAGGCCACUGCUAGCAUGUCAUCCCUGACUUGGAAUUCUAUGCACUUAUGAUUGGAACUAUUAGCAAGUGUCCGCAACUACUAACGUUCAUUAAGGUAAAACCUAACCAUAGCAUUAAGAUAUAUUGGUCCGCCUUCAAUCCCGUAUGCAUCAAUUUCUAUGCUAGGUUGAAGCUUCUGUCACUCUUGCCCUCCAAUACAUAGUCCUAUCAACAUACAACUAACCCUAUGGUGUGAUCCACGCGCAUGCUCAUAUGAUGGGCACCAAAGGACAGCAACAUAACCACAAGCAAAUUAAAUCAAUCAUAGCAAUUCAUCAACCACCGAUAGGACAACGAAAAUCUACUCAGACAUCAUAGGAUGGAACACAUCACUGGAUAAUAAUAUGAAGCAUAAAGCACCAUGUUCAAGUAGAGGGCCCAGCGGGUUGUGGGAGAGUGGACCACUGUAGAUAGAGGGGGGAAGGUGAUGGAGAUGUUGGUGAAGAUGGCGGAGGUGUUGGUGUAGAUCGCGGUGAUGAUGAUGAUGGCCACAGCAUCAUUUCGGCGCCACCGAAAGAGAAGGGGAGAGGGGGCCCCUUCGUCUUCUUCUUCCUUGACCUCCUCCCUAGAUGGGAGAAGGGUUUCCCCUCUGGUCUUUGGCCUCCAUGGUAUGGGAGGGGCGAGAGCCCCUCCGAGAUUGGAUCUGUCUCUCUGUUUCUGCGUUCUCUGUUGCUGCCCUUUCACCGUUUCGUAUAUAUAUGGAGAUCUGUAACUCCGAUUGGACCGAAACCUUCGCCGUGUUUUUUUACCAAAAAUUAGCUUUCUUGUGGCCGAAGAAGGGCAUCAACCGCCUUACGGGUGGACCACGAGGGUCAGGGGCGCGCCCAGGGGGUGGGGCACGCCCCCUGCCUCGUCCCACCUCGGACACCGUUUCGCGUUGAUCUUUCUCCCAGAUUUUCCAAAUAUUCCAAAAAUAAGCUCCGUCCGUUUUUAUCCCGUUUGGACUCUGUUUGAUAUGGAUAUUCUGCAAUACAUAAAACAUGCAACAAACAGGAGCUGGCACUGGGCACUGGAUCAAUAUGUUAGUCUCAAAAAUAAUAUAAAAAGUUUCCAAAAGUAUAUGAAAGUUGUAGAAUAUUGACAUGGAACAAUCAAAAAUUAUAGAUAGGACUGAGACAUAUCAACAACACAAUGGAAAUGGUCAGCCAGAUCAAAGGUGUGCGUGAUAUACGGCAUGCGGUUCACUCGGAUGAACUGUUUGCGUUGAGACAUGAGAACAGAAAUGGUUCAAAUGAACAAGAUGUGUGUGAUACGCGGCAAACAGGUCUGUAAUCAAAAAUGUGUGUGAAUACCGAUAAUUACACAAACGAUUACUGCUAAUAAGACAUGUGUGUUGUGCGAUGGGAUCGCAUACAGAACAACAACAUAUAUAUACACACACUUAUAAGGACAUGCUUGCAUAACCAAAUUAAACAUCCACUUACAUAGGUGGCUACUACAACCAUGGCAUUUGCACACACCAAAGUAAACUAUUACAUGCAUAAUUACAUAGGUGGCUACUACACACAUGACAUUUCCACACACCAACAAUAAAGUAACCUAUAUAUUACAUGCAUGAUUAACUAGCAUAAACAUUCAUCUGAUCAUCAUCUACUUCUUGUGACGCUUGCUCUGCUUGUGGCUCGAUCCGGGCUUGUCGAUUUUGGUAAUGAGGCACUUCCUCAUGUCAACGAUCCGCAUGUGCCUGUCGUAACAUGUUUACACGCUCUUGGCCGCAAACCUGAGGUGAGGUUCAUCUAGUUGCCGCAUCCAGGCCCCAUGCCAGGAUACCAGACUUGUUCUCUGGGCAUCCUGCUUCAUCUUUUCGUAGUAGGGGUCAAUGAUGGCCAAGGCGAGUUCGACCAGGGAGUCCUUCCUCAUGUUACCCCAGACCCUGUAGUGGUCAUGAAUUUCGACAAGGUUCUUGCAGGCCAAGCCCAUAACACUAAGCACUUUUACAUCGUUGGUGGUUUCCACCGUGGCGAACUAGUAGUCAGUGUUGUUGACAAACCUAAUGAGACGGUCGCAAGGCUCUGUGGCCAUGCAGUAGUGGUAGAUGAGGACAUGAUGGCACAUGCACAACUAGGUGACGGCAACCUUCUGAUCUAUGCCGAGAUGACCGGCGGUGUACUGGAGGUCGAUGCCGACCACCUUGUACUUGUCUCCAGCAAGCAACUGCUCAACGUUGUUGAUGUAGUCGUCCACCACGGCCGGGUCGAUGGUGUACACCACCGAGAGAUCCGUCUCCCUCGCGUGGGUCUCCACUCUAUGCUCGAUGAACUCCAUUGGAGUGUCGCUGGACAUCCCCUCUCAAUGUGUCGUUGUGGGUGUGCUUGUUGUGUUGUGGGGCGCGAUCGAAAGGUUGAAGAGACUAAGGUUAUAAUGGCCGCGGGAAUUAAAGAGGAAGCCGGAUGGCCAAGAAUAUCGGCAGGCCCUGAUGGCAGUUCUAAUUUGCAGCACGUAACUCCAUCGUGCCACACGUAACUGCAUCACGUGGCAACGCGCGCGGUGCAACCGCAUGCAUGCGGAGCCCUCGAUGUGAUCAUGCGCACGCCCAGCCGUUGGCAGAGAGCCUCGGAGGGAUGCGAGCAGAGCGCUCCGCAUAUAUCAGUUGAACACGCCAGGAAAAGCUGUCCACAAGCCGAGCGUGUCGACGGAUGCAAGCAGAGCGCGCCAACGGACGGGAGCAGAGCAUGCCGCGGCGCCUAACGGCGGGAUAGACCUUCAUUCAAGCCAAUGAAAAUAAGACUGGAAUGGACAUGUCUGUAUUGAGCAAAGGGAUCGCACAUGUCUAUAUUGGCUGGAACGAGAAUGCAAUAGCAAAAUAAGAAUUAAGGCCACGAUGCUGCGAUCAUAGUGGUGGUUAUAGGAGGCGUGAAGGAAGAUGCAUCCAUCAAUGUACGACCUCCUCCUCCUCAACUUAGUGCGCCGACCGGGCUACCGACCGGCGGCUAAGGAGCGGCGGCUUUUGUGGCGAGGUCAAGGUGCUUCUCAACAAAUGCAUCCAAGGCUUCCAGCUGGAUGAAGAAGGCCAACGUCGUAGCGUCCUCACUGGCCUGGUAGAUACCUAUGUACACGAUUUGCUCAUACACAUAGAUGUGUAGGUCGACGGUUUCUUGUAGGGCGAGGCGCCUCACGGCGAGCGCGACCUCCAGGUGGACAUUCUUCGUGGUGCUGACGGACAGUUGCAGGGCCACCAGUGCUUGAAAGAGGUUCCGACCAGGGAGGCCGAUUAGGGUGGCAGGCAAUGAGGAGCCUGGGCGCGCGGGCUAGGGGAGUACGGCGAUGUUGUCCGUGAGCUUCUUGACAACGACAAACCUGUUCGUGAUGUGAAUGAUCGUCUGGUCCAACUAAGAGUCCUAGCUGGCAUCAACGGCGGCCAUCCACCAGCCGGUCGCCAACACCAUAUGGAGAUGAUCCACGGUGCCAUGCCACAGGCCGGCAUCAUGGACCAUCUGGCACAGCCGCUGGCUGCUUGCGUGCAUCGCCGCCAUGGGUCUGGAGUGGGCACUUUUGCGCUUAUUAGUGUAGGUGCUUAUGAAAAUUCUUAGGUGUGUACGAUGUGGUAGAUGCAUUGGAAUGGAGGGGCGCCUUUAUAUGAGUGCAAACUGCGUUGCAUUCACAUCGUGUUGCCUCUCUUUUCCCGGUCCUCCCAUUACUUCCAUCAUGCAUUCACACGAUGCUAAUUGAAGGAGGAUGCAUCAUUGGCCAUUCAACAUUUCGGGAACAGCUGCCCUCUCCCUCGUCUGCAUUAAAGCCGUAUCGAGAACUGCGUCGCCCGCUGUCAAAUCGAAUAGUACUGCGCCGCCCGUUGCACGCCUGGCUGAACACGCCUCCUCCCCUACAUCUAUGCUUAAUUACUGAAUUUUAGUUGCAAAAAUUAGAACUGCUAGUGAUUUUUAGCUUCAUAUUUUGACAAAUCGCGGUGUUACAAGGUUGGCAAAUGGCAAUGUUACUAGAUCAAUAAAUGUCAAUCUUUCUAGUUUGACAAAUGGAAACAUACCUGAAAGUGCAACUAUCCCUGGGUGGUUUUGGUAAUUCCUAACAACAUAUAGUUCAUUGAGCUAAUGCUACUUAAAGAUAAACAUUUCAGGGAAGCUCAGUGAUUGGCAUGGCAUGGAUGAGAAAACUGGAUCCCUCAAAAUUCUAAGGACAAAGGAUUGGCUCAAGCUCAAAGCUGAGGACUCUACAUUUUUCAUUUUAAGUGGUCCAAGAUCACAUUGAGUCCAUAGGAAAAGCCAAUACUAUUAAGAGGGUAUGAGGUGUUGCCUAAUGGCUUUCUUGCUCAAAGUGCUUAGUGAUAUGCUCCAAAAACCCUCAACUACUUUCUCAUAUCCACAUAUGUCUCAAACCAAAAGUCAACUCGGCCCCACCGAAACUUACUAUCCGGCGCCACCGAGUUCAAUUGACAUAGCCACUGCUAGAAACCCUAGUAUUUUCGGUCUCACCAAUAGGGAUCUCGGUCUCACCAAGAUGGGAUUGUAAUCUCUUUGUUUCCCUUUGUAACAUUUCAGUUAAACCGAGAUUAGCGAUCGAUCCCACCGAGAUUGCAAUGCAAACUCUCUGUUCCCCUUUCGUAACGUUUUGGUCCAGCCGAGAUGAGCGAGUCGGUCCCACCGAGUUGACAUUACCAACUCUCUCUGUUCACUGCCUGACCAACACUCUGUUAGUCCAUUACCAAAAUCGGUCUCACCGAGUUUGUGUAAUCGGUCUCACCGAGAUUACGUUAUGCCCUAACCCUAACAAAAUCGGUCCCACCGAGUUGACAUGUUGGUCCCACCGAGAAUCCUAACGUUCACAUUUUGAACUAAAUCGAUCUGACCGAGUUUCAUGAUUCGGUCCCACCGAGUUUGGUGAUUUGUGUGUAACAGUUAGAUUUUGUGUGGAGGCUAUUUAUACCCCCUCCACCCACUCUUCAUUUAUGGAGAGAGCCAUCAGAACAUUCCUACACUUCCAACAUACAUUUUCUGAGAGAUAACCACCUACACUUGUGUUGAGGUCAAGAUAUCCCACUCCAACCACAUAAAUCUUGAUCUCUAGCCUUCCCCAAGUUGCUUUCCACUCAAAUCAUCUUUCCACCAAAUCCAAAUCAUGUGAGAGAGAGUUGAGUGAUGGGGAGACUAUCAUUUGAAGCACAAGAGCAAGGAGUUCAUCAUCAACACACCAUUUGUUACCUCUUGGAGAGUGGUGUCUCCUAUAUUGGUUAGGUGUCACUUGGGAGCCUCCGUCAAGAUUGUGGAGUUGAACCAAGGAGUUUGUAAGGGCAAGGAGAUCUCCUACUUCAUGAAGAUCUACCCGAGUUGGGCAAGCCCUUCAUGGGCAACGGCCAUGGUGGGAUAGACAAGGUUGCUUCUGCGUGGACCCUUCGUGGGUGGAGCCCUCCGUGGACUCAUGCAACUGUUACCCUUCAUGGGUUGAAGUCUCCAUCAACGUGGAUGUACGAUAGCACCACCUAUCGGAACCACGCCAAAAAUCUCCAUGUCUCAAAUUGCAUUUGCACACUCCAAACUCCUCCCUUUACCUUCAUAUGCAAUUGUUUUACUUUCCGCUGCUAUACUCUUAGAAUUGCAUGUGUAGGUUGAUUGCUUGACUUGUGCUAAGUUGCUAAAAUCUCCCAAGAACUAAAAUUGGGAAAAGGCUAGAUUUUUAUUUGGUCAAGUAGUCUAAUCACCCCCCCCUCUAGACAUACUUUCGAUCCUACAAGUGGUAUCAGAGCUUUGGUCUCCAUUUGCUUUGAUUUCCAUAGCUUUUGGUGGUCAUAGCCUUGGUUUUACAACCUAGGAGAGUAUGGUGUCUAGUGAGAGAAAUUACCACCAUAGAGGUCCUUACUUUGAUGGUACAAAUUUUGCUAGUUGGAAGCAUAAGAUGAAAGUGCAUAUUCUUGGACAUAACCCCGCCGUUUGGGCUAUUGUGCGUAUUGGCUUGCAAGGUGAAUUCUUCGAUGGGAGAGAACCAAACUGUGAAGCUACCACGGAAGAGUAGAAGAUGCUACAAUACAAUGCUCAAGCUUGUGAUGUUCUCUUCAACGGAUUAUGCCCCGAAGAAUUCAACAAAAUCAGCCGUCUUGAGAAUGCAAAGGAAAUUUGGGAUACUUUGAUUGAUAUGCAUGAAGGUACCGAAUAUGUCAAGGAAUCCAAAUUGGACGUGCUUCAAAGUCAGCUUGACAAGUUCAAAAUGAAGGAUGGUGAAGGUGUCGCUGAAAUGUACUCUAGGCUUGCUCUCAUCACAAAUGAGAUUGUCGGCUUAGGAAGUGAAGAGAUGACUGAUAGAUUCAUCAUCAAGAAGAUCCUAAGAGCGUUGGAUGGAAAAUAUGAUACCAUGUGCACAUUGAUCCAAAUGAUGCCCAAUUACAACGAUCUCAAGCCAACGGAAGUUAUUGGAAGAAUUGUUGCUCAUGAGAUGUCACUCAAGGAUAAGGAAGAGCUUUACAACAAGUCAAGUGGUGCUUACAAAGCCUCGUGUGAUGCUCCCACAUCAUCAAGUGAGGAGCAAAACUUGAAUGAAGAAUUGAGUCUAAUGGUGAAGAACUUCAACAAGUUCUACAAGAGUAGAAGCAAGGAAAGAAGUUCCAAGUCAAGGUCCUACAAUGACAAAAGAUCUUCUAGUCAUGAGCGCAAUUGCUACAAUUGUGGAAGACCCGGAUACUAUUCCAAUGAGUGUACGGCUCCCUACAAAAGAAGAGAAAAUUCUCCCUACAAAAGAAGAAGUAGAAGAGAAGAAUCACCAUCAAGAGAGAGAAGGAGUAGAGACGAUCAUUAUGAACGAAGACCCUCUCGGAGAAGCAAGGAUUUGGAAAGGAAGGACAAGUCAUCAAGGAGCUACACAAAAAAGAAGACAUCAAGCUCAUGUUGGUGAAUGGGUAUCCGGUUCCGACUCCGACAAUCACUCCGAAAGAAGUUAUCACUCCGACUUUGAAUAUACUCAAGAUGAAGGUGUUGCCGGACUAGCACUUGUGACAACCAACUCCUUUGACAUAUUUGACUCACCAAAUGAAGGAAUUGGGAGAUGCUUCAUGGCUAAAGGUCCAAAGGUAACACACCCCGAGUAUGUUGAUUUCAAUAGUGAUGAAGAUGAUUUGCUAGGAUAUGAUGAUUUACUUUUUGACAACUCUAGUUAUGAAAACUAUGAUGAGCUUGCUAUUAAUCAUGAUAAUCAAGAUAAAAUGUAUGAUGAUGAUAAGAAGGAGAUUGAGCACCUAACUAAAUAACUAAACACUCUUAAGUUAGCUCAUGAAACUACCUUGGAAGAUCAUCGACAACUUUUAAAGACUCAUGAUAAGCUACGCUUUGAAAAGCUCAACCUUGAGCAAGAACAUGAGUUUUUAAAGGCAAUCAAUGAUGAUCUUCACAAGAAAAGCUCUUCUUAUAUUGCCAAGUGUUUACUCUUGUCUACUUACAUGCCACAAGUUAAAUCUAGCAACAAGAACAAGAAAGAUUCUUCAUCUAAUAGUAAAAACAAUCAUGCUAAAUCCAAUGUUGUUGCUUCUAGUAGCUCUCUUGAUUCCACUAAUGAUUCUCUUAGCCAAGUUACACUUGAGCAAGAAAAUAGCUUAUUGAAGGAAAUUAUAGAGAAAGGUGUUUACAAGAGCCUUGCCGGAAGUAAGCAAUUUGAGGAAAUUGUAGGGAAGAAAGGAAGACACCGGAAGAACCAAGGUGUUGGUUUUGAAUGAAAGUUCAAUGCCAAUGUAGUUGAGUGGGAAGAAGAUCAAUACCCCAAGAUGAAGUUUGUUCCUCAACAAGAGAAAUAUGAUCCUACUUCUUUCAAAGGAACACAAUCUCAAGAUUAUCUUCCACUACAAUACCACAAGCUAAAUGGCAAGGAUAAGCUUCAAGAGGAUAUUGAUGCAUUCGAGGAAGCACCUGAGGCCUUGGUCAAGUGGGUUCCCAAGACUACAUCAAGUUCUACUUCAUCAAGUACGACUACAACUCCAAGGAUUCCCAUCAAGAUGGUGUGGAUCCCGACGAAUAAGAACUAGAGAGUUCUUGAGGGUGACUCCGCCAACAUACUUCACUCAUAUCAUUUUGGCGAGGACAAGUGCAAACAACUUCCAUAUCUUGCACUAGUUCAAGGAGUCACAAACCCUCUUGUUGGUAAGAGAAGGGACAAGGUAACCUGAUGCUUCCAUGGACAUCAUCUCAUGUGAAUAUCACUCUAUGUCUAUGGAUAUCCUUGUUUGUUCCUUGUGGGGCUAACCCAUGUAGGUAUUGAAAGUGCAACUCACUCCAAAGGAUUGCUCCGAAUGAUCUACAUCAACAUUGAGCAUCCACAUCUUCAACACCUACAUGAAGUCAUCAUCGACAAAACCCAAGGUUAGUUGAUCCCUCUUUGGGGGGAUAUCACAUCUAAGGGGAGCUUUACUCUAAUCAAUUGAGCUAAAGCAACUCUAAUGGUGUGAACACAACAAUGCUUUAUGUAAAAGUGGUAACCCAACUUGUGCUUAAACGAUGAGUAUGACCUAUGAUCAAAUGUUCCCAUUUGACUCAUAAGUCAAUAUACUCAUAUACAGAUGACCUAGUCAUCGCCAAUUGCUUGAUAGAUGCUAGAGUGUUUGUGCAUGCUCCAUCACAUAUUUCUUUUGACAUCUUAUUGUGUGAGCAUGUCGGUUGCAUAUUUUUCUCAUCCGAGGACAUCCAUUUGUUGCUUUGAUUGUUUGGCUUUUUCUCUUUUGCCAAAUGGAUGAACAAGAAUGCCUAAGAACUCCCUCUAGCUAUCUAUGCUUUUCUCGUCUCAAACUCUAUUCAUGCUACAUCACAAAGUUUCAUAAAGUCAGAUUCGAACCACUCUGUGUGAGGAGCACUCGGAGUUCCCGAUUGGUCAUAGAAUUAAACUUCCAAAACCUCUUUGUGCAUUUCGGUCUGACCGAUUCAUCCUUUUCGGUCCUACCAAGAUCACUUAGUUGAUCUAGGUUUUCAAUCUCGGUGCAACCGAUUCGAACCUUUCGGUCACACCGAGUUGCAAUAGCUGCCUGCAGUUUUGCAUCUCGGUGCCACCGAGUUGUUCCACUCGGUCACACCGACAGGGUCAGGUUAUAUAUACCAACGGGUCAAAUUUUGGAAAAUUUUCCGAAAACACUUCGCCCGCGCAUAACCUACUCUGCCUCCUCGGGACUCCAGAUCAUCCUCCCAUCGCCAGCGACCUCCCGCCGCUGGUCUCCACCGCUGUCAAUGACAACCUGCCCCGCCGUUGCCACCAUAGCAAGUUCGCCGCCGAACUAGGGUAUGAACUUGAUAUUUGUGCUAAUCCAUAACUCUGAUUCUUAGCACAUUGCUUUGCCAUGAUUCUUGCCACGUAAGAAAUCAUCCUUUCCAGCGAAAACAUCCCGUAUAUUAGUUUUGGUUUGAAAAUUUAGGGUUAGGUCUCCGCCGAAUUCAUCUCGGACUGACCGAGUUGUAGAAAUCGGUGUCACCGAUUUGGCUUAGGCCAUUGCACAUGCGUUUUCGGUCUGACCGGAAAUUGCAAAUGGGUGUGACCGAGUUCAAUUCUCCGUGAAACCCUAGUAGUCUUGAUGCCACUGAACUGUGACUCGGUCUGACCGAGUUCACUAGUUUAGGUUCCAAAAGCUGCUUCGGUAUCCCCGAGUUAACAAAUCGGUAGAUACGAAAUGCUUUCUGUGAAGGACUAAAACUAAGUUUUUGGAUCAAUUGUUUUCAAAACUCAUGUACUUUGUGAUGCUCAUCUUCUCUACCUCAUCUAUAAUCUAUUCACAGGGUCUGCUGACAGUUUUCCUACAAGAUGUCUAAACAAAGUGAUAGCCAGAACAAGUCUGAGGAGCAGAUUCAACUGAGUGAGGGCACUAGUCCCUCCAGCUCUUCUGAUGAUGGAAGUAGGAUCACUCCAAGUAAUUUGCCAAAGGUAGCUACCAGGACUAGGAAGAAGAAAACUUCUGAUUCAUAGGAUGAAGAUUAUGUGGCCAUUGAGGAUGAGGCCACUUCAAAGAAAAAGGUGCUGAAAAAGGAGUAUGGCUCAGCUGCUACAGUCAAGCCAGGGAUGCAUAAGAAGGCACCAAUAAAGAGAGUCCCCAUGUCUAAGGCCAGAGCAUCCACUGCUGAAACCUCCAAGCCAUCUAAAGAGGCUGCUGGAGAAGGAAAGAAAAGGAAGGAAAGGGUCAAGAAGACCACUGCCAGAGUGCUUGGCAGAUCAUCAAUUAUGAGAGAUGAUGAUGAAGGGGAAGAGGAUGCUGCACCAGCACCGAAAGUUCAAAAGCUCAUGGGAGAUGCAAUCAGAUCAGGGGCUGCUCCAUCUAAGCCCAAAGUUGCUCCCAAGGCUACUGCUCCAGCUCAGAAGUCUAAACCCAAGAGAAGCACUAGAAACAUUCCUACUGAGGAAAAGAACAAGGCCCUAGUGCCAGAAGCUGCUGAAGAAGAUGAAACUCAGGUGCUAAGGAAGCUGAAACCCAAGAUCCCUGACCACAAUGAUGCACAUCCAGUUGCAGAAAACAUGAAAAUCAGGAAGGAUGCGGGACUGAUACUAUGGAGACAGUCUUAUCCGUAUGAUGUCAGGAGGAGAACUGAUGUGGACUACAGGUUUCACACCAAGGAACAACAAGAUUUUUAUGAGACAGUAUUGCUUGACAAGAAGCCCAUCGUGUGUGACAUGAAAUGGGUUGACUGGGAAUACAUCCAAGAGAAUGAAGAUCACUAUCCAGGUGUAUAUGAUAGCUUCUAGGCAUGUGGAGUUGAUGCCUUUGUGGCCCAGAAGCUUACCAAGUGGAACGAUGAGCUGAUCAUGCAGUUCUACUCCACUGCCCAUUUCUACCCAGAUGGAAAGAUCAUUUGGAUGUCCGAAGGUACCAGGUACCAAUCUUCUGUUGAUGAAUGGGCUCAGUUGAUCAAUGCCCCAAAAGAAAGUGAGCAUGACUUGGAUAUAUAUGUUGAGAAGAAGAAAGACCACAACACAAUGGCCAACAUGUACAAAGAGAUCCCAGAUGCUGCUUUGGAUACACAUAAGUUUGGAUUUGUCCACUACUUGUUGUCUGGUCUGCCUACCAUAAACUGGAUUCUAAGGCACACACUGCUACCCAAGUCAGGUGAUCACAAGAUGAUCAGAGGACAUGCUAUAAACUUGCUGCACAUAUUUGAUGUCCCAAAGAAGUUCAAGGUCAUGAGUUUGAUUGUUGAGACAAUCAAGAGGACUGCUGCUGACCAGAAGAGAAGUUGUGGGUAUGCCCCACAAAUUCAGGAGCUCAUCAACUCAAAGAUGGGCAUAGGCACAUAUCUUUUGGAUAAGGAGCACCUGCCCAUAUACCCUGAAUUUGAAGACAACACUAUGGUGAUGGAUGAAAAUGAACCAUCUUUAGCUCAAGCACAUGAAAAGAGAGAGAAGGCAAGGGCAGAGAAAGCUGCAAAGAUGCCAACUGUUGAAGAGGCAUCUCAAGUGUUCUUGAAAUCCAAACAAGACCAGCUUGGAUAUCUGAUCCAAUCCACCCUGAGGAUUGAGAAGGGCUUGGCCACCCUGAUUAAGAACCAGGAGAGUUUGGAGAGGAUCGUUGAGCAGAAAUUCUAUGAUCUGGAUGUCUAGGUAACUGAGAUCCAAACUGCAGUUGAGCAUCUACAGGAGGAAGCAGAGGAGAGGAAGGGCAAGUCUACUACUGAUGCUUUCAAGAGAGUGCCACGAGGUCCAAGGUCUGCUGCAGUGCCCGUGACACAUACUCGAGCUUCAGUGUCAGCACCAGCAGCUAUAGCUCCAGUGCCACCUCCAGCACCCACUCCAUCAGCUCCAACUACUUCAUCGGAAGCCUUCGUCCUUGGAGUUCUCUCUACACCACCUCCCAAAGAUCAAGCCUAAGAGUCGUUUAGCACUAUGCAUUUUUGAACUGUUUGGUAACUUGUUGCCAAAGGGGGAGAAAAAUGUAUAGAUCAUAGGCUUCGAGAGAGAGCAUUGUUCUUUUUAUCUCUCUUUCUAUUUUGGUUGAACUUCUUGAUUGAGUGCUUGUGUGAAAUGCUUUAUGUCCGUGUGAGAUACUUGUUGAUCAUGUGUUUGAUCAUAUGCUACCCUUAAUGUUUGGUUGAAUGAUACUAUCUUUUAUAUCUCUUAUAUGAUCAUUCACUUGCCUGGUGAUGAGUGCAUGCUUUUAAUCUCGAUCAUUUUGAGCGCUCCACCAAGAUGUAUGUGACAUGGAAGAUUAACCCAUGAUCCUAAUUGAUUGUGCAUUUGCAUUCAAAAGCAAAGUUUAAGCAAUGCACAAAUUUAGGGGGAGAUCUUGCUUAUCACAUACUUCUCAAAGCGACGAUGUUUUUUAAAUCUUAUAAUCAUCUAUCGAAGCUUUGAUCAAUAUGUUGUCAUCAAUUACCAAAAAGGGGGAGAUUGAAAGUGCAACUAUCCCUAGGUGGUUUUGGUAAUUCCUAACAACAUAUAGUUCAUUGAGCUACUGCUACUUAAAGAUAAACAUCAGGAAAGCUCAAUGAUUGGCAUGGCAUGGAUGAGAAAAGUGGAUCCCUCAAAAUUCUAAGGACAGAGGAUUGGCUCAAGCUCAAAGCUCAGGACUCUACAUUUUUCAUUUUAAGUGGUCCAAGAUCACAUUGAGUCCAUAGGAAAAGCCAAUACUAUUAAGAGGGGAUGAGGUGUUGCCUAAUGGAUUUCAUGCUCAAAGUGCUUAGUGAUAUGCUCCAAAACCCUCAACUACUUUCUCAUAUCCACAUAUGUCUCAAACGAAAAGUCAAACUCGGCCCCACCGAAACUUACUAUCCGGCGCCACCGAGUUCAGUUGACAUAGCCACUGCCAGAAACCCUAGUCUUUUCAGUCUCAGCGAUAGGGAUCUCGGUCUCACAGAGAUGGGAAUGUAAUCUCUCUAUUUCCCUUCGUAACAUUUUGGUCAAACCAAGAUGAGCGAUCGGUCCCACCGAGAUUGCAAUGCAAACUCACUAUUUCCCUUUCGUAAUGUUUCGGCCCAACCGAGAUGAGCGAAUCGGUCCCACCGAGUUUUCCUGACCAACUCUCUGUUAGUCCAUUACCAAAAUUGGUCUCACCGAGUUUGUGUAAUCGGUCUCACCGAGAUUACGUUAUGCCCUAACCCUAACAAAAUCGGUCCCACCGAGUUGACAUGUUGGUCCCACCGAGAAUCCUAACGUUCACAUUUUGAACUAAAUCGAUCUGACCGAGUUUCAUGAUUCGGUCCCACCGGGUUUGGUGAUUUGUGUGUAACGGUUAGAUUUUGUGUGGAGGCUAUUUAUACCCCUCCACCCACUCUUCAUUUAUGGAGAGAUCCAUCAGAACAUGCCUACACUUCCAACAUACAUUUUCUGAGAGAGAACCACCUACACUUGUGUUGAGGUCAAGAUAUCCUACUCCAACCACAAAUCUUGAUAUCUAGCCUUCCCCAAGUUGCUUUCCACUCAAAUCAUCUUUCCACCAAAUCCAAAUCAUGUGAGAGAGAGAGUUGAGUGUUGGGGAGACUAUCAUUUGAAGCACAAGAGAAAGGAGUUCAUCAUCAACACACCAUUUGUUACCUCUUGGAGAGUGGUGUCUCCAAGAUUGGUUAGGUGUCACUUGGGAGCCUCCAUCAAGAUUGUGGAGUUGAACCAAGGAGUUUGUAAGGGCAAGGAGAUCGCCUACUUCGUGAAGAUCUACCCGAGUGAGGCAAGUCCUUCGUGGGCGACGGCCAUGGUGGGAUAGACAAGGUUGCUUCUUCAUGGACCCUUCGUGGGUGGAGUCCUCCGUGGACUCAUGCAACCGUUACCCUUCGUGGGUUGAAGUCUCCAUCAACGUGGAUGUACGAUAGCACCACCUAUUGGAACCAGGCCAAAAAUCCCCGUGUCUCAAAUUGCGUUUGCACACUCCAAACUCCUCCCUUUACCUUCAUAUGCAAUUGUUUUACUUUCCGCUGCUAUACUCUUAGAACUGCAUGUGUAGGUUGAUUGCUUGACUUGUGCUAAGUUGCUAAAAUCUGCCAAGAAUUAAAAUUGGGAAAAGGCUAGAUUUAAUCACUCCCCCCCCCUCGAGACAUACUUUCGAUCCUACAAUACCCAAUAUGACAUAUGCAAAUCGCACCAAAUUGUUUGUAAGUGGUUCACACAGGUCAUCCAAAAGAACCGUUAGUGUUCAAGAGAUGCACAAAUCCUGCUCUCAAUUUGCAUACAUGUGUUCUAUCUGAAACCAUCAUGCUUGUUGUGAGAAGCUCAGGAUUGUGAGAAGCAUAUACCCAAACCUGCCCCAAAUGGGACAAAAAAUUACCACUGCAUGUUGAUGCCGCUCCAUGAUAGCAUGCUAAGUUUCAUGAAUUUCAGACGAGUUUUGGAUUUACUAGAAUUUAAAAACCAGGCAUCUCAAUGUUUGCGGUCGAGUGACGGUGGCAGGGUGUUUGACAUUCAUUCCCAUUUCUUCCAUGGGACCUAAGCAUGUACCCAAGGACAAAAGAUUUGAUUUUUCAACCAAUUUAUAUGCACCGGAGCAUGUGCAUGUAGUUCAAAUUUGAAUUAUGCACAUAAAUGCAUUGAAAACUCACUUAAUGCAUAAAAAUGUCCACCCCGAAAAAUCACAAAAAAUAACACAACACUCCAAUUGUUCUAUGUUGACACGAGAAAAAAAUUUGAAAGCAAUAAGAGGCAAUGGAUAUCGUUUCGCCCCCAAAGUUGGGGCAUUCCCUACCGAUACCAUCAUGCUUGUUGUGAGAAGCUCUGGUUUGUGAGAAGCAUAUACCCAAACCUGCCCCAAAUGGGACAAAAAAAUUACCACCGCAUGUUGAUGCCUCUCCAUGAUAGCAUGCCAAGUUUCAUGAAUUUCAGACGAGUUUUGGAUUUACUAGAAUUUAAAAACCAGGCAUCUCAAUGUUUUGCCGGCAAUCAACGGUGCCCUGGUGUAUGAAAUUCAUUCCCAUUUCUUGCAUGGGACCUAAGCAUGCACCCAAGGACAAAGAUUUGAUUUUUCAACCAAUUUAUAUGCACCAGAGCAUGUGCAUGUAGUUCAAAUUUGAAUUAUGCACAUCAAUGCAUUGAAAACUCACUUAAUGCAUAAAAAUGUCCAAACAAACCCCGACACAUCACAAAAAAUAACACAGCACUCCUGUUGUUCUAUGUUGACACGAGAAAAAAAUUGAAAGCAAUAAGAGGAAUUGGAUAUCAUUUCGUCCCCAAAGGUGGGGUGUUCCCUACCGAAACCAUCAUGCUUGUUGUGAGAAGCUCUGGUUUGUGAUAAGCAUAUACCCAAACCUACCCCAAAUGGGACAAAAGAUUACCACGGCAUGUUGAUGCCGCUCCAUGAUAGCAUACCUAGUUUCAUGAAUUUCAGACGAGUUUUGGAUUUACUAGAAUUUAAAACCAGGGAUCUCAAUGUUUUGCUGGCAAUAAACGGUGCCUGGUGUUUGAAAUUCAUUCCCAUUUCUUGCAUGGGACCUAAGCAUGCACCCAAGGACAAAGAUUUGAUUUUUCAACCAAUUUAUAUGCACCGGAGCAUGUGCAUGUAGUUCAAAUUUGAAUUAUGCACAUAAAUGCAUUGAAAACUCACUUAAUGCAUAAAAAUGUCCAAACAAACCCCGAAAAAUCACAAAAAAUAACACAACACUCAUGUUGUUCUAUGUUGACACGAGAAAAAAUUUGAAAGCAAUAAGAGGCAGCGGAUAUCGUUUCAUCCCCAAAGGUGGGGCGUUCCCUACCGAAACAAUCAUGCUUGUUGUGAGAAGCUCUGGUUUGUGAGAAGCGUAUACCCAAACCUGCCCCAAAUGGGACAAAAAUUUACCACGACAUGUUGAUGCCGCUCCAUGAUAGCAUGCCAAGUUUCAUGAAUUUCAGACGAGUUUUGGAUUUACUAGAAUUUAAAAACCAGGCAUCUCAAUGUUUUGCCGGCAAUCAACGGUGCCCUGGUGUUUGAAAUUCAUUUCCAUUUCUUGCAUGGGACCUAAGCAUGCACCCAAGGACAAUGAUUUGAUUUUUCAACCAAUUUAUAUGCACAGGAGCAUGUGCAUGUACUUAAAAUUUGAAUUAUGCACAUAAAAUGCCUGGAAAACCCAGUUAAUGUACAAAAAUGUCCAAAUGAACCCCGAAAAAUUACAAAAAUAAACACAACACUCUUGUUGUUCUAUUUUGGCCCGAGAAAAAAAUUUGAAAGCAAUAAGAGGCAAUGGAUAUCGUUUUGUCCCCAAAGGUGGAGCGUUCCCUACCGAAAACCAUCAUGCUUGUUGUGAGAAGCUCUGGUUUGUGAGAAGCAUAUACCCGAACCUGCCCCAAAUGGGACAAAAAUUUUACCACGGCAUGUUGAUGCCGCUCCAUGAUAGCAUGCCAAGUUUCAUGAAUUUCAAACGAGUUUUUGAUUUACUAGAAUUUAAAAACCAGGCAUCUCAAUGGUUACAGCCGAGUGACGGUGGCAGGGUGUUUGACAUUCAUUCCUAUUUCUUGCUUGGGACCUAAGCAUGCACCCAAGGACAAAGAUUUGAUUUUCAACCAAUUUAGAUGCACUGGAGCAUGUGCAUGUAGUUCAAAUUUGAAUUAUGCACAUAAAUGCAUUGAAAACUCACUUAAUGCAUAAAAAUGUCCAAACGAACCUUGAAUAAUUCCAAUUUUUUUGACGACACACCUAUAUUUGCAUGUUCACUACAGAUAAAAGUUCUAGCAAUUGAAACACCGUCCAUGGCCGUUGUGACCCCAUUAUGUAAUUCAAAUCAAGCCGAAAAAUCAAGUAGAUGCCACACAGUUUAUUAUAACCAACUGUGUGAGAUGCAACACAAAAUAUCUACGACUGUGUCUGAAUAAGGGACCGUGUCUGAUGACACUUUGUGUGCCAGUUUUUUGGCUAAGGCGACUCCAAAUUUUCGGCUUCCACGGAAAUAUCUACCUCCUCGCCCCCUCCCCCUUACCAAAAGCCACAUUUCCCCGGUUUCCGCCUUCCUUUCCAAGUUGAAACCUUCACUCCUUGCUUGUAGCGCCGCCGCCUCCUCACCGGCGACCCUGUCGGAUUUCGGGUUCCGGCAGACCCUUGAGGUUGGAACAAUGGGGUGCGCGCGGAGAUCUCUCCCCUACCGAUCUACGUCUGAUCCCCUCGUGCGAACUAAGAUGAAAAUGAUGAACAACACAAGAGACACGAGGUUUAUACUGGUUUGGGCCACCGUUGUGGUGUAAUACCCUACUCCAGUGUGUGGUGUGGUGGAUUGCCUCUGGGGCUGAUGAUGGACAGUACAAGGGAAGAACAGCCUCGCGGGAGGUGUUCUUGCGCUGGUGCGAUGAACUGCUAGGGUGAGUUCCGUCGCCUCUCUCUCUCUCUUUGCUAGGGUUCUACCAGAUCUCUCGAUGUUCUCGAGGUGUCUAGAUGUCUCUACUUUGUGGUGGCUAGCUCUAUUUAUAGAUCCCUGGGCCUCUCCCCGAAUAAUUGAGCGGGAAGGGCGCCAACAAUUGGCCAUUUUGAAGGGGAACAUCUAGUACAAGUUAUCCUGACCAAAGGUGGUCUUCGGCUGCUAAAAGCACUGGUGAUGACGCCGUCUUGGGCUCCAUGGUGACCUCCGUCCUGCUGCUCUGCUGGUCUUGGUCUCGUCGCACUGGAAUGGCAACCUUUGCCUGAUGCCUUGGCAUGUGCUUGCCCCCUUUGCACCAAAGGGGAAACAAGGACACUGCGCAGGCUGGCGCCCGCCUGGCGCCCGCCUGGCCUUAAUCGUCAUGGCUUGCGUCAUGGGAUCCUCGCGAGGUACCCCUGCCUUGAUCUCUCCGCCUCCUCGCGAGCCUGCCUGAUGAGGUUGCCUCUAAGGAAGCUUCCUGUCGUCCGCCCCGCGAGGCUUGGCCCCUCGCGAGGGUCUUGAGCUUGUGUUGAUGAAGAUGGGCCGCCCUGGGCCCCCACUUGAGCCACGCCGCAGGCCAGAACGUCUGGGGACCCCCGUUCCCAGAACGCAGACAAUAGCCCCCGGGCCCAAGGCGCGCGCGGGCUUGGCUUAGCAGAGAAGCGAAGGGGCAAGCACGAAGCAUCGCGGGCCCUAACAGCCUGCGGCCUUGGGCGCCGCAUGCCGGUUGAUUGGGUGUGGGCGUCUGCACUUCCCACGACGCCUCGGCAACUGCACGACUUGACAAGUCCCUGCAUGCAGAGAUAUGGGUCAUGAUUACCUGUGGUCAUGGCGCUCGGCGGUUGGCCUUGCCCGGCUAUAAGUACGGGGCUGGGCGAGCUCCGCCAGUUCACCCCUUUCCGUUACUCCUCAUCUUCUUCUUCCUCAUCCUUGCUUCCUCUUGCACCAAUGGCACCGAUCCUCCGGUUUUCAGCUGAGGAGUAGGGAAAGGCCCCCAGAGAGGGUCCUAACCCCCUCCCGCCGCAGAAGAGGCCAAUCCUCUGUCACCGGGAUGAAGGCGCCUGGCAGGUCGUGUCGAGGCCGUGGUACGAGCAGCCGCCGCCUGGGUUUCCGCUACCCUUGUACGCCCGUGUCGUAGGCCCCGGGGUGGAGGACGCCGAGCAACACCGACAGCAUCGCCGCCGACGCCGGCGAGUCACAGUGGUGCGCGUCGCCCCCCUGGAGUCCACACGGAGCACUCCUCUCGCGAGCUUGUGCUCCACGCCACCAUGCCUCCAACUUCAUGGAUCCGCCUUCCUCCCUCCUUCGCCUUUGAGAUGCCGCCGAGCGGGGCCCUGGAGCUCUGGCUGCAGCAUGCCGAUUAUGGCACCCCCGCAACCGGAGCGGAGGUCGCGGUCGUCGCUCCGGGCAAGGUCUUCAUGACCCGGGGCUGGGGUGAGAUUGCCCGCGUCUGUCGCGCGGACGGUGCCUUGGUGAUCCAUCUUGAAUAUGAUGGCGCCUCCUUGAUGUUCUUCAAGGUCUUUGAUGCAGAAGGACGCCGGCUGGAAUGCUGCCCUAAGGGAAGCGGCAGUGGUGACGAACUGGUGAGGACCAGCCCCACCCGUUGGUCCUCCUGCAGCUCCUCAGGCAGCAACGGAGGGACUGAGGGCUUCAGCGACUCCCCCAAACUCCUCGCGACCCUGGAGACGAGCGAUGACAGCGUCCCAGUCCCCAGGCAAGCUUCAGCCAUCGCUAGUAUGCCAGGUCACGAUGCCGUGGUCAAGGCUAGGAGGUGAGCGGCCCGAGGUCCGGUAAGAGCCCCCGAGUCGCGAUGCUCGGGAGGUCCCCUUUAGCGCUCAAGAAAUCCUUGCUGGGCGAGAAAGGAAGGUAGUGUUUCCGUGACAGAGUUGCACUGGGCAGGGAUUUAGCGCUGCGUUGGUCUAGCUCUUGCGAGGACGCAACUUAUCUUGUGCGUCUGAUGUAGUUCCUCGGAGAGGCGCCUGGCCCGAGAGGCGGUGGUCGAGGUACUGCUGGGUGAGGCCCUCGCGAGCUUCUUCCCACUCCCCCGCACUUUCCUUAAUGCUCUACGUCCUCAGGUCCCGGCCCUCGAGCGAGCUCAGCCGCCGCUGGUAUGACAGGUCGCGAUGCCGUGGGUCAAGGCCAGGGGGUGAGGGCUGGAGAGCUAGUAAGAGCCCAUGAGUCGCGAUGCUCAGGCGUCCCCCUUUUAACGUGCAAGCGGUCCAUGCCGAAGAGUGGGAGAGAGAGCUCACGAUGCCCCCAACAUUGCUCCUGGAGUAGGUCCUACACACCAAUCAUGAGGAGAAACAAGGCCUGUUGUUACGGUCGCCCGCCAACCUAUGGUCACUCCGAGGGAGCAGUCAGGGCACUGAGGGCCUGGUGAGGUGGCGCCACGUAAAGCCUCGGAGGCAACGUCUCCUGAGGCCCGCCCUGGCGCGGUGGUUGAUGCAGGGUUUUGGCCUUCGGCUCCUGAGGUCGGGGCUUCCGAGCCCCCAGCCAUUCUUCGCGAGGCGACACCCGACGGUGCCCCCGGAGCUGACUCCUCCGGCACCGACAAUCCUGAGGCUUCUUCUGCACCCCAGGAUGACCCCGGCCCCAGGCGCUUGGGUCGGUUUCGUGUAAACUUCGUGUCCCUUCGCAAGAAGAAGGAGGCCUCAGGCGGCAGCGACCGCCCUUGCCGCUUGUUGAAGCGCAGGAAGUACUUUGCCAUGGACGAGUAAGCCUUCUUCUUUCCCUACUCAUUUGCUCUGUUAUCCUUGUGGCUGAUCGUGGCCCUUCAGGUCCCGCCUUGCUGAGCCCGCUAAGUCAACCCAGGAGCCGGCCCCCGCAGCUUCGCCCCCCUUUGCUGGCUCCGGGUUCACCGAGCUCGGGUGGCGCCCUCGCCGCUGGACCGGUUGGUGGGGUCGUCUGCUCCAUAGGGCGCCUCGAGCUUGCUCGCCCGAUGCCCUUUCUUCGCGAGUCUUAUCGAGGCCCGUCAGGCUUGCCCCGCGCCCCUUCUCUGGUCAUAGAAGGCGAAUGGCUGAGGUCUAUCCUUGGCUCCUCCUCCGUGGGUGGAUCGAUGCCGGGCCGGAUCCUCAGGGCGGUCCAUCCGGCGACGGCUGGGGUGGCAGCCCCCUGCCCCACGCCUGGAGGAGGCUUACCACCUCGGGUCCCUCUGCAUGCUCUAGCAGAAGAGGGUGAUGUGGAAGAUGUGCUCAGGCGCGCUCGAGAGCGUCGUGCCCUUCGUGAAGAGUUCCUCCAGGGGGCGGCAGACGCGGUGAACCGGGUCGGAGCAGAGCUUGAUGCCGAGGAUGCACGCCUCGAGGCUGAAGGCCUGCGCCUUGCUGAGGAGAGGUGCAAGCUGAAGGUCGCCAUUGCCCUUGCGUGUCAUCAACGUGACCUUGACAACGCGAAGGCCGAAGCGUCGCUAGCGGCUUCGCGGGAGGCCUGCUCCCGGGCCGUCGAGGAGGCUCGGGAGGUAGACCGACGACGCCAGGAUGCGGAGGAGCGCGUAUGGGAGCUCCAAGCCCGGCGUAAUUCCCUGGAGCAGCAAAUAGAGCUGCACCACGCGGCCCUUGGGUCGAUGCAGGAGGCCGCCGUGGACCGGGCGGAGCUCCAGAGGCGCGAGGAGGCGCUGACGCUCGAGGCCGCCGAGCACAGCCUUGAGCUGGAGCGGUUGGAGACAAGGGAGAGCCUGGCGGCCCAGGCGGAGCACGACGUUUCGGCGCGCGAAGCCCGGGUCCAGGAAGAGGUCGACCGCCAUGUGGCGGGAGCUCGCUCAGUCCUUGAGCGCAAACACGAGGCGAGGUUGAUGUUGAUCGGGGCCGAGGCUGAGGGCAGGACAGCGGCCAUCAAGGCCAAGUUGGUUGAAGAGACGCGGCGUGCGGAUUCCUCCAUAGCCGCCCUUGGUGCGGCGCAGGCGGAGCUGUCCUCUUCCCACUCGGAGCUGCUUCUUCUUCAACGGAGGGUCGAUGACGCCGAGGCCGUCGCGCAGCGGAGUGAGGACGAGCUCCGUCGGCGGCGGGUUCUGGAGCUCGUGCACGCCCCCAUGCUUCAAACGCUCCGAGAGAGGUCCAACACAGCUUUGGGCUACAUCUACGAGGCUGCCGCUAGGGAGCCGCACGAGGUCAACUACGCCGGCAACCUCCAAUUUUUCACCGAUGUGGUGACGCUUCUAGAGAACCGGUCCGAGAGGUCCCGCUGGCUUGUCGAAGAGAGGAGUCGGGCCUUGCUUGGGCGUGCCUUCUCUCGCGUCUUCAGCCAUCUGCAGGACAGGGACCCCCACUUCGACUUCGAUGAUGCCAUCGCACCCGUGCCCAUUGCCGUCCGAGGCGACCUGGCGCAGUGGGUGGAGGACAACGUGGACGCCCUCUGUAACACCCUCGAUGCGACUAUAUCUCCCACGUGUCGAGGCACGACUUAGAGGCAUAAUCGCAUUAAAGGCAUAUGUCGCAAGUAAUGCAAUCUUCACAACAUCCCAUGUAAUAUAAAUAAUAAAGGGGAGAUAACAUAGUUGGCUUACACUUGCCACGUCAAUCAAGUACAUAAAAUAGCAUUACAUCAUUCAAACACUCAUGGCCCAACUAUGGCGCCAAAAUAAAAGAUAACCCAACAUGCGACACGGUCCCGAUCACCCCCAACUGGGCACCACUACUGAUCGUCAAGGAAAGACACAUAGUAUCGUUGAGAGUCCUCGUCGAACUCCCACUUGAGCUCAAGCGCGUCACCUGGAGCGGAAUCAUCAGGCCCUGCAUCUGGUGUAAUAGGAAUCUGUGAGCCACAAGGACUCAACAAUCUCGCACCCUCGCGAUCAAGACUAUUUAAGCUUAAAGGUAAGGCAAGGUAAUUAUGUGGAGCUGCAGCAAGCAACUAGCAUAUAUGGUGGCUAUCCUGUUCGCAAAAGAGAGCGAGAAGAGAAGGCAAAGCGCGAACGCAUAACUAAAGAAGGAAAACCUGCGGCAAGCAUUACCCCAACAUCGUGUCCACUUCCCGGACUCCGCCGAGAAGAGGCCAUCACGGUAACUCACAUUGUUGAUUCAUUUUAAUUAAGUUAAGGUUCAAGUUAUCUACAACCGGACAUUAACAAAUUCCCAUCUGCCCAUAACCGCGGGCACGGCUUUCGAAAGUUCAAAUCCCUGCAGGGGAGUCCCAACUUAGCCCAUGACAAGCUCUCACGGUCAACGAAGGAAUAGACCUCCUCCCGAGACGUUCCGAUCAGACUCGGUACCUCGGUUCUUCAAGACACUUCGACAGGUUAAAACAAAUCCAGCAACACCGCCCGAAUGUGCCGACAAAUCCCGAUAGGAGCUGCACAUAUCUCUUUCUUAGGGCACACUCAGAUUGUCCUAGGUACGGGUAGGCCAGCCCAGAGUUGCCCCUGGUGGCCACCGGCAGCUGACAGGUGGACCAACACUCAGAGGAGCACUGGCCCAGGGGGGUUUAAAAUAAGAUGACCCUUGGGCUCCGGAAACCCAAGGGAAUAAAAGGCUAGGUGGCAAAUGGUAAAACCAAGGUUGGGCAUUGCUGGAAAAGCUUUAAUCAAGGUGAACUAUCAAGGGGUUCCCAUUAUCACCCAACCGCGUAAGGAACACAAAAUCUAGGAACAUAACACCGAUAUGAUGGAAACUAGGGCGGCAAGAGUGGAACAAAACACUAGGCAAGAGGCCGAGCCUUCCACCCUUUACCAAGUAUAUAGAUGCAUUAACAUAACAAGAUAAUAUCAUGAUAUCCCAACAAGUAAAUAAAUGUUCCAACAAGGAACGGUCUCCAAUCUUCACCUGCAACUAGCAACGCUAUAAGAGGGGCUGAGCAAAGCGGAAACAUAGCCAAUCAACGGUUUGCUAGGACAUGGUGGGUUAGAGGUUUGACAUAGAAAUUUGGGAGGCUUUAAAGCAAGUGGUAGGCAUCGUAGCAUUGGCAUAGCAAAAGAGCGAGCAUCUAGCAAAGCAAAGAUAGUAGUGAUUUCGAGGGUAUGAUCAUCUUGCCUGCAAUGUUGUCAGAGUUGACUAAAUCCUCGAAAGCAAACUCAAUGGGCUCCUCGUUAGCAAACUCGUCUCCCCGCUCUACCCAAACAAGACAAACAAGCAAAUGGAACACAAUCAACCACGUGCAAAGCUCAAACAAUAUGAUGCAAAGAUGGUAUGCUAUGCGGGAUGCAUAUGCAAGAUUUGACAAGGGAUGCAUGAACCUGGCCUCAACUUGGUAAUCCAAGUUUUCCACUGGAAACAUGAGAUGAAAUCGCUUGAAAACGAUAUAAAGAACGCCGGAAUCGGAGUUACGGUUUGGAAAUGGCAAGCAAUUCAAAUAUGACCACGUUCUGCUAUUUACAGCAAGUAGCCAUCUAAAUGCAAUGAGAUGAACAUGCUACAGCAUCCAAACAAGACAAAAAAAUACAUGGCAGGGAUGAAUUCAAGAUGCUUAACAAAAGUCUAGCACUGAGCUACGGCCAAUUCAUCCAUUAACAGGUUCAAACAAGCAUGGAAAAAAUGCAUAUGGCAAACAGAUUUCAGACUUAGUGAAAUUAACACUCGUCUGGAAUUUCAGAUCAGAUAGCACUCUUCGGAGCAACAAAACUACAUGCUAGAGGACCUGAACAUGGCAAAGUAAAGCAUGGCAUGGAGAUACUCAAAGAGAUUAACAAAAGUCCCUUAGUGACCUUGAGCCAAAAGGGAUCAGAAAAUACAAUUGCGAGCAUGUGAACAUGGCAAAACAUAAUCAGAUCACAGACUUAGUGAAAACUGGAGCAUGCUGAAACAGAUAUCAAGUAGGCAUGUUUACGAGCUCGAUGCACUCACCACAGAGCAAGUCAUGACCAUAUAAGCAUACACCCAUCAAGAAUACACAAAAUGCAAGCUAGACAUGGCAAAAACAAUAGCAUAACAUGCACGGAUCAACUACAACAUCAUCGGCAAAAUCGCUAACAAGUAGACAAUCUGCCCAGAUUCACGAAGUAGCAAAAGUACAGCUCGAUUGACUCAAGCUAGGUGCUCCAUAAUUGCAAAAAAAGACAUGGAUGGAUAGAGCACUACAAGAUUAACAAAACCUCCUUACUGAUCACCCUUAAAAGAGGCAUGGAUCACUAGGAAACAACAUGAACAUAUGACCAUAUGAGAUAAACAGCUCAAGGACUUAGUGAAAAUGCUAAGUCCCUGAAAUCAGCAUUACCAAGUGCCUCACUUUGCAAGCUCGUGCUAGUCACCACACACAUCACAAAAAUACAUGGGUUGCACCUCUGGAAAAAUGGGAAAACCCUUAACAAAACAUAUGUAGAGCACCAGGGCAUAACAUGCACACAAUAAUCAUGGCAAAAAUGACAAAUAUCUAAAUGGAGUAGCAGAUCUGACAAUUAUCUCAAGUAGCCCUCUUCUAACAGCAUUUCGGGCAUCAAGAUGAACUCAAAUGAAAAUGAUGCAAUGGGAUGAAAUGAUGUACUCUCUGAGACGAACAUUUUGAUAUGCUAUAUGCCCAAAAUGGGGCUACGGAUGCGGAGUUACGGCAUGAUGAACAUGAGCAUUUGAAUCUAAGAAUUUCGGGGACUUAGAAGAAUUUCAACCUCGCAAAAGUCAAUCCGGGAUGGAGAGAAGCGGGACGGCGCGGAUCCGGGACGGAGGACGUCGUUUGGUUGGAAGGAUGGGUGGAUCUCGUCCACCCUCCUCGGAUCCGACCGGAACGGAGCUCCGGCGAGCUCGAACACCGGCGAGGAGGAGCUCCAGCGGCGGAGCUCGGCGAGCCCGGGCGGCAAGGCGUGGAUCCGAUGGCGGCGCGGGGAGGCGCAGGCGACGGCGGCGGAGCCACGCGGCGGAGGCGGCGGCGCAACUCCGGCAGAAGCCGAGGCGGCGGUGAAGGCGACUUCCGGCGACGGCAGGCGGCGCAACUCCGGCGCGAAGAGUUGGCGGGAAGGAAGAGGCACUCGGGCGGCGAAGCGGGAUCUGGCCCGGAUCGGCCCCGCGCGGGCCAGAUCUGGGCCGGCGGGCGGCGCGGUGAAGUGGGGUGCGGGGCAGACAGGUGUCAGGCGGCGAUUGGCAGCGGGGAUUUUUGUCCGGCGCGGAUCCGGACACGUCCGGCGGCGCGCGAGGAAGAAAACUAGGGCUUCGGGGAAGAAGAAAGCGGAGGGGUGUAUUUAUAGGCAUAGAGGAAGCUAGGAGAGUCCAAAUGAGGUGCGGUUUUCGGCCACGCGAUCGUGAUCGAACGCUCUAGAUGAUGGAGCAGGUUUUGGUGGGUUUUGGGCCACUUUGGGAGGGUGUUGGGCUGCAACACACACGAGGCCUUUUCGGUCCCUCGGUUACCGUUGGAGCAUCAAACAAAGUCCAAAUGGUACGAAACUUGACAGGCGGUCUACCGGUAGUAAACCAAGGCCUCUUGGCAAGUCUUGGUCCAAUCCAGAAAUGUUUAAUCCCCACACACGAAAGAAAGGUAGGAAUGACCACCGGAGGAGAACGGAGCGCCGGAAUGCAAAACGGACAACGGGGAAAAUGCUCGAAUGCAUGAGACAAACACGUAUGCGAAUGCAAUGCACAUGAUGACAUGAUAUGAGAUGCAUGACAACGACAACAACACAUGGAGACAAAAACCCGAACCCGAGAAAAUAAAAUAACUUAAGGCCGGAAACGGCAAGAGUUGGAAUACAUAUUGGGUAAGUUACAUCCGGGGUGUUACAACACUCCACCACUACGAAAGGAUCUCGUCCCGAGAUCUAGGACUGAAAGAACGCCGGGUAUUCAAAACGGAGGUGAUCCUCGCGUUCCCAGGUAGCUUCACGGUCGGAAUGGUGUGACCACUUGACUUUGAGGAAUUUGAUUGACUUGUUGCGAGUCCUGCGUUCAGUCUCUUCGAGAAUAGCAACUGGGUGCUCACGGUAAGAGAUAUCUUCUUGGAGCUCAAUGUCCUCGAAGUUGACGGUGCGGUCAGGAGUCUUGAAGCACUUUCGGAGCUGAGAGACAUGAAACACAUCAAGAACAUUUGCAAAGUUUGAAGGAAGCUCGAGUUGAUAGGCGAGAUCGCCUCUCUUGCUGACAAUCUUGAAAGGUCCCACGUAUCUAGGGGCAACCUUCCCUUUGAUACCGAAGCGUCGAGUACCUUUCAUAGGAGAGAGGCGGAGGUAAACAUGAUCUCCGAUUUCAAAAGCCAAAUCACGGUGCUUACUAUCAUAGUAGCUCUUCUGGCGGGAUUGGGCUGCUUUGAGGUUAUCUCGAAUGACUUUGCACAUUUCCUCUGCUUCUGUGAUUAAUUCAUUUCCGAGAAGCUGGCGUUCACCGGUUUCAGGCCAGUUGAGAGGGGUACGGCACUUCCUCCAUACAGAAUUUCAAAUGGGGCCUUGCCCGAACUUGCUUGAAAACUAUUGUUGUAGGAGAAUUCAGCAUAAGGAAGACAAUCCUCCCACUUCAUGCCGAAGGAGAUCACACAAGCCCUGAGCAUAUCUUCAAGAAUCUGGUUGACACGCUCGACUUGACCGCUAGUUUGAGGAUGGAAAGCUAUGCUGAAACGGAUGUUAGUGCCCAUGGCCUUCUGAAAAGAAUCUCAAAACUUGGAGGUAAAGAUGCUGCCACGGUCUGAAGAGAUCACUUGUGGAAUACCGUGCAGAGAGACAAUUCGAGAGGUAUAGAGUUCUGCCAAUUGAGCUGCAGUGAUCGACUCUUUGAUAGGCAGAAAAUGAGCCACUUUAGUGAGUUUGUCGAUGACAAUGAAUAUAGCAUCAUUGUCACGCUUGGACUUUGGAAACCCAGUCACGAAGUCCAUUUCAAUGUGGUCAAACUUCCAUUCUAGAAUGGCAAGAGGUUGGAGGAGACCAGUUGGCCUUUGGUGUUCUGCCUUCACUCUUCUGCAGACAUCACACUCAUUCACGAAUUGAGCAAUCUCGCGCUUCAUUCGAGUCCACCAAUAAGCCUGCUUGAGGUCCUGAUACAUCUUCGUACUCCCAGGGUGGAUGGAGAGAAUAGAAUUGUGAGCCUCGUUCAUGAUCACUUUAUGAAGUUCACCUUUGGGUACAACAAUACGAUCCUCGAAGAAGAGAGUAUCCUUGUCAUCAAGGCGGUAGCACUUGUACUUGGGUUGACUCUUGGCAAUCCCAAUCUUCACCUUUUUCACCAUAGCAUCAAGAAGUUGGGCUUGGCGAAUCUAGUCUUCCAAGCUAGGGGAGACUUGAAGGUUGGCGAGGAAACCUUGAGGAACAACUUGCAGAUUAAGUUUGCGGAAAGCUUCACAAAGCUUGGGUUGAUAAGGCUUGAGAAUCAGGCUGUUGCAAUGAGCCUUUUUGCUCAAUGCAUCAACAAUCACAUUGGCCUUGCCUGGAGUAUACUCGAUACUCGGAUUAUACUCUUGAAUCAUUUCGACCCAUUGAGUCUGCCUGAGGUUGAGAUUAGGCUGAGUGAAGAUGUACUUGAGACUCUUGUGAUCAGUGAAAAUGUCCACUUUUCUUCCCAAUAAGAGAUGUCUCCAAGUCAAAAGAGCAUGCACAACUGCCGCCAACUCGAGAUCAUGAGUGGGGUAGUUCUUUUCAUUGAGCUUCAACUGGCGAGAGUUAUAAGCAACAACUUUCUUCUCUUGCAUCAACACUGCGCCAAGACCUUGGAGAGAGGCAUCGCAAAAGACCUCGUACGGCUUGGAUUCAUGAGGCGGAGUCAGAACUGGAGCAGUGAUCAAUUUCUCUUUCAAAGUGUUGAAAGCAACGUCACACUCCGAAGACCAAACAUACUUGACGUGCUUCUGGAGAAGAUUUGAGAGAGGCUUCGCGAUCUUAGAAAAGUUUUCAACGAAUCUUCGGCAAUAGCUUGCGAGACCGAGGAAGCUACGGAGUUGCUUCACGUUCUGAGGAGGUUCCCAAUUCACAAUUGCAGACACCUUCUCAGGAUUCACCGCAAUGCCCUUGGCAGAGAUGAUAUGACCAAGAUAAAGAACCUCAUCGAGCCAAAAUUCGCACUUGGAGAACUUGGCGUAGAACUGGUGUUCCCUCAACUUAUCGAGUACCAAACGCAAGUGCUUGGCAUGAUCUUCCUUGUUCUUCGAGAAAACCAUAAUAUCGUCGAGAUAGACCAAAACGAAGUCAUUGGUGUAGGCGUUGAAGAUGAAGUUCAUCAUGCGAGAGAACGUCGGAGGAGCGUUGACGAGGCCAAAAGACAUGACAGUGUAUUCAUAUGAACCAUAGCUUGUCCUGAAAGUCGUCUUCGGAAUAUCUUGUUCGCGGAUUCGAAUCUGAUGAUAACCCAUACGGAGAUCAAGCUUGGAGAAUACUUGGGCACCUUUGAGUUGUUCGAACAGCUCAUUGAUGUUGGGAAGUGGGUAUUUGUUCUUGAUGGUCUUCUUGUUCAAUGGACGGUAAUCAACACAAAGUCGGUCUGUUCCAUCCUUCUUCUUCACAAAAAGAACACCACAACCCCACGGAGAAGAACUAGGCCGGAUGAGACCCAUUCUUUCUUGAAUAUCGAGUUGCUUCUUCAGCUCCUUCAACUCUUCAGGUCCGAGCUUUUAAGGACGCUUGCACACAGGUUCCGUACCGGACUCAAGAAUAAUAACGAAUUCAACUGGCCAGUGCGGAGGCAUUCCUGGAAGCUCUUCUGGAAAGACGUCUUGAUAUUCGCAAACGACUGGAAUUUGCGAGAUAGCAUCCAGUUCACCCUUCUCAUUGAGAGAAAACAGACAGAUGGUAUCAUCACGAGCGGCAAAGACAAUUACAUCCUCAGACGAAUGAGUCAAUUGAAUCUGCCUGGCUGCAUAAUCAAGCUCAGCCUUGUGCUUAGAAAGCCAAUCCAUUCCGAGAAUAAGAUCAAUAUCCGAGUCACCAAGAACCGUUGGAGAAUCCAGAAACUUGUAGUCACCCAAGGUGAUAGUAACAUCCGGAACGAUGGAGUUUGCAUGCAUGCGCUUACCGGGAGAGACAACUGCUAAUGGACUAGGCAAAACUUGCGAAACCAAUUCAUGCCUAGAUGUAAACGGUCUCGAGAUGAAACAAUGCGAUGCACCAGUGUCAAAAAGAACUCUUGCGGGAAUAUCAUUAACAGGAAGGUUACCCAUGAUGACAUCUGACGAGUCCUCUGCCUGAGCUGCAUUCAUCAAGUUGACCUUGGCGUGCUUGGGGUUAUGCUUGACCACAGCUAUACUUGCUGAUCUCACAGGAGGAGGAGGAGGAGGAAGACGCCUCUGGUUGAGACACUUGUUGGCAUAGUGACCCUUCUGUUGGCACUUGUUGCACGUGACCUCUGAAAGCGGACGGUGAUAUAGAGCACUCGAUCUUGGAGCUUGAGACGAAGUCUUGUUCUGAAAGCCAGGGUUGGGUGGGUGGGAAGAUCCACUACCACCUUUGCUCUUCUGCUGAUACGGCUGACGAAACGGAGGAGGAGGAAGCCAAUACUUCUGCUGCUUGGUCACUUGAGUAGAGGAAGAAGGAGUAGCAUCUCUGACUCGCUUCUUGGAAGCAUCACACCUUAGUUGAGCGGCCUCUUGCUUCAAUGCCAUGUUGUAGAACUCAUCGUAUCUCAAGGGCUCAAAGAGAACAAGAGCUAGCUGAAUUUCUUCUCUGAGACCACCCCUGAACUGGUAUAUCAUGCUCUUCUCAUCAGGAACGUCCUGCUUGGCAAAGCGGGCGAGCUUCUGAAACAACUUGUUGUAGUCAUAGAUAGACAAAGAGCCUUGUUUCAGGUUGCAGAAUUCCUCACGCUUGCUUUCAACCACGCUCUGAGGGAUAUGGUGAGCUCUGAAAUCUUGACGGAAUCCAUCCCAGGUAAUAGCACGUCCACCUCUGGAAUCCUUGUACUGCUGGAACCAUUCUGUAGCUUGAUCUUUGAGUUGGAAGGAAGCAAACUUGACAAAGUCCUCAGGCCUGACAUUACUGCACUCGAAAUGCUUGCACAGAUUCACAAGCCAAUCGUCAGCAUCGGUUGCCUCAACACAAUUGCUGAAAGUCUUUGGCCCAUUAGCAAGGAACUGGUUGAGUGUAGCAAAGUGAUUCUGAUUGUUACCUUGGUUCCCUUGGUUGCCUUGAUUGCACUCUUGGAGAAUUUGCAUGAUCAACUGUGUGUUUGCAUUCAUUGCGGCCAUCACAGCUUGCCAUGCCUCCGGAGGAGGAGGAGGUGGUGACGGAUCUUGAUUCUGAUUCUGAUUGGUGCUCUUAGCGGGAGCCAUCCUGAAGAGGUUGACCACCGUUAGCACAUAGACAAAUAAAUGAAGCUGAAUCCAACGGAAUGAAAAUUUGCAACAUAUAGUCUUCACAUCCGAACAAAAUGAACGAAUGCAUUCCUCUUGAAAUGGUCACAUAUCCAUAAAUUGAGAAGCCACUUAGAAUUUAGGUAGAGAAAAAAAUCAACAAGGUACGGAUCAAGAACGAAUACUCGGUAAGAAAUCCCAAUCUCAAACCAAAUAUCCGUGGAAGAAGAACUAGAGCUACAAGAAUUCCCACCUAUGAAACUCCCGAACCUUUCCGGUUAUGCAAUCAGGUGUUGGGGAUACAGGGGAAGCAUAAUAUCUCACCCAAAUCUAGCAAAUCCUACAUCUAGCUAUAUCCAUCCUUCAACACAUAACCGAGAAAAACUUCGGAAACCAUCUACCUCAACCUUCAAAAAGCAUCCGUUAUACAAGUUAUGGCGAUACUCCCGAACUCCCGCCCCAGUACUGGGUGGCGUCAAGGUUAUCUCACCAACGAACUGCAUAAAAGAGAUUUUCGAUGUUGGCGUACUAAACUCAGGUAUUCCAGAACUGCAACGAUAAAAUUAUGACGACAACACCUCAGAGCUCAACUCCCCGGGACACUUCCACAAAACCCCUGACAGGAGGCACCAAGACAAUGUUCUCGUCAUAAAACCAUCGGAACGAUUCCAAGAUACCCGCGUGAUACUAAAAUUUUUUUAGUGAAACUUGAGAAGAGAAGAGUCAAAACUCUACGUCAGGAUGCCUUACCAGAGUGAUGAGGAGACUGGGAAGUAAAAAGAAUUCCUAAACUCUCCGAUAUAUAAUUCCUAAAUGACUCAAAACAUUUUUCUAGACACAACUCGGCUGCUAAAAACGAUCAAGCAAUGGGGCUCCUAAGGUCGGGGAAGGCUCUGAUUACCAACUUGUAACACCCUCGAUGCGACUAUAUCUCCCACGUGUCGAGGCACGACUUAGAGGCAUAAUCGCAUUGAAGGCAUAUGUCGCAAGUAAGGCAAUCUUCACAACAUCCCAUGUAAUAUAAAUAAUAAAGGGGAGAUAACAUAGUUGGCUUACACUCGCCACGUCAAUCAAGUACAUAAAAUAGCAUUACAUCAUUCAAACACUCAUGGCCCGACUACGGCGCCAAAAUAAAAGAUAACCCAACAUGCGACACGGUCCCGAUCACCCCCAACUGGGCACCACUACUGAUCGUCGGGGAAAGACACAUAGUAUCGUUGAGAGUUCUCGUUGAACUCCCACUUGAGCUCAAGCGCGUCACCUGGAGCGUAAUCAUCAGGCCCUGCAUCUGGUGUAAUAGGAAUCUGUGAGCCACAGGGACUCAACAAUCUCGCACCCUCGCGAUCAAGACUAUUUAAGCUUAAAGGUAAGGCAAGGUAAUUAUGUGGAGCUGCAGCAAGCAACUAGCAUAUAUGGUGGCUAUCCUGUUCGCAAAAGAGAGCGAGAAGAGAAGGCAAAGCGCGAAUGCAUAACUAAAGAAGGCAAACCUGCGGCAAGCAUUACCCCAACACCGUGUCCACUUCCCGGACUCCGCCGAGAAGAGGCCAUCACGGUAACUCACACUGUUGAUUCAUUUUAAUUAAGUUAAGGUUCAAGUUAUCUACAACCGGACAUUAACAAAUUCCCAUCUGCCCAUAACCGCGGGCACGACUUUCGAAAGUUCAAAUCCGUGCAGGGGAGUCCCAACUUAGCCCAUGACAAGCUCUCACGGUCAACGAAGGAAUAGACCUCCUCCCGAGACGUUCCGAUCAGACUCGGUACCUCGGUUCUUCAAGACACUUCGACAGGUUAAAACAAAUCCAGAAACACCGCCCGAAUGUGCCGACAAAUCCCGAUAGGAGCUGCACAUAUCUCUUUCUCAGGGCACACUCAAAUUGUCCUAGGUACGGGUAGGCCAGCCCAGAGUUGCCCCUGGUGGCCACCGGCAGCUGACAGGUGGACCAACACUCAGAGGAGCACUGGCCCGGGGGGGGUUAAAAUAAGAUGACCCUCGGGAUCCGGAAACCCAAGGGAAUAAAAGGCUAGGUGGCAAAUGGUAAAACCAAGGUUGGGCAUUGCUGGAAAAGCUUUAAUCAAGGUGAACUAUCAAGGGGUUCCCAUUAUCAACCAACCGCGUAAGGAACGCAAAAUCUGGGAACAUAACACCGAUAUGAUGGAAACUAGGGCGGCAAGAGUGGAACAAAACACUAGGCGAGAGGCCGAGCCUUCCACCCUUUACCAAGUAUAUAGAUGCAUUAAGAUAAAAAGAUAAUAUCAUGAUAUCCCAACAAGUAAAUAAAUGUUCCAACAAGGAACGGUCUCCAAUCUUCACCUGCAACUAGCAACGCUAUAAGAGGGGCUGAGCAAAGCGAAAACAUAGCCAAUCAACGGUUUGCUAGGACAUGGUGGGUUAGAGGUUUGACAUAGAAAUUUGGGAGGCUUUAAAGCAAGUGGUAGGCAUAGUAGCAUUGGCAUAGCAAAAGAGCGAGCAUCUAGCAAAGCAAAGAUAGUAGUGAUUUCGAGGGUAUGAUCAUCUUGCCUGCAAAGUUGUCAGAGUUGACUGGAUCCUCAAAAGCAAACUCAACGGGCUCCUCGUUAGCAAACUCGUCUCCUCGCUCUACCCAAACAAGACAAACAAGCAAAUGGAACACAAUCAACCACGUGCAAAGCUCAAACAAUAUGAUGCAAAGAUGGUAUGCUAUGCGGGAUGCAUAUGCAAGAUUUGACGAGGGAUGCAUGAACCUAGCCUCAACUUGGUAAUCCAAGUGUACCACUGGAAACAUGGGAUGAAAUCGCUUGAAAACGAUAUAAAGAACACCGGAAUCGGAGUUACGGUUUGGAAAUGGCAAGCAAUUCAAAUAUGACCACGUUCUGCGAUUUACAGCAAGUAGCCAUCUAAAUGCAAUGAGAUGAACAUGCUACAGCAUCCAAACAAGACAACAAAAUACAUGGCAGGGACGAAUUCAAGAUGCUUAACAAAAGUAUAGCACUGAGCUACGGCCAAUUCAUCCAUUAACAGGUUCAAACAAGCAUGAAAAAAAUGCAUAUGGCAAACAGAUUUCAGACUUAGUGAAAUUAACACUCGUCUGGAAUUUCAGAUCAGAUAGCACUCUUCGGAGCAACAAAACUACAUGCUACAGGACCUGAACAUGGCAAAGUAAAGCAUGGCAUGGAGAUACUCAAAGAGCUUAACAAAAGUCCCUUAGUGACCUUGAGCCAAAAGGGAUCAGAAAAUACAAUUGCGAGCAUGUGAACAUGGCAAAACAUAAUUAGAUCACAGACUUAGUGAAAACUGGAGCAUGCUGAAAAAGAUAUCAAGUAGGCAUGUUUACGAGCUCGAUGCACUCACCACAGAGCAAGUCAUGACCAUCUAAGCAUACACCCAUCAAGAAUACACAAAAUGCAAGCUAGACAUGGCAAAAACAAUAGCAUAGACUACAACAUCAUCGGCAAAAUCGCUAACAAGUAGACAAUCUGCCCAGAUUCACGAAGUAGCAAAAGUAGAGCUCGAUUGACUCAAGCUAGGUGCUCCAUAAUUGCAAAAAAAGACAUGGAUGGAUAGAGCACUACAAGAUUAACAAAACCUCCUUACUGAUCACCCUUAAAAGAGGCAUGGAUCACUAGGAAACAACAUGAACAUAUGACCAUAUGAGAUAAACAGCUCAAGGACUUAGUGAAAAUGCUAAGUCCCUGAAAUCAGCAUUACCAAGUGCCUCACUUUGCAAGCUCGUGCUAGUCACCACACACAUCACAAAAAUACAUGGGUUGCACCUUUGGAAAAAUGGGAAAACCCUUAACAAAACAUAUGUAGAGCACCAGGGCAUAACAUGCACACAAUAAUCAUGGCAAAAAUGACAAAUAUCUAAAUGGAGUAGCAGAUCUGACAAUUAUCUCAAGUAGCCCUCUUCUAACAGCCUUUCGGGCAUCAAGAUGAACUCAAAGUAAAAUGAUGCAAUGGGAUGAAAUGAUGUACUCUCUGAGACGAACAUUUUCAUAUGCUAUAUGCCCAAAACGGGGCUAUGGAUGUGGAGUUACGGCAUGAUGAACAUGAGCAUUUGAAUCUGAGAAUUUCGGGGACUUAGAAGAAUUUCAACCUCGCAAAAGUCAAUCCGGGAUGGAGAGAAGCGGGACGGCGCGGAUCCGGGACGGAGGACGUCGUUUGGUUGGAGGGAUGGGUGGAUCUCGUCCACCCUCCUCGGAUCCGACCGGAACGGAGGUCCGACGAGCUCGAACGCCGGCGAGGAGGAGCUCCGGCGGCGGAGCUCGGCGAGCCCGGGCGGCAAGGUGUGGAUCCGAUGGCGGCGCGGGGAGGCGCAGGCGACGGCGGCGGAGCCACNNNNNNNNNNNNNNNNNNNNNNNNNNNNNNNNNNNNNNNNNNNNNNNNNNNNNNNNNNNNNNNNNNNNNNNNNNNNNNNNNNNNNNNNNNNNNNNNNNNNNNNNNNNNNNNNNNNNNNNNNNNNNNNNNNNNNNNNNNNNNNNNNNNNNNNNNNNNNNNNNNNNNNNNNNNNNNNNNNNNNNNNNNNNNNNNNNNNNNNNNNNNNNNNNNNNNNNNNNNNNNNNNNNNNNNNNNNNNNNNNNNNNNNNNNNNNNNNNNNNNNNNNNNNNNNNNNNNNNNNNNNNNNNNNNNNNNNNNNNNNNNNNNNNNNNNNNNNNNNNNNNNNNNNNNNNNNNNNNNNNNNNNNNNNNNNNNNNNNNCGCAACUCCGGCGCGAAGAGGCGGUGGGAAGGAAGAGGCACUCGAGCGGCGGCGCGGGAUCUGGCCCGGAUCGGCCCCGCGCGGGCCGGAUCUGGGCCGGCGGGCGGCGCGGUGAAGUGGGGUGCGGGGCGGACAGGUGUCAGGCGGCGAUUGGCGGCGGGGAUUUUUGUCCGGCGCGGAUCCGGACACGUCCGGCGGCGCACGAGGAAGAGAACUAGGGCUUCGGGGAAGAGGAAAGCGGAGGGGGUGUAUUUAUAGGCAUAGAGGGAGCUAGGAGAGUCCAAAUGAGGUGCGGUUUUCGGCCACGCGAUCGUGAUCGAACGUUCUAAAUGAUGGAGCAGGUUUUGGUGGGUUUUGGGCCACUUUGGGAGGGUGUUGGGCUGCAACACACACGAGGCCUUUUCGGUCCCUCGGUUAACCGUUGGAGCAUCAAACGAAGUCCAAAUGGUACGAAACUUGACAGGCGGUCUACCGUUAGUAAACCAAGGACGCUUGGCAAGUCUCGGUCCAAUCCGGAAAUGUUUAAUCCCCACACACGAAAGAAAGGUAGGAAUGACUACCGGAGGAGAACGGAGCGCCGGAAUGCAAAACGGACAACGGGGAAAAUGCUCGAAUGCAUGAGACAAACACGUAUGCGAAUGCAAUGCACAUGAUGACAUGAUAUGAGAUGCAUGACAACGACAACAACACAUGGAGACAAAAACCCGAACCCGAUAAAAUAAAUUAACUUAAGGCCGGAAACGGCAAGAGUUGGAAUACAUAUUGGGUAAGUUACAUCCGGGGUGUUACAACACUCCACCACUACGAAAGGAUCUCGUCCCGAGAUCUAGGACUGAAAGAACGCCGGGUAUUCAAAACGGAGGUGAUCCUCGCGUUCCCAGGUAGCUUCACGGUCGGAAUGGUGUGACCACUUGACUUUGAGGAAUUUGAUUGACUUAUUGCGAGUCCUGCGUUCAGUCUCUUCGAGAAUAGCAACUGGGUGCUCACGGUAAGAGAGAUCUUCUUGGAGCUCAAUGUCCUCGAAGUUGACGGUGCGGUCAGGAGUCUUGAAGCACUUUCGGAGCUGAGAGACAUGGAACACAUCAAGAACAUUUGCAAAGUUUGAAGGAAGCUCGAGUUGAUAGGCGAGAUCGCCUCUCUUGCUGACAAUCUUGAAAGGUCCCACGUAUCUAGGCGCAACCUUCCCUUUGAUACCGAAGCGGCAAGUACCUUUCAUAGGAGAGAUGCGGAGGUAAACAUGAUCUCCGAUUUCGAAAGCCAAAUCACGGUGCUUACUGUCAUAGUAGCUCUUCUGGCGGGAUUGGGCUGCUUUGAGGUUAUCUCGAAUGACUUUGCACAUUUCCUCUGCUUCUGUGAUUAAUUCAUUUCCGAGAAGCUGGCGUUCACCGGUUUCAGGCCAGUUGAGAGGGGUACGGCACUUCCUCCAUACAGAAUUUCAAAUGGGGCCUUGCCCGAACUUGCUUGAAAACUGUUGUUGUAGGAGAAUUCAGCAUAAGGAAGACAAUCCUCCCACUUCAUGCCGAAGGAGAUCACACAAGCCCUGAGCAUAUCUUCAAGAAUCUGGUUGACACGCUCGACUUGAUCGCUAGUUUGAGGAUGGAAAGCUGUGCUGAAACUGAUGUUAGUGCCCAUGGCCUUCUAAAAAGAAUCCCAAAACUUGGAGGUAAAGAUGCUACCACGGUCUGAAGAGAUCACUUGUGGAAUACCGUGCAGAGAGACAAUCCGAGAGGUAUAGAGUUCCGCCAAUUGAGCUGCAGUGAUCGACUCUUUGAUAGGCAGAAAAUGAGCCACUUUAGUGAGUUUGUCGAUGACAAUGAAUAUAGCAUCAUUGCCACGCUUGGACUUUGGAAACCCAGUCAUGAAGUCCGUUUCAAUGUGGUCAAACUUCCAUUCUGGAAUGGCAAGAGGUUGGAGGAGACUAGCUGGCCUUUGGUGUUCUGCCUUCACUCUUCUGCAGACAUCACACUCAUUCACGAAUUGAGCAAUCUCGCACUUCAUUCGAGUCCACCAAUAAGCCUGCUUGAGGUCCUGAUACAUCGUCGUACUCCCAGGGUGGAUGGAGAGAAGAGAAUUGUGAGCCUCGUUCAUGAUCACUUUACGAAGUUCACCUUUGGGUACAACAAUACGAUCCUCGAAGAAGAGAGUAUCCUUGUCAUCAAGGCGGUAGCACUUGUACUUGGGUUGACUCUUGGCAAUCCCAAUCUUCACCUUUUUCACCAUAGCACCAAGAAGCUGGGCUUGGCCCCUCAUGUAAAGAUUUGUAAUCCAUACUCUGGUGAUCACAACGUUAUGCGUGAGUUUAGUCGCUAGCCCGGUGAUGGUUCGGUUGAUUCGUUUACCUUCCGGCCCUGGCGUGCCCUGAGCGGGCCUGCGGGGGGAUGCUAUGCCUCCGGCGUCUUUCGGUUAACUUGUGGAUCCUAUGAUGAGGACCUCCGGAGAGGGUGCGGAGACAACGGUCCUGGCUGUGAAUGUGCCUCGCUCGGCCCGGCUCGCGAGGGGCUCGUGAGGGGGGCAGCCGAUGUUAACCUUGGACGCAAAGCCAAAACCAGAACGCGAGAGAUUGCUCGAACAUGACUAAACACCCCCUCCCAGAAUGCACGCAAGCUUCGAACUCAAAUCCAACUUAAAUCCAACUGAAUAAAUUUGCCGACAAGGAAGAAGCAAAAAAGGAAAGAAGGCAGAAGAAAAGCAAAAAAGCCGCGUCCGGCACCAAGUCUAGUCUUCAACGUCUUCUCACCAGCGCGGAGCUAAGUGCUGCCAAUGGGCGUGGGCGGGAGCCCCAGGGACUGAGGCCGGCGCUCUUGAGACUCCAGGGCGUGUAUAGCCCCACUCAUUAUUACAUGAGUGUCACGGGGCGGCGAGCUUCACAGGCACUGGGCCUUCUUCACAGGUACCGGCCUUGCUUCAUAUCGCCAGCUGAGGGCCCCGCCUUGCGCCUCACUUUGUCGCCAUUGACGGCGACCGGAAACCAAGGACGACACCAAUGGGGUAGAGCGGUCUCUAGCGGUUCCCCCGACGACCACGGGUCCUCCGCCGGGGGCAGGCCAUGGGGCACCUCCCCGGCGGAGGGCCUACCUCCUGAGAACACCUUGGCCCGACCGCCGCGAGGGUGAGUCCGGAUCUCGACCCCUUUCUUGCAGCCCCCUGCACCCUCCUCCUGAGGGAUAAGAGGCUGCAGCGUUGGGGCAGCCAUCCGCUGCAGCGACCUGACCUCCUGCGACCCAUGGUUAGUGUAAGCUUGAUCCUGAAGAAUGAAUGGUACCCGAUAGUUGCUGCUGUCGGCGCGAUUGUCGAUGCUCUCUUGGGGUUCCUGAAAGAGCUCGGCUUCCGGCGCCUCCUCGUCCCAGCCGGGCCUGAGGAAUGAGCCGUGACCUCCUUCCAGCUCGUGCCCUUGAUCCACCAUGCGGGGUACAUAGGCCUCCGGGGCGACCACCUCGUGGACCUUGCUGUAGCGCCCCGUAUGCCACGCAGUCUGGCUUGGGGCGUCGCCUUGUAUGUGAUGACACGGUGGUCCGCCAAGGCCAAAGGCCGCGGCGCGCAUCCCUUCGCCAGCUUGCGGAAGGGCCGGCGCGAUCAGCCGCCCAGUGCUGGCGGAGGUGUUGGCGUUGGACCGGCCUUGGGCCCGCCUGAAAUCGCGUGGGCGCGCAGAAUGCCGUCGUGCGACAUGUCCUAGAUCUGGGGCGGUAGCUAGAUGCAGAAAGGGGGCGCUCCUGAGACGGUGGCAUCCAGGAGCUCGGCCACUCGCUCCAACAACACGUCGUGGACGCCUUCCAGCAAGCGGCACCGUAGUAGCUCUCGGGCCACCAUGAGCGCGGCCCUGGAGUUCGCCUGCUCCCAUCGGGUGUAUGGCGCCGUGGCAGCGACGUGGUUCGAGGCCCUUGCUGUGGCCCGCACCUGCUGUGGCGUGAGGGCAGGCCACGUCUGGCCGCGUCGCCCGUGUCCCGCAGCGCCCUGCGGAGCGCGAGCUGCCUGAGGCUCAAGGUUGAGGUCACCCUGAGACGGCGGCACGACAUGGGCGGGCCACGCCACCCAGCGGUCGGCGUUGGCAGCCGGGUUGCUUGACAUCUGGGUGGCGAAGCGGCGGAACGCGACGCGGAGGAAGAAGGACUCCGGUGCACCCCUACCUGGCGCGCCAAAUGUCGGAUUUUGGGUUCCGACAAUCCCUUAAGGUUCGAACACUGGGGUGCGCGUGGAGAUCUCUCCCCUACCGAUCUACGUCUGAUCCUCUCGUGCGAACUAAGAUGAAAAUGAUGAACAACACAAGAGACACAAGGUUUAUACUGGUUCGGGCCAUCGUUGUGGUGUAAUACCCUACUCAAGUGUGUGGUGUGGUGGAUUGCCUCUGGGGCUGAUGAUGGACAGUACAAGGGAAGAACAGCCUCGUGAGAGGUGUUCUUGCGCUGGUGCGAUGAACUGCUAGGGUGAGUUCCGUCGCCUCUCUCUCUCUGCUAGGGUUCUACCAGAUCUCUCGAUGUUCUCGGGGUGUCUAGAUGUCUCUACUCUGUGGUGGCUAGCUCUAUUUAUAGAGGCCCCGGGCCUCUCCCCGAAUAAUUGAGCGGGAAGGGCGCCAACAAUUGGCCAUUUUGAAGGGGAACAUCUAGUACAAGUUAUCCUGACCAAAGGUGGUCUUCGGCUGCCAAAAGCAAUGGUGAUGACGCUGUCUUGGGCUCCAUGGUGACCUCCGUCCUGCCGCUCUGCUGGUCUUGGUCUUGUUGCACCGGAAUGGCAACCUUUGCUUGAUGCCUUGGCCUAUGCUUGCCCCCUUUGCACCAAAGGGGAAACAAGGACACUGCGCAGGCCGGCGCCCGCCUGGCCUUGAUCGUCAUGGCUUGCGUCAUGGGAUCCUCGUGAGGUACCCCUGCCUUGAUCUCUCCGCCUCCUCGCGAGCCUGCCUGAUGAGGCUGCCUCUGAGGAAGCUUCCUGUCGUCCGCCCCACGAGGCUUGGCCCCUCGCGAGGGUCUUGAGCUUGCGUUGAUGAAGAUGGGCCGCGCUGGGCCCCCACUUGAGCCACGCCGCAGGCCGCAGGCAGGCAAGUCUGGGGACCCCCGUUCCCAGAACGCUGACAGACCCUCCUUCAUGCUGCUCGGCCUCGCCUAUCCAGGCAGGUAAUCCACACCGACCCCCAUCCUCCUCCUCCUUCCACAUCCCACAUGCCCCGACCGCCGGCGCAAGCACGACACCUUCCACCCAAAUCACGGACCCCUCCACCAAAUAAGCGCCGGCCUAAGCCAUGGUGCACGAAGUAUAGCCAGGACCUCAAGGAGCAUUUGGCAGCGGAGAAGCAAAUCGCGGCCGCACACGCGGAUGAGGUCGCGAUGACUGCCAUUCAUGCCGACCCCCAUAUCUUGGAGGAGCACCUCUGUAACGCCCCAGAUACAACUUUCCAUAUUUGUAACUCCGACUCUUGCCUUUUUCGGAGAUGCGAUAUGAGAUUCCCUUCAAUGGUUGGGUUUUUGUCUUUCGUUUUGCAUUUUGUUCAUGUCAUGCAUUUCAUAUCAUGUCAUCAUGUGCAUCGCAUUUGCAUAUGUGUUCUUGUCAUGCAUCCGAGCAUUUUCCCCGUUGUCUGUUUCUCAAUCCGACACUCCUACUUGCACCGGCGCACCCCUCUUGUCUCUUUUCGUGAGCGGGUGUUAAACAUUCUCGGAAUGGGCCGAGAUUUAUCAAGUGGCCUUGGUACACCACCGGUAGACCACCUGUCAAAUUCCGUUCCAUUUGGAGUCUGUUUGAUGCUCCAACGGUUAACCGGGCAACUGCAAAAGCCUCUUUUGUGUUGCAGCCCAACACCCCUCCAAAACGGCCCAAUAAUUCAUCUAAACCACUUCCAUGUCCUCCUUCGUCGGAUCACGAUCGUGUGGGCGAAACCCGCACCUCAUUUGGGCAUUCCUAGCUCCCUCUACCUAUAUAAACACCUCCCCGUCCAAAAUCGCAGCCUAAACCCUAGAUCCACUCCUCCAUCGCGCAUCCGGACGCGUCCGCGCCACGCCGGAUAUGUCCGCACACCGGCCACGUCGCCCCGACCAAUGGGAGCGCGACACGUCACCCCUGCCGCCGCUUCUAGCCAACCAGGCGCCGCCACCUCACCCUCUCUCUCCUCCCACCCCGCCAGACCCGCCGGAGCCCAUCGCCAGCCUGCUUGCGGGCCGAACCAGGCUUGCAUCGCUGCCGCCAGCGCCGGUGCACGCCUCCCGUGGCCACCUCGUCCGCCCACCAUGGUCGGCCCGCCAUGGCCGCGAGCCAUGGAGCUCCGCCCGCCACCAAUGGUCAUCACCGAGAACGGGUCCGCCUCGACCCGAUCCGGCCGCCCACAUCGUCAUCCCCGCCGGCAAUGUCCUCCUCUGCCGGGUCCUGCGUCCCCGCGCCUCCCCGUCGUCGCCGGAGAGCUCACUGGAGCUCUCGCCGGUGCCGGAUCCGGGGAGUGGGAUGAGAUCCACCACUCCCCCGAACCAAACGCCCUCGUCCCCGUCCUGUACCGCGCCGUCCCGGAUAUCCUCAUCCCGUUGACUUUUCGGAGGGUAAAAUUCCACUAAGUCCCGAAUCCCUGAUAUUUUGUGCACUUCUUCAUCAUGCCAUAUCUACAUGCUCGGUGAUCCGUUUUGUGUAUAUGAUAUAUAGAAAUGUUCGUCUCGUUGAGCUCUUCAUGUUAGAUGCAUUUCCAUGCAUGUUGCGGUCUGUUAUGAUGCCUUUUUCAUUGAUGCAAGAGUGCUAUAAAUAGUUAACUGCUGGUACUUAUCAGAUCAUGAGUUUUUGUCAUUUUUGUUGCAUUUGAUGUAUGCAUUGUUUGAGUAUGAGGUCUACAUGAGUUUUGAACUACAUCAUGCCAUCUUUACAGAGGUGCUUGCCUUGUAUUUUUGUGGUCUAUGUGGUGACUAGCACAAGCAUGCAAACUAGGCUUCAUGAUGUUGCUGUUUUCAGGGACUUAGGAUUUUGUUAAGUCUUUUCCUGCUGUUAUUUUGAUGCCUUGUAAACAUGUUGCUACAGUGAGAUCCAUGCUUAUUUUGAGAUGCUUCAGUAAGAAUAUUUUGAAACAUGUGGUUAUGCUCUAUCCAUCCAUGCCCCUGUUUGCAAUUAUGGAGUGCUCUAGCGUGUCUUGUUCUUGCUCUACUUUUGCUAUAAAAUGUUCCUGGAAGGAUGUUAACAUGUUAAUCAAUAUUGCCAUGGUUGUUGUUAGUGAUCCAUGCAUCCUAUGAACUUGCUCUUGCCAUGGUUAGCUUCAUGAUCUUGUCAUCUUGUUGUUGGUAUGCUUGUUUUGUCAUUCUAUGCUUUGUGGUGAGUGGCAUGAGCUCGCAAAGUUGCUAUCAUAAUUCUGUUUAUGCCAUGCUCUGUUUUUCUGCCAGGUCUGAAACUGUUAAUAAAACUUGCUAUGUUUACAUGGGUGCCAUCAUAUCUUAUGUGCCUUUUUGGAUCAUGAUCAGUAAGGGACUUUUAUUCUAUGCUUCUAGUAGAAUCCUUCCAUGCAUUGGUUCGCUAUGAUAUGUUCCUGUAGCAUGUUGUUUGCUUGCUCUAAACAUUGCUUCAUGAUGUUGUUUUUGACAUGUUGGUAUUUUCACUAAGUCUGUGAUGCUGAUAUCUUUUGCACUUUUGCCAUACUUGUUUGAACCUGUUCUUGAGUGAUUCAGUCGUAGCUCAAUGUUCAUGUUUUAUCAAGCAUCUCUUGUACAUCCCUGCCAUAUGCUUUGUUGUUAUGUUCGAGUGCAGUAGCUAAGUUUCUUGUUGCAUUCUAAGUGGCAUCAUCCUGUUAAUCGCAGUUUUGCGUCAUUCUUGUGAUGCUUGCCACUUGCAAACCGUGCAUCCGUUUCCGGUGAUCUUUAUACCGAUUUCAACAGAAACCAUCUCAUCUUUCCAGUGGCAUACUUGGUUUGCCAAGUUGAUGCCUUGAUCAUUCUUUCCUUCCGGAGCACGCAUAUGCAUUGCAUAUCAUGUCAUGUCUUGCAUCAUGUUGCUUGUGCAUUGCACCGUGAUUGAUUGUUUGUUCCAUUGCUUGUGUUCUUGCUUUGGGUUGAGCCAGGAGACGAGUACGUGAUGAGGAACCUGUUGAGUUCCCUAACGAGGAUCAAGCUUUCGACAACUCUGAGUACAUUGCAAGCAAGAUGACCAUACCCUCGAAAUCACUUCUAUCUUUGCUUGCUAGUUGUUCGCUCUAUUGCUAUGUCGCGCUACCUACCACUUGCUAUAUCAUGCCUCCCAUAUUGCCAUGUCAGCCCCUAACCCACCUUUCCUAGCAAGCCGUUGUUUGGCCAUGUUACUGCUUUUGCUCAGCCCCUCUUAUAGCAUUGCUAGUUGUAGGUGAAGCCGAAGUUUGUUCCAUGUUGGAACAUGGAUAUUGUUGGGAUAUCACAAUAUCUCUUAUUUAAUUAAUGCAUCUAUAUACUUGGUAAAGGGUGGAAGGCUCAGCCUUAUGCCUGGUGUUUUGUUCCACUCUUGCUGCCCUAGUUUCCGUCAUACCGGUGUUAUGUUCCUUGAUUUUGCGUCCCUUACGCGGUUGGGUGUUAUGGGAACCCCUUGACAGUUCGCUUUGAAUAAAACUCCUCCAGCAAGGCCCAACCUUGGUUUUACCAUUUGCCUCACCACCACCUACUUUUCCCUUGGGAGUCGCGCUCCCGAGGGUCAUCUUUAUUUUACCCCCCCCCUCCAGGCCAGUGCUUCUCUAACUGUUGGUACGAACUAGGCAAUGUAUGGCGCCCCCUGGGCAACCAGGGUCUAUGCCAACCCGACGUCUUGCCCAUCCGGUGUGCCCUGAGAACGAGAUAUGUGCAGAUCCUAUCGGGAUUUGUCGGCACAUUCGGGCGGCUUUGCUGGUCUUGUUUUACCAUUGUCGAAAUGUCUUGUAACCGGGAUUCCGAGACUGAUUGGGUCUUCCCGAGAGAAGGGAUAUCCUUCAUUGACCGUGAGAGCUUGUGAUGGGCUAAGUUGGGACACCCCUGCAGGGUAUAAACUUUUGAGAGCCGUGCCCACGGUUAUGUGGCAGAUGGGAAUUUUUUAAUAUCCGGUUGUAGAGAACUUGGCACUUAACUUAAAUAAAAUGGAUCAACCACGUGUGUAGCCGUGAUGGUCUCUUUUCGGCGGAGUCCGGGAAGUGAACACGGUCUUGUGUUAUGCUUGAACGUAAGUAGUUUCAGGAUCACUUCUUGAUCACUUCUAGCUUAUCGAUCGUUGCGUUGCUUCUCUUAUCGCUCUUAUUUCCGUAUGUUAGCCACCAUAUAUGCUUAGUUCUUGCUGAAGCUCCACCUCAGUACCCUUUCCUACCCAUAAGCUUAAAUAGUCUUGACCUCGCGGGUGUGAGAUUGCUGAGUCCUCGUGACUCACGGAUACUUCCAAAAGUUGCAGGUGCCGAUGAUACCAGUGCAGGUGAUGCAACUGAGCUCAAGUGGGAGCUCGAUGAAGAUCUUGAUCGUUGUUUUGCUUCAUUUCCUGUUGAUUAGUAGUGGAGCCAAGUUGGGACGAUCGAGGAUCUAGCAUUUGGGGUUGUCUUCUUUUAUUUUGGUUCCGUAGUCGGACCUUGUUUGUAAUUUGGAUGAUGUAUGUUUAACUUGUAAUUGUGUGAAGUGGCGAUUGUAAGCCAACUCUUUAUCCCUUUCUUAUUCAGCACAUGGGAUGUGUGAAGAUUACCCCUCUUGAGACAAUCCUACCAUGUGGCUAUGCCUCUAAGUCGUGCCCCAACAUGUGGGAGAUAUAGCCGCAUUGUGGGUGUUACAACCUCACCGUUGAGGCCACUAUUGACGCCUCGCAUGCCGAUGCCGUGACGCGGUUGGCUGCUUUAACCGACAGCUCGUGGCAUUUUCUCGAGGCCACCGUCGGUGCCUUCGACGAAGACUACGAGGUGUUUUCUCAGCAUGCACGUGCUUACCUCAUCUGGAGAGCCAGUAGGUUGGUGCCCGGAGCGGCUCAGGCAACUCACCACUACAACGAGGGCACCCACGAUGCGGAGGCCUCGCCCUAUUCCAUGUCCAAGGAGCCAAUCGUCAUCGAUAUCUCCGACAAUGAGGAGUAUCUUGUCUUAUUAGCUCACUAUAAGGACCCAUGUUCAGUUUACUAGCUACUGCCUUUCCUUAACAAAUUCUAGUGAAUUGUGCUAUCUACUUUUACCAUGCAAUCUUCUGCUAUAGUGUAUAUGUUCUAUAUGUCGUGCAAUGUGGUGUUCAAUUAACUGCUUGGUUCAAUUCUACAAAUGUGAUGUUCAAUUCUUCAGGGUGCAAUAUUUCCAAGUUGUUAAGCUUGCUUGGUUUGGUUAACUGUCUGAUCUUCUAUUAGGAGUAUGUUAUAUUGUUCAAUUGGUAUUUAGUUAACUGCUUGGUUCAUUUGUUGUGGCUUGGUUCACUUGUUGUGGUGUUUAGUUAACUGCUUGGUUCAAUUCUGCAAUGCGAUGUUCAAUUAUUGUGGCUGCAUUCUGUUAUUGUAUACCAUGUGAGGAAUAAAUCGAAUUUGGUUGUACUAAAUACAUGAGAAACAAAUACAAUUGCUAUAUUUCCAAGUUGUUAAGCAUGCUUGGUUUGGUUAACUGUCUAAUCUUCUAGUAGGAGUAUGUUAUAUUGUGCAAUGUGGUGCUCAGUUAAUGUUUGGUUCAUUUGUUGUGGUGUUUAGUUAACUGCUUGGUUCAAUUUUGCAAUGCGAUGUUCAAUUGCUAUGGCUGCAUUCUGUUAUUGUAUACCACGUGAGGAAUAAAUCGAAUUGGGCUGCACUUAAUACAUGAGAAACAUAUACAAGUGAUAUAUUUCCUAGUUCUUAAUCAUGCUUGGUUUGCAUAAAUGGGUUUUCCAUGUGGCCUGAAUUAAUCUGAUGAAUCUGCAAUGUGCUUAUUUAUCAUCAACAUAUUUUACUGAUAGCAUGCGAACCAUUACUUAACCUAAUUACUAGCUACCUUAUAUCUGUUGCAGGGAAACAAUGGGAAGCACUGAGGUUUACAAGAUGGUACUAACUAUUAUACCUUGCCUUUUUGUAUUCCUUUGUCCCAUUUCCAAUAUAGAGAAGAUAUUUAUGCACAUCCUUGUUUUCAGGCUUCGCUGAUGAUUACCUCUCAAACCACCUCUGUGGUCAGGAGGCGCGGAAAUUUUUCAUACAACACCCAUGGUUCAAUAUUGAAGUGUUCCUGAAGAGGUUGAAGUAUGGACGGUCAAUCAUCCACAGGUACUGGCCUAAAGUUGCAAAGACCAUCAACAUGAAUGAAGGCUCAAUAUUCGCCUUCCGCUUCAGCAGUUUCCCAGAUGAGAUUCAUCUCUCUAUGUACCAUCUAUGAUACUAAUUUCGAAAGGUUCUAGAUGUUGCAUGUGAAACUUGUUGCUGGUGCAGUUGUGUAAUGGGGUAGCUAAGUGCUGAAGCUAUAUCAUGUUGUAUUCCAAUGUAUUUGAAUUAUGAAAUCCUGCUUCCUUAAUGCGAAAAUGGAAUAUAUUAUGUGCUUAAUAUGAAUGUCAAUUAGAUUAGUAAAUGGAUUAUUAAUAAUAGGGAAAUUAGCCAGCUAAUUGGGUUUUCCUAUUGCAAACGGUUAAUGAGAAAACAUCAUGGGCGAUGACCUCAGGAAACGCACACAGUUUCUAGGAAUAAACCGUGUUGGAUCAAUGAACAAUCACACACGACAUUCUUUUUAAAACUGUUUGCGUUACUCCACCUUGCGCAAAUGUUUUCCUUGUAGUGACUAUGUGGGAUGUAUAUACGAAUGCAAACGUUUAGUGGGGACUGACUGUGUGGGAUGUACUUCGGACCGAAAACAAUUUCGUCGUAUAAUUGUUUUUUUAGCACUACUGUACGUAUUUCCGUAUUUGAGCGCUCGCCGGUCGCACACAACCUCAUUUUGCCGAGCGUGUGUGCUAGGAGGGCAUAUCCCCAACGGUUUCUGGGUCGUGUGGGAAGGACCCCCCUAUCUCCCACACUCACUUGGCGACGGUUCCGAAUGCCGUCGCGGAAAGGGGUUAAAAACCGUUUGUUUAGGACCGAGGCGUACCAGUGCAUCUCCAAUCUUAACAGAAAAAAUGGUCAUGCCCACUACUGGCUUAUUCUUAUCUAACAUAUCUUGUGCAUUUCAAGCAGGUUUAGCACUUCUAGUAGCCUCAUCACAGAAUUAAAUAACAUGCCCAUCAAUAUUAUCAACCACGAGAUACCAUAGCAAUACUAGGUUCCACACUUAUUUGUUUAGAGGGUCUAGGUGUUCUGGUAUUACUUCUAUUAACCAUAGUUGUAGCUUUAGCAUGUUCCUUAAUCCUAACAGGAAAAGGUGGUUUCUCAAUAUAAGCAGUAGGCACAACUGGAUCAUCAUUAUAGAUAAUUGUUUCGUCUUUAACUAUACUAGUUUCCUCUAACAUUUCUUCAAUGGGUGGAUGAAAUUUAAACAACUUCUCCUUAGGGUCAACAUGAGUUGCAAAAGAUUCACAAAAGGAAGCUAAUAUCUCAGAGUCAAGUCCAUAUUUAGACUAAACUUAUGAAAAGCAUCAUAUUCCAUGAAAGAUUUAACACAAUCAAACUCAAGCUUUAUACCUGACUCUUUACCUUUGUCGAGUUCCCAAUCUUCAGAAUUGUGUUUAAUUCUUUCCAGAAGACCCCAUUUAAAUUGAAUAGUUUUCUUCAUAAAGGAACUAGUAGAAGAAGAAUCGAGCAUGGAUCGAGCAUUAUGAGAAAGCCGAGCAUAAAAUUUUUGAAUAAUAAUUUCUCUUUAGAGCUCAUCAUUGGGGCAUGUGUGCAUCAUUUACUUAAGCUUCCCCCAAUCUUGAGUGAUACUGUAUCCUUCACGAGGCCAAAAAAGUUACAUAUAAUUCCGAUCACGAUGAACCCGAUGCAUAUGAUAAUACUUAUGAUGAAAUUCCAAUUUCAAUUGGUUCCAAUCCCAUGUUCCAAUAGCAUCCAUUAUCCUAUACCAUGUCAAUGCAUCUCCCUCCAAAGAUAAAGGGAAAAGCUUCUUCUUCACUCCAUACUCGGAUAAACCUGCAAGCUUAAACAAUCCACAAAUUUCAUCCACAUAGAUUAAGUGCAUAUUAGGAUGUACCAUUCCAUCUCCUGCAUAAGGAUUAGCUAGCGGUUUCUCUAACAUAACCGAAGGAAUCUCAUAAUAAAUAUUUUCAAUAGCUUUAGUAGGUUGAGGGGCAACUCUUAUUGCUUCCGGUCGAGGUGAAGAUACCCCAAACAAACCCCUCAAAGGAUUAUUUUCCAUAGUAACAAGUGACAGAAAAUUUUAGUACGUAAUAUAAAUGUUUCCUUACAAAAUUCCACUUACCAAAGGCGCUUCGCACCCCAGCAACGGUGCUAGAAAUGAGUCUCGAUGACCCACAAUUAUAGUAGAUCAAUUUUAGUCCUUUCGAUAAGUAAGAGUGUCGAACCCAACGAGGAGCAGAAGAAAAUGAUAAACGGUUUUCAGCAAGGUAUUCUCUGCAAGUGCUGAAAGUAACAAUGAUAGAUAGUUUUGUAGCAAGAUAAUUUGUAACAAGUAACAAGUAGCAAUAGUAACAAGGUACAGCAAGAAGGCCCAAUUCUUUUAUAGCAAAGGACAGUUCUGAAAGUUCUCUUAUAUAAAUCAAAGCGUUCUCAAGGACACAUGGGAAUUAUCGUCUAGUCACUUUCAUCAUGUUUAGUUGAUUCACGUUCAUUCCUUUGAUAAUUUGAUAUGUGGGUGGACCAGUGCUUGGGUGUUGUUCUUACUUGAACAAGCAACACUCUUAUGAUUACCCCCUCUCACAAGCAUCCGCAACUACAAAAUAAGAAUUAAGAUAAAUCUAAGCAUAGCAUGAAACAUAUGGAUCCAAAUCAACCCCUUACAGAAUAAUGCAUAAAUUAGGGUUUAAGCUUCUAUCACUUUAGCAACCCAUCAUCUACUUAUUACUCCAAAAUGCCUUCCCGUAGGCCCGAGUAUGGUGAAGUGUCAUGUAGUCGGCGCUCAAAUGACACCACUAAAGGAAAAAACAACAUACAUAUCAUCAAAAUAUCGAACGAAUACCAACAUCACAUGAUUACUUAUAACAAGACUUCUCCCAUGUCCUCAAGAACAAAAGUAACUACUCGCAAGUCAUAUUCGUGUUCAAGAUCAUAGGGGUGUUGAAUAUGCUUGAGGAUCUGAACAUUUAAUCUUCCACCGAAUAAACAAACUAGCAUCAACUACAAGAUGUAAUCAACACUGCUAGCAACCCAUAGGUACCAACCUAAGGUUUUGAGACAAAGAUUGAAUACAAGAGUUGAACUAGGGUUUGAGAUGAGAUGGUGUUAGUGUUGGUGAAUGUGUUGAUGGAGAUUGGUCCUCCCGUGAUGGGAGGACCAUUGGUGAUGUCGAUGGCUUUGAGUUCCCCCUCUCGGAGGGAAGUAUCCUCGGUGGAAUCGCUUCGCCGGAGAGCAAAAGUGCUCUUGCCCAGGUUCCGCCUCAAGACGGUGGUGCUUCAUCCUAAAAGUCCUCCUCUUAUUUAUUUUUCUAGGUCAAAACCCCUCAUAUAGUAGAAGAUGGGUAUCGGAGGCCAGCUAUGGGCCCCACAAGGCAUCACGGCGCGUCCAGGGCGUGGUCGCACCCUAUUGCCUUGUGGGCAACUGGUGGCCCCCCUCUGAUAACUCUUUGUCCAGUAAUUUUUAUAUAUUUAACAAAAAAUCUAUGUGAAGUUUUAGGUCAUUUGGAGCUCUGUAGAAUAGGUAUCUAAUUGUAGCUUCUUAGGUCCAGAAUUCCAGCUGCCAGUAAUCUCCCUCUCCAUGUAAAUCUUGCAAAUUAAGAGAGAACAGACAUUAGAAUUGCAUCGUAAAGUGGAAUAAUAAGAAAAAACAAUAUAAAUAACCGUAGGAAAACAUGAUGCAAAAUGGACGUAUCACUGUGCCACCAAUUAUUGUAUAAAUUAAUUAAUUAAAAUUGAAAAUCGCUUGGAGCACCGAUGAAGAUUUUAUCGAUUUACUAAUGAUCUUGUAUUGAUGUAACUCCUUAUAACAAUCUCUUCAUUUUCUCCGUAUGCGAGAGACAUUACGUCUUUGCAGUUAACGACAUUUUCACUGUUGUCCCUAUGAUCAAAACUUUGAUCAGUCUUGUAACUUUACUUAUAUCUGGUUGUUUACAUACCAUGGAAUAUAAUUAACACAAGUAUAUUUUUCUCAUCAGUAUUUCAGGAUAUUGAUUCUUGCUUAAAACUCCUUCCAUGUGACUUGCGACAAGAAACUCUUAUUGGUGUUUUCAUACUAAACUGCUUUUAGUAUCUUGUCAAUAUGUAUGUUUGCUAAGCCCGAUUAGGUACUAUUAUCUCCAUAGAUAAUUAUGCCUAAUCUGCGUCUAUAUUGCCUAAGUAUUUUACUAAAAAAACUAGUUCGAAUACAGUCCAACUACGUGUCAAGAAAUUUAUAUAAUUUCCAAUCAAUAAUUUGCCAUGCACACACAGUGUUCAGAAAUAUUAUCAUGCUCCCACUUACUUUCUUGUAAAUACAAGUAUCUUCGCUUUCCUUGAUGAAAUCAAAUUAUUUGACCAUUUUAUCAGAACGAAGAUUCCAACUCAACUAUGCACACUUAUUAGCAUCCUAUGGAUUGAAAAAAUUACCUUUGGACUAUAUCAUAUAUACAACCAUGGUUCCAUCUCAGGAAAUCCUUUAGACAUCCAACUAUUAUAUCUCAUAAUUGAAACAUUUAGUAAUUGCCAGUUUAACCUGAACUGACUUUAAGCAUUGUUAUGAUGAGACAAUCUCGUCAUAAUCAACUCCUUUAUCUUGUCAUAAACUAUUUGUAACAAGUCAAGCAUUAUCAAACAUUUUUAUCUUUGUCAUUUUAUAGAUCCAUUACUAUACUUUAGACUCUAUGUCUUCUGGAGGUUUCAUCAAGUUCUAACCUUGAGUUGUGUAUAUGGAUACUAUCUUAGAUUAUUUUGGCUUAUAGCCAACAACAGAGUCAGGGCCCAUCAACGCUUCCUUGUGUAUUAUAGGUUCACUGUUUGUUCAACAAUAUCUAGUCAGCACACCAUCAAGGUUUGCAUGAAUUUGCCCAACCUAUAUAGUUCAGCUGCAAAUUUCACUGAAGUCUCUAUAUCUCAUGUUGAGGCUUCUGUAUCAGUUGUAGUAGGGAGUACUAGCUAGAACCACUUCUAGCAUUUCUUUUCUUUGACCUGAUUACGAAGAUUUUGUAAUCUCGUCGAGUUGCACUGUUCUCCCACUCACUCUUUUUCAGAAAACACGUUCUUCGAAAUUUACCGCACUCUACGGCAAAACACUUUGCAUCGGCGUAGUGAUAGAGGAAAUCCAACUAUUUGGGAUAACCAACAAAGUAGCAAUUAUCUUACUUGGGACAUAAACUUGUAAACAUUUUUACUUAUGUCUUAUAUUCUCAAAUAUUAAUAAAAGACCAAAUGGUUUGGCAUACCAUACCAUAUCUUAUAUGGUGUCACUUCAACAGAUUUGAUUGCGCUCUUUUCAGUGUAAAAGCCACGUUCUCUAAAGUGUCACAUUAAAAUUAUAUUGUCAAAUUGAUUUAAUGUCAUCUUUGAUCUCACCAUGUCAUACAUGGUUCGAUUCCAUCUAUUUUGACACACAAUCCGAGUGAUGUUCCACGAGGUGCAAGUUAAUAAACUCUUUUCACAACCCAUCAGAUAAUCGCUAAAUUUGUGACUCAAAUAUUCCUUUCUGCAAUCCAAUUGUAGAAAAAUAAUUUUCAAGUUACAAUAAUUUGUACUUCAUUCUGAUAUAUUUUUUUGAAACAUUUCAAAGAAUUCGGAUUUAUGUCUCAUGAAGUAAAUCUGAGUAUCUACUUGAGUCAUCGUUGAAGAUAGAUAAAUCACUGCUUACAACAACACCUAUUUGACUACACAUAUCAAUAUGCAUGUUUCCAAUUAUUUUAUUGCGCGUUCUUUAUGGCAUGUGAACAGUAUUUUAGUUUACUUCACUAUUUGGACGAAAGUUGCAAGUGUCGGAUGAUUCAUAAUCAGAUGACUUCAAAAUCCUGCACUAUGGAAUUUCUCCAUGCGGGUUUCUCCAAUGUGACCAAAUGAAGUGCCACACAUAUGUGGUAUUCUCUUAGUCUUGCGACAUUUAGCGUCAGUGUUAUGGAUGUUCAAUUUUACAAUCGAUAUUCAUAACUUACAUCCUAUUCACAAUAGGAGUAUGGCUUUUUUUCAUUAUAUCAAACAACUAUUUUUCUCUCAUGAACAACCUCCUUGCAACUUCUAUGCAAUGAGCUAGAGUGUACAAAACUCUAAAAUGAAUUAUCGCAAUAAAUACAGAGGUAAUAUGUUAAUGAAAAAGUAUCAUAACUUUUACAAAGUUUCUAUCAGAUAUUUUAACAUCAUUAUUUGUUGGCUAUUAGGACAUAGUAAUUCUUGCAUCGAUUCGCAACAACAUGCAAUCGAUUCGAUAUCCUAGUGAUCAACUUUUAACAAUUUAAUCACAAUUCCCAAGAAUUACAUUUUACUUGACCAACUUUCUCUACAUCUUAUAACUUGUAUGACAUUCAUACCUGAGCUGGACAUUCCAGUCUUCUUUUCUUUCUGCCUUUAUACUUUGUACAGUUUUACUUCCAAUAUUUCCCCUACUCACAGAAGAAGCAUCCAACUUUAAGAGUGGCGUGAGCCCCAAACUUCCCUAGGCAUGGAAGUAUCGUCACAUCCUUCGGAUUUGUUCUUUCUCUUUAAAUUCUCACCGUCAACUUUUGACUGAUGUUCUUCCAAAUCAUAUGCAUUUCAGUCUUUAAACAUAGUUGAACGCUUCACAGGAACUUGCAAGCAAACACUUCUUUAGAAUUCACAUGUUUUUUAGCCUUUGUUUGUUUUUGAAAAUAGUUUUGGUUCCAAGAAUAUCAAAUGACUCUCCCAAACACUUUGAAGUUCGGCUUUCUUGAAAGCAAGUAGACCGUAAUAGGAUUCUAGUCUGUUGGAUCGAAGGACGUGAGUCUCAUCAUCCACGGCUUCUGUGGAAGAGUAUUGAAAACAUGCAAUAGGAAAAAAUCCUUCUUGGAACUUUAGAGGACAAUUCUCUCAUUAUGUUUACCAAUCGUAAAGAUUCAACCAAAUAAUGAAAACAGCUAAUCAAUUUCAACUGAAAAAGGUGGAACCGAGAGCCAUUAUUCUGUAACUAUAAUGCAAACUACACAUAGAUAUUGUUCAUAAUUAAUUGCACUAGUGAUUAAACUUAAUUAAUUCAUAAUUGUACUCCCACUCAAAUAAUAUCUCUUAUAGUUGAUGUUGAGUGAUUCAAGAUCCUGGUCUUAUUCACAACCAUUAAAGGUAGCAUCACUGAUGACAUGAACUUCAACCGGUAGACAAACUUGUCGAUCAUAUCACCAUAUGACUCAUAUUCAUCUUUCGACGCUUUGUGCUCCGAGCUCACAAUGUUUUUGUCAGAACUUCAAGAUAAUUGAAUGUUUCUGCUGUGAGGUCUUACCUUCACCCGCCUUACACUUCACCCUUCAUGUGUACUCAUGGUAGCAUGAUGCACUCCGAAAAGCUACGUGUUGUAGACGGUUGCUACACAAGGAAGAGCACUAACUACUUGAUCACCCUAAUAGUUGACUAGUGCACAAUCAAAGGAUACAAACAACAAAGAGAUAAACAUCUCAGGAAAUUCAUAAUAGUGUGAUAUUAUAUUGUCCUGGGUGCGAGGAACGUCUCCAUGAACCUCCGAGGUCUUCAUGACAAUUGUCCAAAAAUGUUGUCGUGGCAAUAAUUUUGGAAACUGCUACCAUGGCAAUACUUUUGUUCUCCUGCGCCUUGAUACGUCUCCAACGUAUCUAUAAUUUUUGCUUGUUCCAUGUUGUUAUAUUAUCAUUCUUGGAUGUUUUACAAUCAUUUUAUAACAACUUUAUAUCAUUUUUUAGGACUAACCUAUUGACAUAAUACCCAGUGCCAGUUGCUAUUUUUUGCUUGUUUUUUACUUCAUAGAAAAUCAAUACCAAACGAAUUCCAAAUGCAGCGAAACUUUUUGGAUAAAUUUACUGGUCCAGAAGACACCUGUUGGGCCAAAUAAGUACCAGAGGGCGGCUCAGAGGGGAGCACAACCCACCUGGGCGCGCGUGGGGGCCCAAGCGUGCCCUGGUGGGUUGUGCUCAGCUCGGCCGCCUCCCGCACCGCCUCUUUGCUCUAUAAAUACCCCAAUAUUCUAGAAACCCUAGGGGAGUCGACAAAAAUCAAUUCCAGCCACUACAAGUUCCAGAACCACCAGAUCCAAUCUAGACACCAUCACGGAGGGGUUCAUCAUCCUCAUUGGUGUCUCUCCGAUGAUGCGUGAGUAGUUCAUUGUAGACCUACGUGUCCGUAGUUAGUAGCUAGAUGGAUUUCUCUCUCUCUUUUGAUUCUCAAUACAAUGGUCUUUUGAAGAUCUAUUUGAUGUAACUCUUUUUGCGGUGUGUUUGUUGGGAUCCGAUGAACUUUGAGUUUAUGAUCAGAUCUAUGUUUUUAUUCAUGAAAGUUAUUUGAGUUUUGAUCUCUUAUAUACAUGAUUACUCAUAGCCUCGUAUUUAUUCUUCGAAUCUUUAGUUUAGUUAGGCCAACUAGAUCAAUUUUUCUUGCCAUGGGAAGAGGUGCUUUCUGAUGGGUUCGGUCGUGCGGUGUUCUUUCCCAGUGACAGAAGGGGCAGCAAGACACGUAUUGAUUGUUGCCAUUAAGGAUAACAAGUUGGGGUCUAUUCCUACAUGAAUAGAUCUUUUCUACAUCAUGUCAUCGUUCUUAUUGCAUUACUCUGUUUUUCCAUGAACUUAAUAUACUAGAUGCGUGCUGGAUAGCGGUCGAUAGUAGUAGAUGCAGGCAGGAGUUGGUCUACUAAUAUUGGACGUGAUGCCUUGCAGCGAUCCGACCUCAAACGGUCAAAUCUCUGUGCAUAAGUGUCAUCCCUGUAAUGCUGACACACAUAGUACUUGAAGGAUUUAUAACAGAGUAGCAAUCACACACUUAUUACAUUGAAUGUCUCCAAAGAGAACUUAUUACAAUAAGUAUGGCUUAAGGCCAUCUAAGUAAGAUAACAGUGAAAGACUUGGAAGAUAAAGUGAGUCCAUCAACUCCAACGGCAUAGCUAAGUGCACGACAAACAACCUAGCGCACCUUACUCUUUGUCGGAAAGGUCUGCAAUAUGAUAUGUUGUAGCCCGAAACGGGCCAGCACAUGGAAUCUGCUGGCAAGACAACACAGUAGAGCAAUGAACAAGUAAAUGCUAUCACUACAUGCAUAUAUGGCUGGUGGAGGCUCUAUGGUUACAAUGUUUUUGCGAAAAGCCAAUUUUUUCCUACAACAAAGGAAUAUAUUUUAUUUAACUAUCAUGGUAGUUGAAAAACAUUGAGAAUGGUAAAACCCCAUCUCAAUCCCAAUUAAAAGUAAUUAACAUCCCAACAAAUUAAUUUAGAGUGGUGAGAUCCACAUGAUAAUUCAAGAACUAGAUACUCAAGAUGUCCAUAACCGAGGACACGGCUAAUCAUGAUUAGUUUGUACACUUUGCAGAGGUUUGCACACUUUUUCCCACAAGACUCGAUCUCCUCCAAUGUAUUUCUCGCACUGCAUGGUAUUUGAGAAACGGAUGACCGAGACACAGUCUUUCCGAAGAGGUCCCAUUAACCGAUAGAUAGGCCGGUGGCCGGUACACCUACUAUCCCCUACAUCUGCUAGCCCAUCAUGAAAAGGUUUCCCAUAACUUACUCAACUAUGCCACAGCCCAUGUGACGCCCCCGAUUCAAUCGUACACUAAUCAUACACGCAAACAUGUACGAUCAAGAUCAGGGACUCAAGGGAAGAUAUCACAACACAACUCUACAAAUAAAAUAAGUCAUACAAGCAUCAUAUUACAAGCCAGGGGCCUCCAGGGCUCGAAUACAAGAGCUCGAUCAUAGACGAGUUAGCGGAAGCAACAAUAUCUGAGUACAGACAUAAAUUAAACAAGUUCGCCUUAAGAAGGCUAGCACAAACUAGGAUACAGAUCGAAAGAGGCGCAUGCCUCCUGCCUGGGAUCCUCCUAAACUACUCCUGGUCGUCGUCAACGGGCUGCACGUAGUAGUAGGCACCCCCCGAGUAGUAGUAGUCGUCAUCGACAAUGGCGUCUAGCUCCUGGUCUCCAACGUCUGGUUGCAGCAAUCGAGUAUAGAAAGGGGGAAAAGAGGGAGCAAAGCAACCGUGAGUACUCAUCCAAAGUACUCGCAAGCAAGGAGCUACACUACAUAUGUAUGCAUUGGUAUCAAAUGGAAUAUGGGUAUCAUAUGUGGGCUGAACUGCAGAAUGCCGGAAUAAGAGGGGGAUAGCUAGUCCUGUCGAAGACUACGCUUCUGGCCACAUCCAUCUUGCAGCAUGUAGAAGAGAGUAGAUGGUAAGUUCACCAAGUAGCAUCGUGUAGCAUAAUCCUAACCGAUGAUCCUCCCUUCGUCGCCCUGUGAGAGAGCGAUCACCGGUUGUAUCUGGCAUUUGGAAGGGUGUGUUUUAUUAAGUAUCCGGUUCUAGUUGUCAUAAGGUCAAGGUAUAACUCCAUGUCGUCAUGUUACCGAAGAUCACGGCUAUUCGAAUAGAUUAACUUCCCUGCAGGGGUGCACCAUAUUUCCCAACACGCUCGAUCCCACUUGGCCGGACACACUUUCCUGGGUCAUGUCCGGCCUCGGAAGUUCAACACAUCGCAGCCCUACCUAGGCACAACAGAUAGGUCAGCACGCCGGUCUAAAUCUUAUGGCGCAGGGGUCUGGGACCAUCGCCCAUUGCACACCUGCACAUUGCGUGGGCGGCUGGAGAGCAGACUUAGCAACCUCCAUUAUAAAGGAAGUUGCGUUACGCGGUUCAACCCGCCGCGUGUCGCUCAGUCGCUGACGUCACAAAGGCUUCAGCUGAUACCACGACGUCGAGUGCCCAUAAUUGUCCCCGCGUAGAUGGUUAGUGCGUAUAGGCCAGUGGCCGGACUCAGAUCAAAUACCAAGAUCUCGUUAAACGUGUUAUCUUGAAAUAACCGCGAACGCUGACUAGGGCCAGGCCCAGCUCUCUCCUACGUGGUCUCAACCUGCCCUGUCGCUUCGCCACAAAGAUCCACGCAGAGGGCCGUUGGGACAAAGGUCCUUUCAGCCCCCAAUCCGUGAAUCACUCGCGGGUGCUCCACGAGCCGACCCGACUUUAGUCACCACAUGUAUCAUGUAUAAAGUAUAUAGUACAUACCCGUGAUCACCUCCCGAGUGAUCACGGCCCGAUAGUAUAGCAUGGCAGACGGACAAGUAGGUAGGGCCACUGAUGAUAAACUAGCAUCCUAUAAUAAGCAUUAGGAUUGCAGGUAAAGGUAACAACAGUAGUAGUAAGGACAGGCUAUGCAUCAGGAUAGGAUUAACGAAAAGCAGUAACAUGCUACACUACUCUAAUGCAAGCAGUAGAGAGAAGAAUAGGCAAUAUCGGGUUGAUCAAAGGAGGGGGCUUGCCUGGUUGCUCUGUAGACAGAAAUGGGCCCUUGAAGGUGAAGUAGUUGAUCACUCGUUCAACCGCGGUCUCGGGGUUUACCGGAAAAAGGUAACGGAGGGGGAACACAAUAAUUAACAAAGCAAUCAAAGCAUCACAAAGCAUAACAUGGCAAUACGCGGUGCUAGGGGUGAGCUAAUGUAGUACUAAGUGAUACCGGAAAAGGGGGGAACACCAGGAGAGGUGUUUCGCGUUUUCGGAUAGUUGCGUGUUUGCUAUGCUAGGGAUGUGUGGCGGACGAACGGGAUGUGUAUUCGGAUUCGUCUCAUCGUUCUGAGCAACUUUCAUGUAUAAAACUUUUUCAUCUGACUUAUGAAUUAUUUAAUAUGAUUUUUCAAAGUUUAUUGUAUUUUCUAAAAAAUUUGAAAUAUUUUUAUUUAAUCUAAUUCGAAUUUGACCAAGUCAAACUGACUAGUCAAAAGGGAGGAUGUGGCCCACAUGUCACUGUUUUGUUAAUUUCCAAAAGAUUUAUCUAAUCUAACUAGGUGGACCCAUAUGUCAUAGACUAUUUACCAAACAAAUAAAUAAACCUAACUUAUUUAAAGAGGCUUACAUGUCAUCUACUACUAGACUAAUUUAAUACUAAUUAAUACUAACUACACCUAGUAAAACUAAUGUAAGCAGUACUAAUCUAAGCAAGGGCCGGCUACACACUCACGCACACACACAUCACACACACCUACAGAAUACACACACAGAGAACGUAGCUAGGAGUUACUUCUAUUCCCUUUUAACAAAACAAAGCAUUUUGCGAUUUUGAUAGGAUUUAAUCUAGGUAUCGAAAGGAUUUGGUCCAGUGGGAUAAAAUGGAGUUUGUCAUGUAUACUUUCUAUUCAUAUUAAUUUUGCCCAAGUUAGUAGUUGGUUAGCCACCAUUUAAGGACUGUCUAGAGUGUUAGUCAUUGUAAAACUAGAAAAGCUAGCUAGUAACUACAAAGUACAGAAAGCAGCGGCAGUUGUAGGAUGCAGCAGCAGCGCUAGUAGCAAGGAGCAGCAGUUUAGUAGUGGCAGCAGGACGAGUAGCGGCGGCAAGCAAGCAGUAGCAGCAGCAGUAUGCGGGAGCAGCAAGCCGGCACCGCCGGGAAGCAAGCCGCACGCAACAGCAGUAGUCAGGGACCGCGGGGCACGCGGGAGUAGUGGGCAGCGGUGACGUGGGCUGCAACGGCGAGCCAAGCGUGGCGUGGCGCGCGGCACGCGCACGGAGCCUGGCCAGAGGGCGGCGAAGGCGUGGGCUGGACGCGACGAACACGGGAUUCGGGGCGGCCACUACGAGCUUUGGUCACGGCGGAACAACGACGGAACGGAGGGGAUUCGAGGGGGAAGAAGGGGAAUCAGCAGAGGAGCUCACUGUGCGCCUGCAGAGGUGCGUAGCGGGCUCGGGGAGGGCUCGGUGGCGACGAAUCGAACGACAACGUCCGGCGGGGCAGAGGAUGAAGGCGAGCUCGAUCCGUUCGGUGUAGGGGUGAUGAGCCUGAUCUGGCGCUUGCAGUCGACGUGGACGAGGCCGGGGAGCUCCUGGACGCCUUCUCCGGCGACAGCGACCACGACGGCCGCGGCAACGACGACGAGGCAGUGGUCACCGUGGACCUCUCGAGCUCCAAAUCGAGCUGGGCGAAGGGGGUCGAGGGGAACUGGACGAGAGGGGGCUAGGGUUUGAUCGCGGAGGGAACUGGGUGCUCUUAUUCAUCCUAGAGACCCGUGGGAUGGCCGACACGGCGGCAUCGGCGACCACGUCGGCUUGGAUGUGCGCCACGCACAGGUCCUCUGCCUCCUGUACGUGUGGUUAAAGGAUACAAGAGGUGGGCUGGGCUGCUACUGUUUCUAAUGGGCUAAAGUGCAUACAGACCUCUCCCAUUUUCCUUUUCUUAAAUAAUAAGUAGCCACUGUUCUCUAAAUAGCUUAUUGAUCAAAUGAAGUUUGUUAACUAUGAAACUUUGUACAAAGAAAAUGCUAUGCAAUAUUCUAGGACUGAACAAAAGUUUAAGGGCAUUUGCAAUUAGUUAAAUUUAUAUUUGGAUUUAAAUGGACGACUUAAUUGUUAUUGAUCCACUUUAAAUAUUGCUAGAGUCAAUUUCGUAAUCCAAAUGGGUUUGUUUUCUAUAUGGAAAAUACUUUGGGAUUUUAUGUAAUAAUGUAAACAAUUUUGUUUCGUUGUUUAAAGAAAUAUUAUUUUGAUUUUAUUUUAAAUUUGGAUUAUAAGUGGGUUUGGAUCAAAGUGAAGAUUAGCAAAAAUAAUUAUGAUGACGUGGCACCAGUAACAGGAGUUUACUGUAGCGUGACACCCGGCGUGUUAUAGCCCAUAAUGGCAUGUGGCUGCACAUAGAAGUUUCCAGCAUGAAUAAUCUUAUGAUCCCUUUGAGCCUGGGUGGCGAACCAAAAAGGACAUCAUUGGUAUAUCCCAGGUGCCCGCAACCAAUCCACCCAGAUGUGUGUUUAAGUAGCCACCUUAAGUAAACCAUUAAUUAAUAAUCUCACAUCUAUCAUGGAUACACUCAAACCCAAUCCACGUCUACGAGCAUAGCAUGGCAAUAAGUAGCAUAACAUAGAAGUAACUCCCGGGGUUUGAUAAUAAAAAGGGUAAUAGGUUCUACCUCAUCAUCUACUUCCCAAACCCACAAGUUAAGAGAUCCUACUCAUGCAAUGUUUGAGGGUUGUAACUAAUGCAUAAAACUAGGUAAAAGGGAUAUGACCAAAGUGUUACUUGCCUUGCUGAUGAUCCGCAAAAUCUAGUGACUUGUAGUAGCACGCCGCGUACUCCGGGAAUUCUAGCGCAAAUAAACAAUAGCAUACAUAAGCACUCAAGCAAAGGUGCAAGGGAAAAACUUCAAAUAAGAAGAUCCAAAUGGAAAGUUCAAGGGAAGAGGUUCGAUUUGCAAAAAGAAUCAAUCGAAUCAGAGAUACGGAACUGAAACUAUGGCCAAAAAAACUUCGAAAACAAAUCUGCUUGCAACCAAAUUUUAAUUUGUCAAAACCUUGUUCAAGUUGAUUAAACAGAAGGAGGGUUUCAAGACGAAGAUUUUGGCGUUGGUUUCACUGGAUUUGGACAAACGGUUAAGAAACAGCGAGCGUUUGAAGAUCAGGGGCUAAUCUGCGAUAAAAAUAAUCGCUGAUAGGUCCCUAACAGAAAAUAAAAUAAAAAUAAAAGACUAAGGAACGAAGGUUCACUAUCUGAACCUGACCGGCAAAUAGCGUUCGUUAGAAUGAACGAACGGACGAAUGUUCGCUAAAUAAAUAAACCAUCGAAAAUCGAACCGAUAAAAAUAAAAAAAGCAUCUAGGGUUUAAAACAAACAAACGGUUUUUACCUAAACCGGAAAAAAACAACGACGGGUCCGGCGAACGGCGGUGGCGGCUCCGGCGGCAACGGUGGCGCGCUAGGGUUAGGGUUUCGGGGCGGGGCGGCUUGGUGGGCUGGGGGGCCUCGGGCGGCGGCUUAUAAAGCCACGCCCGGCACGAGUCCGGGUCAGUCACGGCUCGUUUAGGUCGGUUGACUUUUUUUAAAAAAAUAUUCCGCCGGAAAAAUCCUAAAAAAUAAAAUAAAAAUUUAAAAAUGCCAAAACAAAUUUUCCCCAUCUAAAUAGAAUAUUUAGAACAAAGUGAAUAUUUUAUUGGCCUAAAAUUGCAAUUUUUAAAAAUGCAUAUUUUUCUAAUUCGAAUAAAAUAGCAAUAAAAUCCAAAAAAAUUAUUUAUUUGAUUUUAACAUUUUCCCUCCAAUAUCUCAUUUAUUUUGGAGAAGUCAUAUUAUCUCCUCUCAUAUAUUUUAAUUUGAAAUAUUUUUGGAGAGAAAAAUAAUAAAAUUAAAAUGAUCUUUGUUUCCGAUAUUUGAGAAUAUUCAAAUAUGAAAACAGUGAAAUCCCCAACUCUCUCCGUGGGUCCUUGAGUUGCUUAGAAUUUCGAGGAUCGCAAAAUGAAAUGUGAUAAAAUAUGAUAUGCAAUAUGAUGUCCUAUGUAUAACAUUCCAAAUUGAAAUUUUGGGAUGUUACAUGCCUAUAUAAUGAUCAUUGCCUAGAUAUCGUUAUAAUUAUUUGAAGUUCUAUCAAUUUCCCAACAACAUUUUGUUUACCCGUCGUAUGCUAUUUUUCUCGAGAGAAGCCACUAGUGAAAUCUACGGCCCUGGGGUCUAUUAUUUAUCAUAUUUGCUUUCCAAUCUAUUAUUUGCCACUUCUAUUUUCAGAUCUAUUAUUCCAAAAACCCAAAAGUACCUUGCUGCAAUUUUUUGUUAUUUAUUUUAUUUCGCGUUUACGCGAGAUCUAUUUAUCCAAUCUACUACAAACCAAUCUAUCUUUUACCCGUGAGGGAUUGACAACCCCUCUUACGCGUCGGGUUGCAAGUAUUUGUUCUUUGUGUGCAGGUACCGUUUACAUAGUGUUGCUUGGUUCCCCUACUGGUUCCAUAAUCUUGGUCUCAUCACUAAGGGAAAUACCUACCGUAGCUGUGCUGUAUCAUCCCUUCCUCUUCUGGAAAAAUACUGACGCGGGCACGAGCCAUCACGCCUAGUGAUGCUCCGUGGUCCUCUAUGUUACUUCUGCUGAACAAAUAACAAGGUUGACACGCAGGUCAUUAAAAAGGGUAAUCCCUUGGCUCCAGCCAUCAUGGUGUACUGUGACACGCAGGCCACUUAACAUUACAACAUAUAACCAUCUCAUACAUAAACUCAUUAUCAUGAUGAAGGCUAUAGUACAUCACAUGCAUCCUGCAAAACCAAGUUAGACGUCCUCUAAUCUGUUUGGAAAAUUUUAAUUACGUGGUUUCUAGGAUUUCUGGGUAACUCUAGCUACCUACGUCCACCAUCAAGGAAAUAAUUCUUGUUGCUAGAUUAAAUUUUGGGGUGAGUAAGGGAAGAGACUUAAUUAAAAAUCUCUAUCCCCACACUAAACUUCAUCAAUAUGCGUGACUCUCUAGAAGAUCGGACAUCUUCAUUGCCCACUCGUGUUUGCGACAGUUCACUAUUCUUGACUAUGAUGAAGCCCAAAGUACUGUUAGCAGAUCGCUAACAACUAGAGCCGAUUGAUUGCUAGAACUCUGGCUACACCAUGUCAUCAAUGAACUGAGCCGAAGCACCACUUGAGGAAAUAAUCGCAAGAACGCAAACCCUCAAACCCACAUGUGAUCUAGAUCAAAAUCUGCAUCUACUCAUAGAACCACUCAAGAUGCCACUAUUGGGAAACAUUGUAGAGAACAAAAAAAGUUGCCCUACGAUCAACCAGGAACACUAUGAAGAUGCAAUAAUAGCUUCGAUCGGAUCGUUGCCAACUCCGAGCUAUAGCGGAAAAAGUGAGUCAGUGUAGAUCGUACUUGAUUCCCUCGAACCGUCGAUGAACGAUCCCUGGAACAAAAGACUAAAAGCACGGUACCUCUACAUAUUGCAAGCAUACAGUCUUCGUGAUCCGGUAGCGCUUCGCCAUCCAAAGCUAAUAGUUGCCGGAGAAUUAGAGGGAGGGGAUUAGAAUCACACUGGGAUUCUAAUUAUGAGGAUUAGAGGGUCUAGGUUUAGCUCUAACUGGAUCAAUUAUAACUAUAACUAGAGAACUAGAGGAGGCUCCAAAACUUGUGUAUUACAAAGUGCCAAAACCUCUAGUGUAAAUAGGUUGGAGGAGGGGAGGGGGCGCCACACAUGGGAGGAGGUUUCCCCCCUUUGCUCAUCUAAGAGAAGGGGUGUUCUCCCUCCAAUUCGGCCUCCCCCUUCCUUCCCCAAGUGGGAAGGGGGCACCACCUCCUAUUGGGCCCAUGUGGCCCAAGUAACUUUCCACCACUUGGCCUCUUUAGGCCCGUUAAUAUUUAAAUAAAUAUAAUAGCCUCAUAAUCAUAUUUAGAGCCUUUUAAUAUUAACAUCACUGGAAACUAUUUCCACCUAUAUAUAGUUUAUAAGUAUUACCCGAUAAACUCUGAAACCCUUCCGGUGACCCCAAACGAUUUCGAUUCCUCUCGAAAAUAUUUUGAAUAUUAAUGAAACUAUUUCAUAAAUAUUUUUUCUCAUUACUCCUGUCCUACUAACACUUAGUAGAUUGUGAUUACCUUGAGUUUGUGAACCUGUAGGUUUGGUAAAACAUAGACAUGAACAAAACCCGUUUUGUUCAAUGAUCGAUAGGGGAACCGUGGACGUCCAUAUCGAUCCCUAUGAGUACACGAAUGACAUUCGAGUGAACCUUUGGUUACCAUGUAGUAUUCCCUUUGUUUACCAAUACUUUACAAAACCUGAGGUGAGAUAUAUCGGUAUCCUCUUGAGUCAUACACAUGCUCACUAUACCGGUCUCCUCGUUAUCGGUUUUGUUCUUCUUUCUCGUUGACAUGUUCUGUCAUCCUCGUGACAUUGUCACCUAUGUAUGGCCAGACGAUGGUAGAUGCCUUCACACCAAAAGGGACCUAAAAUAUCUCUCCAUCAUCGGAGGAGAAAAUCCCACUCUUGAGCUAUCUAGUCCUUGUCAAACUUUCCGAUGAACCUGUAAGUUGUCGUUAUGAUCACCGUGAUAUAGGUGACGUUUGAGCAAACCCAAAGUUCAUCGCACAGUAAGAAGUGACUGCGAUACUCACAUGGUCUAAGGAAUUAAAUUACAUGUUAACACUCUAUGUUAUAACAAUUGACUUCUGAAGAUAUUAUCUCAAAGUAUAACAAACAAAUUUGGGUCGAUUCAAUACGAUAUUCGCAAAGUUGUUUUAGGACUAUUGUUACACUUAGCGGUAUCCUAAGAUCCGGAAAACAUGAUCACCAACAACAUUUGUGCUAGUCUUAGAGGCGAGACUGGGAAUCAUAUUUUACCGGUUAUCAUUCCAUGCAUGCAUAUGAGUUCUCCACUGAAUCACAUAUUCCAGCAUCAUGGCACUUAUAGCAUGGAAUAUAAACUCUUAAUUAUAAAUAUGGAAAUAUAAUAAUACAAUAUUAUUGCCUCAAGGGAAUAUAUCCAACAUAGCACCCCCUAAUUCAAGACACCAUCACAAAGUUGGAUUAGUUUGCCAAAUGUAAAUUGGUAAUGUUUACUUCAUAAAAACUACCACUCAUAAACAAUUUGGCAUGGUUGGGUUAAUAUGCCAAUUGUAAAUUGGUAACGUUACUCCAUAAAAACUGCUAAAAACUUUGACAUGGUUGGCUUAACUGUAUUUUUCCAUAAAGUAGAUUGCAAUGCAGUUGCUCUAGCUGUAUUUUUUCAGGCAGUUAACGAUGUUGUAGGUGGUUUAGUUCCAUUUUCAGUUGUGUCGCAUGUUUUAGUUGCAUUUCACAUGUUGAAACUGCAUUAGCAUGUUUAACUAAACUCUUUAGUUGUGUCGUGUAUUUCAAUUGUAAUUUAUUAAUUGUAUUGUGGGUUUCAACUACAUUAUUCUCGAUGUAAUUUCCCAACUACACUUUUUAAAUGUAUAUUUCAUGUUUCAACAUUUUCUAAACUAUAAGUUUUCAACUGCACUUAGGGCCUAUUUGGUAGCCUGCACCAUUUUUUGCCUCCUUGCAUAUGUAGCUCACAUUGGACAGGUUGAGCAAAUGCAAGCUAAAAACCAUGGUGUGCACAUGGUUUAGUAGCCUGCAUAAGGCCUACCUGCACGAUUGCACCAAUCCCUCCUCCCCUACCCUCUGCAUUAGGUUCCUGCUUAUGGUUGUACUGAUGCAGUGCAUGUUAUUUGGUUGCAUACAUUAGGUAGGAUCUACUUACCUUGUAUCAUGUGUUGUGAGCUUACCAUGUACCACCCUAACAAGUGCUCAUUGCACCUUACAUACAAUCACACCAAGAAAACAACACUACAAUCAUGACGAACUAGACAACGAUGAUGAAGAUUUUCAUCCCACACAACCUAAACUGUCCUGGAGCCUUGCCUACUUCAACAUUGCUCUUUUGGUUGAGAAAAAACUUGGAGAAGCAUCCUCUGCCUCUUGCCUCGUCUUAAACCCUUCGAAGCAGCUAUUUGUGUAACGUGUCACUUGUUCAUGGCAUGUAUGCCAUGAACUGCAAACUCCAAGAACCCUCCCUAUGUACACUACAUACCACUUCAUCGAGCAUGAUAGAAGAGCAACAAUUCAAGAAGCAUGCAAAGGGACACAACAUAUGGAAUAGAUCAACAUAGGCUUGCAUGAUCUUGUGCCCAAAAGGCAGAACUAGUUCAUCCUAACUACUAUGGUGUCGUUGUCCAAAAGAGGGUGUAAUCCUGCCACCGCAAGUUCACCAUCAGCAUGAGGGUUUAGUUUAUACCAUCUCAUCAAAAUAUACAGGCCAACGAAAAUUCUCAGGCCCUAGCUACCACAAAAUGUGCAUCAUCGAUCAUCAUGCACACGUUGUCACCACCACCAGAAACAACAGUAGUAGUACUGCUUGCCCAACCAGGUCCUAAGCCAGAGCACCCUAUGGGGGUCCCCCAUCCAACAAACCCAAGACCAUGUGCCCUAUUGUCCAGCAUGUUGCUAAGAGCCACCAUCAGAGCCUCUGGACUGAAGCCACCUUGUUUCAUGAUGGUGUCUAUAGGGAAGGGUAGACAUCGACUGGCUUGCUCUCCCUAAUGGUGGUUGCCACCUCCUUGAUGUUGUUAGUCAUGCUGCUAAAGACGCUUAGCUCCACGUCCGCCAAGCCGCCCCUCUUCCUCUUCAUAUCAAGCACAUGAACAUGAUUAGCAUCCUUCUCGGGAUUAUCAGGGACAAUGGUCUCUGACUCCUGGGUGUUUGGAUGUUCAGGAAUAGGUAAACCAAGACACUCCAGCUCAUGCCAUGCUUGCCAGUAUCUAGCUCAUAUGAGAAGAUUUUUUUCAUCUACGAGUAGUUCUGUAUGGAAAUGUUGAGGCACAUGCGUCCUUGGGUUGUCCUAAGAAAUGGACAUAGCAUGGUUAGUUGUGAUUGGCAUGUUAGACAAGCUUAAACAAGUGGUAUGUGAGCUAACCGCAGUGUGGACUCGGCAGUGCUCUAACUCCAAUAGGAUUGUGUAGGUGUCCUAAUCCUAUUGUGCAUCACUAAGGUCUCUAAACUUGGUCACUUGGAUCCAUUUGGCUCUCCACUUCCUAAGGUCAUUGUAGACUAGGGUCGAGGUGACCUCUUGGACGUAUAACUCAAACAACCUCUUGGCACCAGAGUUCCAGUGCACCUCCUUGAAGCCCAUGUCUGUCGUCACCCCACUUGGUAUGAGCUGACACAUCUUGUAGGGCGGACAGGAAUGGUUGCCAUUUCACUGAGUUCCCCCUCCUAAUCAUCUUUGCCUUUCCGACCUUGAUGGUUGCCUUAUGUGUAGCACUAGAAAUAGUAUUAGGCACCGCUAGCACAGAUGGAGGAUGCCUAGCAGGUAUUGGCUCAAGGACAUGUGAAUCCAGACGCAUGUACUCGUCCAUCGGAGGCUGGAGUCCUCAACAUAGGACGAUAGGAGUUAGCUCUCAAACAACACAAUGGACUGACAAAAUUAUUGCAUGCUCAUGUCCAACAAUGGUUAGUGCUACUUGUGAGCUGCGUUGGGAUUUCCCCCGAAGAGGAAGGGUGAAGUCGUACAGUAGAGAUAAGUAUUUCCCUCGGAUUUAGGGCUCCGCAGACCCAAGAAAGAUUCGAACUCUGGGGUGCGUGCGAAGAACACAAUCUCCCUAGCCUACCAACUCGACGCUCUCACAUCCUAGCUCGAUGAACGGGAGAGGAAAGAGACACGGCAGUUUACCCAGGUCCGGGCCACCUUGCGGUGUAAGACCCUACUCCUGCUUUGUGGUGGAUUGGCCUCUCGGUAGGCUGAGGAUGAACUAGUACAGAGGAAGAACUACCUCCGGAGGUCCGUUCUUGUGUUGGUGUGAGCCAGUGGGGGUUCGGAUUGUGUUCGAUCCCCCUUCUAUGGUGGUGGAUAACCUAUAUUUAUAGUGGCCUUGGUCCUCUUCCCCCAAAAUGAAGGCGGGAAGGGAUCCCACAACAGCCAAGUUUGAAAGGAGACAAAUAGUACAUCUUAUCCUGACGAAAGGUGGUCUUCGCUUGCAAAGCUUCUGGUCGUCAUGUUGUGGUGGGCUCGGCGGUGACCUCCAUCCUGUCGUCCUGGCGGUCUUGGUCUUGUAGCACAAAAAUGGAAACCUUUGGCUGAUUCCUCGGGACUCCGCGCCUGCGCUUGCCUCCUUAGCACCAAAAAGGAAACCUGUUGUACUGCGCCCGCUCGCGCCCGCCUGGCCUUGGUCGCCAUUGUAACAUCCCAAAUUUUCAAUUUGGAAUGUUAUACAUUAGAGCAUCAUGCAUAUCAUAUUUUAUUUUGCAUUUUGGUUGAUCCUAGAAAUUCUACGCAACUCAAUGACCCACGGAGAGAGUUGGGGAUUUCGUUAUUUUCAUUUUUGAGUUCUCUCUAAUUUUGAGAAUAGGAUCAUUUGAUUUUAUUUAUUUUAUCAUCAAUUAUUUCUAUUACAAAAAUAUGAGAGAGGGAAUAAAAUGACUUUCCCAAAAUAAAGAAAUAUUGAGGAUUUAAUAAAAAAUCAAAUAAGAUUUUAUUUCGGAGUUUUUUCGGUGUUUUUUUGAAUUUAGGAAAAAUGUGCGUUUUUCAAAAUUGCAUUUAGGUCCCAAAUAAAUGUUCACCUUGUGCGGCUUGAUUUUAGAAGCCCGUGAAAAUUUAUGUCAGACUUUUUGGAGUCCGUUUAGUAUUUCUUUUUAUUUUUCUUCCGACCGGAAUAAUUAAAAAAACGAAUCGACUUCGGGCCGUACCCGAGCGGGACACCGCCCGGGGGCAGCCUUUAAAUAGCGCCGCCCCGAGCCGCCCUGCCUCGAUCCGCGCGCGCCGCCGGAGCCGCCGCCGCCGACGAUCCCGCCGCCCGAGGUUCGUCGCGCCUUGUUUUCCGUGCCGAAAAAAAGAGAAAAAAAA
Molecule: long non-coding RNA, 103648 nt
Filed under: Triticum aestivum (bread wheat)
Lineage: Eukaryota; Viridiplantae; Streptophyta; Magnoliopsida; Poales; Poaceae
Description: long non-coding RNA (TAES_LNC010367)
Source: RNAcentral